RNAcentral lists this long non-coding RNA (100035 nucleotides) under Triticum aestivum (bread wheat). RNAcentral describes it as "long non-coding RNA (TAES_LNC012059)". The record is from RNAcentral. Lineage: Eukaryota; Viridiplantae; Streptophyta; Magnoliopsida; Poales; Poaceae.
UUUUUUUUUGCUUGAUAGAUCAAUCUCUCUCUGCUUGGUUCUGUUAUGCCGAAAAGGGUUAUUUACAAUGUCAAUAGCAGCUUCUUUGUCACAGUAGGCUUGUACUUAUACAACCGCAGCUUUGUUAGGAGGAUCUGCAUCCAUAGUAACUCACAUAUGCUGUAGUUGACCGAGCCACCACACUUUGUUCUUUUUACUUGGCCAUGAAAUUACGUUUCCGCAACAAAUGCACAAGUAACAGGAUGGUGAGCAACGGCCAUCUAGGGAACCAACCCAAUCAACAUAGGUGCACUCAACUUGCAAGUCCCCUUGUCUGGUACUCCCUCCAUUCCUAUAUAUAAGUCUUUUUAGAGAUUCCAAUAUGGACUACAUACGGAAUGAAUGAAUCUACACUCGUGUAGAUUCAUUCAUUCCGUAUGUAGUCCAUAUUGGAAUCUCUAAAAAGAUUUAUAUUUAGGAACGGAGGGAGUAUAAAAGAGACCUUUCCCUUUGCAUCAUUUUGAGCUGAUUUUGGGUCAUGCAUGUACUGGCUAACUACGUUCACAACAAAGGCAAUGUCUGGACAGGUAUGAGGUAAAUAUAUUAACCUUCCAACUAAUUGGUAGCGCUCCCAGCAUCAUUGCAUAACCGGUUGUUUUGCCCAAUAGGUGUAGCGGCAGGUCAACAACCAAACACAGAUGUUUCCUUGAAUGGAUCCAAGAUAUAUUUUGGCUAUGAGAGAAAAUACCCUUGGACCCUUGUGAGACCUCUAUACCUGUAUACCAAGAAAAUAUCUUAGUUGUACCAAAUCCUUCACUUCAAACUCAUGUGCAAGAUGAUAUUUAGAUCUGCAACUUUCUUGGAAUCAUCCGGAGUAAUGAUAAUGUCAUCGGCAUAUACUAUCAGUUGGAAGAUUGUAUUCCACCGGAUGAUUACACUGAUGUUCAUAGGGGUAUUUACACAAGAGUUAUAACGGGAGGAUAGAUUUGUUUCAACAGAAAUACAGAAUCCUCCUAAAGCUACGUGACCGUGGCCGUCGUGCGGGGUGAGCAGGCAGCAACCGCGUAACUCGCACGUAAUGGUAUGUGACGUGUAGGAGUCUGACAUGUUCCAACACCCCCGCAGUGGAAACGUGAUUCAGGAGCAUGUUGAGGCUGUUCCAAAACUCGUUGAAGAUGACCGGCGCCAGUCCUUUGGUGUAGAUGUCAACAAAUUGGGAUGUAGUGGGGACAUGUUGGACCUUGAUGUCGCUAAUGCUGACCCACACGAGCAUGAAAUGCAGGUCUAUCUUGACGUGCUUUGUAUGUUGGUGUUGAACCGGGUUGCUCGAGAGGUAGAUAGAUGUCGUUGAUGUUGUUGCAACAGACGAUGGUGGCACGCCGCGGGGGUCGCUGGAGCUUUGUGAGAAGUUGACGGAGCCAAUAGGACUCGGUGACGCCAUUCAAGACUGUGCGGUACUUCGCCUCCGCACUAGAGCGCGACACGGUGUCCUGCUGUUUAGACGGCUAUGACAUGAGGUUUUGCCCAAGGAAGACGCAAAACUCGAACAUAGAUCGCCGCGUGUCAGGGAACCUGGCCCGGUUGGCGUCGAAGUAAGCCACAAGAUGAGGGGUGCGGUGUUCACAUGAAGCUGAAGCUUGAGGUGUGCACGUAGCGCAUUAUUUGUUUGACCAACUAGAGAUGUGGCUCGUGUGCGUCCUGCAUGAAGACGCACGCCUGCUGAACGACAUGCGUCAGGUACAGGUGCAUGCGCGUCAGUGUCAGGUAUUGGAGCACCCCGGCCAAGCUCUGGUACAAGACUAGUGGAGUCUGGUGCACCGUCGUUGGCAGACAGUUUGGCGCACGCGUCGAGUGAAGUGCAGACCGGGCAAGAGUUCAACAUGCUUAUGCACUCCAAGAUUUCCAGGGCGUACUGGUGCUGGGUGAGCGAGGGCCCAGCUGUAGUGCAUUGCAUGUUGACGCCAAGAAAAUGGUGAGGCUUGCCAAGGUCUGUCAUGGCAAAUUCUUGGUGAAGUGAAUCCAUGAUGAUACAGAGAGUAUCAGUGGAGUGCAUUGCACGUUGACGCCAAGAAAAUGGUGAAGCUCGCCAAGGUCUGUCAUGGCAAAUUCUUGGUGGAGUGAAUCCAUGAUGAUACAGAGAGUAUCAAUGGAGCUUGUCGUCAGGAUGAUGUCAUCCAUGUACAUAAGUACAUAUGUCUUCGCAUUGCAACGAUGAUGGUUGAAAAGGGAGCUGUAGUUCCUAGAUGUGAAGCCGAGCCCGGUGAGGUGCAAGGUAAACCACGCGAACCAUGUGGACAAUGUCUGUUUCAAUUCAUAAAGCGAGUAUUGGAGUGAGCAGAAGUGGUGAGGGCGAUUGGUGUAUAUGAAGUCAUAGGGCUGCUCACUGUAGACGACUUCGUCCAACUGUCGCUCACAUCCAAUUGAUGGAUGGGCCAAUCGUUGGAGACAACAAAGCUGAGGACGACAUGGAUCGUGGACGGCUUCACCAUUGGGCUGAAGGUCUCGGUGUAGUCCACACCGCCGUGUUGGAUGAACCCCCGAAGCAGCCAUUGUGCUUUUUGCCAUGCAAGUGUGUUGUCUUGAUGAAACUUGUGCCAAUAAAUCCAUUUGCCGUUGACGCCAUUCAUGUGACGAGGAACUGGACACCAAGUGUUAUUCUGUAACAAUGCGUUAUACUUGUCUCGCAUCGGGGCAUACCAAUGGGAAUCUUCUACAGUGAAGCGAUAAGAGGGGAUAGGAGAGAUACACGUAGUAUUGAGGUUGGUUUGAUUUUUAGAAAGGGAAAAUCCCGAUUUAGUGCGCGUGAUCAUGCAAUAGUCGUUAAUGGGUGGAUCUACUGGUAUCACAUGCACUACUCAGAGCUGAGCUUCAUGCUGAACUUCCUGAGGCUGCCGAAAGUCUUGGUCAGAUUCGUUAGCAGAUUCCUUUUUACGGGUCUUGAUGACUACGUCGUCGACGUAGGGUUGCACAUUCUUCCUGAUUUGCUGGUGGAAGCAUUUCUAGAUGCAACACUGGUAUGUAGCCCCUGCGUUCUUUAGGCCAAAGGGCAUUGAGGUAUAGCAGAAAGCACCGAACAACGUGAUGAAUGACGUCUUGAUCUCACCUCCUUCUUUCAUCUUGAUUUGAUGAUAUCCUGAGUAUGCACCCAGGAGGCAAAGCACCUCAUACCCGGUGAUCGAGUCGAUGACCUGAUCCAUGCGCGUUCUUAGGGAAAGCUUUUUCAGGCUAGUGUAGUCGAUACACAUUCUCCAUUUCCCAUUCAAAUUGAGGACGAGGACUGAUGAGGCACAAACUAGCAAGAUGCUAAAUUGCGCGGGACGCGGCCCGAUCUUCCACAGUACUUGUGAAACAACAAUGAACGACCGCAGCAAUAGUCGCAGAAGAAAUAGACACAAGAAAAAAGCCUUCGGAUAAAACAAAAAGUAAGAAGCCAUAGGAUAAGACUUGCACUUAAAUUGGUACGAGAUCAGACGCGUGUACAAUAGCAUAUCCCUAGGAUUCGCAGGAACACAUCCUUGGUCCCUCCCGACGUGAGGCCUUUUCUUUUGUUUUUAUUCAACUCCAAACUAAAACAAAUCUGACCGCGAUACAAAACUGAACAUGCCUAAUAUAUAGGCGACGCAAACCAGCCGCAAACGGCGUACCAAACUCUAACUGACUUGAUCACGUACUAAAAAACAAGGACACACACUUAAUUAAUAAAUACACUAAUUAAUCUUUCCGGCCACGUUGAUUACAUAGGACUUGUUUAGAAAAGAAAGGACUUUGCGUACUACCAAACGGAGGAGGCACCAACAUCCAUUUAUCUUGGAGGAAUCCUGAAGUUUGGUUGAGAAUAUCCUUUUCGGUUCGACUGGUGGAUCACGAAGUUAAACGUACCGAUCUGUAACACAUUUGGUCGAUCAUAUCUUGAAUGCUCCAUACUUCCAUCUGAAUAUAUUGUCGAGCGCGUCUUUUGUUCAGCACGUGGAGCAGCACCAAGUAAACCUGCUGUGUUUUGCACUGGAGAAAUAAUAGAGCCAUUGUUAGGCUGGGCUGGCGAACUAGUCCUGGUGGUAUACUUCCAGAAUAAAGCUGUCCGCCAGGAGUCACGCUAUCUCUUCUCUGAAGCGUUGAAGGUCCUGUUUGACGGGCUUCGCAUCCUUGAAGACAUUCAAGGAAUGUUCGGCGAUAUCCCUUAAAACUCUGGGCAUGUUGGAGGCCUGCCAAGCGAGUACGUCUCGGUUUCUUAAGGGAAAUGGACGAGCUCUCCUUUUUGCUUAGGCUAAGAUUUGCGCUGAUAUGAAUGAUCGUGGCGGGGUCCUCCUGAUCGAUGGAGAUUUCUUUGGUGUCUUGCUCCGCCUGGAAGGGCGAAGAACUUUGGCCCUUCCUAGCCGACAUCAACUCCUAGGCGAUUUUUGGGAGAUCUCCUGUUUGAUGGCUUCGAAUUCAGCUGCAGGUACUAACGCACCAACACACCGUAUGCUUUCCUGAUUGCACUGGGGAGCAUGCCUGACAUCCCCUUGCACAAUGAUGCUUCUUCUAAGGCCCGACAUCUUGAGCUGGAGAUGGGCAUAAUGGGACACCACCAUGAACUUGGCAUAGCAGGGCCGCCCCAAUAUCGUGUGGAAGGAGCCUCGCAAGUUUGUGACCUCGAAACACAAAGGUCUCACUGUCUCGAUCCUGUAGUUGUCGGGGUGCCGAAUAACAGUUAGGUCAACUUGCCUCACCGUGAUGACAUGGUGUCUAGGGAUAAUCUCAUGGAAGGGUGUACCGGCAUGUACAAUUUGUGAGCGGGGGAUCCCCAUCUUGGCGACGGUGUCGACAUAGAGGAUGUUGAAACUGCUUCCGCCGUCCAUCAGCGUCUUUGGUAAGCCGUACUCUUGCAACGAUGGGGCCAAGGAUCAUGUGGUACCUGCCUGGCUGAGGGACAUGCUUGGGAUAAUCUUCGACCCCAAAGGUGACCAGGGUCUGUGACCACUUCAGGAAUUGUGGGGCGUUAGGCUUCUUUGUCCGAAGCUCCCGCCCUAUGAGCAUGGUGCUGCGUUUGUCUUGCGGCUUUUUGGUUUGUUGAAGACUGAGUGGCACCUGCGAUCGUUCGGUUGGGAUCUCGGGCUGCACAAGGUGUGCACCAUGGCUAAGAUCCCGAUCGAAGGGGGCCUGCCACCUCUCCGCAUGGGGUGAGGGGUGCGUCCAUCGUCCUCAAUUCCGAGAUCAAGGUGCUUGCUGCCUUGUCGUCUGGCUGACUUUGCUUCCUCGCCGUUGAAACUUGUCGGCUUGGCGACUAUUGGGUGCGACCAACGGCCGGGUGUUGCGUCCGCAGCCGCAAUUUGCUUGUGCUGUCAGCCACGAAGUUCAGGCUCCCAAAGUGGAAUGCUUGACCAUCAGGGGAGGAGACGAUGAGGGUCAAAUUCCCCUUCGUGUUGGGGACAAAUCACAAGGAGCCGAAAGAGGGCCUCCUUCCAGGUGUGAAGGCGCCAAUCCGAUUUGAUGGAUCUGCGUGCACUGCUCAGUGUUUUGUUUAGACAGUGCCGUUGAGAGACGGGUGAUUUGGUUGAAGGGGCUUGCGAGCAGCGGGUCAAUAUGGUGGGACAUGGAACAGGGGAAUCACCCAGGUUCGGACCCUCUGGGAGGAGGUAAGACCCUACCCCUGCCUCUAAUGUGUGUAUUGUUUGGGGCUCGCCAGUGGUCAGGGAGAAUGCCAGAGAGACUUGUCUCUAGGGUUACCAACUCAGCUCUCUGGGCGAAAGAGAGGGAGAUGAUUGUUGGAUUCUUUUCUGAGAGGGGAUCCUCCUCUAGGGUUUCCUCGCCUUGUAACUCUAAUUGGGCUUAGGUUACAUUACAUGAUCCUAGUGGUGGUGGUGGGCCGAGCUACCAUGUUUGACCCAUUGAUGUCGACGGCGUCCUUUUGGGAUUCCGUUUCCCCUGAUCUCCCGAGUAAUGCUUCUUUGCUGCCUACUCGUGUCCCUCCUGAGUAGGUGCCGUCGAUUAUCCUUCUCCUCGUCACAUACGGUUCAUCAAACAUGUUGCUGUUUUUAGUGCUUCCCUGAAAAAGAAUUUUAGGCACGUUCAUUGUGAAGAUAAGUGAGCAUGCAACCUCAAGCAAAUGUCUGUUUUUAUGCUCCGCAACACCAUUUUGUUUUUUUUUUGAGAAAACGCAAAAAGGCUUUUGCGUUUCAUUAUAUUGAAAAGAGAGGGAUAGUUUGUUACAUCCUCCUAGGAGGCACCAUUACAGGCGAGAAAUGUAGUUUGAUGUUCAAUGCCAUUUGAGGCAAGGAAUCGUUCAAAGUCCUGGUUGAUAUAUUCCGAACCAUUGUCUGAACGUAAGCUUUUAAUAGUUGAUCAGCAUCACUACAUCUGUUAGCACAUUCUGUAAUGCAAUCUAUCUUUUGAGUAACAACAGGAAUAACACAUGAAUUGUAAAUUCCUUGAAUUUCUUUUUCAUCCUAUAUAUGGUAACUUGUCAAUAACAUAGCUAGCUAGGGAUAACAGCAAUCAGGCAGCCUACAAGCGAUUCCUUCAACAACCUUUUACCCAGAAACACACACAACCACAAUAUUGUUAGCAGAAAAGUACUCCCUCCGUUCCAUAAUUCUUGUCGUUGUUUUAGUUCAAAUUUUAUUGUAUACCUUUAGUAAUCUCUAGCUCUUAUCCCGCCUUGGAGCCUAGCGAUGGACAAAAUUCUGCUUUACGGAGAUUUCUAUCAAGAAUUCAUCAAGAUGUAGAGUCCAUCAUGCACGGUCCAGUCCCCAACAGUCUCCCUGUCUCUAGCUCCUGAAAAGCACAACAGGUAGGAUCAAACCAACCCCUACAAUUCAGGGAUUUAGUAAUAGAGCUAGCUAACUGACAAGUGGUUGACUCAAAAUUUAGGAACAUGUAGGAGAAGAGAUAAGGACAAUGUCUUGGUGCACCUAACAGAUCCACGUCCUGUAAUAUGUGGAAGAACUACUACUGACCUAACCCUAACUAGAAGAACGCCCGUGCGUUGCAACGGGGCCACAUUAACUUUAAGAGUUCAAAAUUAAUAUUCUCAUACGUAUCAAGUGACAUCGGCGACCUUUUUUUACCAUCAAAUCCUCUCACACACACUCUUCCUCCCUCUUCAUCACUCUCUCUCCCCCUCUCCCUUUCUCUCUCUCUCUCUAACACACACACAUAUCCAUCUUAUUGGGUACGGGACCAUAAUCCAUCUAUUUCACACACACACACACGCUAGUGCAAAACAAUAUGGAUUAUGUGUAUUAUAUUUUCCACCACAACUGAGGGAAUUAAUUUCAUGUAAAUCGGCCAGCCACAGCUCCAAGAAUACGUGGAGGAGGUGGCCCGGGUCGGCGUCGGCGCCAUCCGGCGCGGGUCACGGGCCCGCUUCCAAGUGUGUCUGCGCGUCGGCCACCCACGCCGGGUCCUUCAAGUGCCGCUUUCACCGCACCAACUCCCAGUGCCACGGCCACGGCCAGGGCCAGGGAAGCCGCCCUUCUUCGCCCCCUUCACCGGCCGCGGCCAACGCGGUGCCGCGGUACCCGGCCUCGCCGUCCUCGUCCUCCGGCACCGUCGCGACCCAGUGACGCAGCCCAAGCAUCGGCCUCGAGAAUCAAGAACGCUCGACAACGGAGAGGGAAGGGAAGAUCAUAUACAUGUCAUAAGAAAGAGAGUUUAUUUACUGCUCCCUCGAUGUAUUGUUUCCUUUGUUUGGAGAUUGAUUACUAUCCCUGAGUUAAGGUAAGGUUAAUGUGAUUGAGCGAUUUUUCUGAAAAUCAAUUAUUUGUUUUCUAAUUAAUGUGAUUGAGUGAUUUAAGGUACUUCCUCCGUCACGGUUUAGAAGGCACAAUUAAAUUUGCGUGCGUUUCCAUAAUAGACAAGGUUUAGGGCGCAUUGCAUUUAUUUCUAGUAGCUAAUUAGUACUCCGGAAUACUAUUUCUAUAUGCAUGCGUAGUGUGAAUGUUAUUUUUUAGCCCAUCUCACAACCAAUAGAUAACAACCUAGGUCCUAGAGAAUUUCCAAGCGUGCCUUCUAAACCGUGACGGAGGGAGUAGGGUUAAUUAAUUUAGAUUUGAUCUUUAGAGAUUGUUCGUGAUUGAUUCUACAUUACUAAAUAACUUGCGCCAGUAUGGAAAAGUAUGGAAAGUUCUGAUCUGUUUAGAUUUCUUUCGAGGGUGACGCGAAAAUAAACCGAUGAAGUGGGGGGAGGGGACAAAAAAAAUCUACGAAAAAAAACCAGUGAAGGUGGGGGGAGGUACCAAAAUAAACCAUGGGAGGUGGGACGAAAAAAAACCAGGAAGUGAGACUACCAACUGCUCCAUUAGGAGUAGAGAUUACUGGAAAGUAGAUAAAAGUAAAUGAUAAUAUUCUUCUCUGCUUUAUUGAGAGGGGUCGGCCCCUUUAUAUAAAAGACAAGACUUGGCCAACUAGCUGGUAAAUCUAUUCAAACUCUAAUACUAUCUCUAAACUGACUGGACUGUUUCCUAACAAAGAUGCUUAAUCAACUAGGACUCUAAUUAAGGGAUAAGACUCCACGUUUGAUGCACUGGUCCACAUAACAUCUCUCCCUUCCUUGAAAAACAGCUUGUCCGCAAGCUGUAGGUUGUCAAUUGCCUCCCAGGGGACCUUGGUCAUAGUCAUCAGCCUCGAUGAAGAUGAGCCGCGCGCAUCCGUGACGCUGAACAUAAAUCUCGUUGCAGUUGAAGCAAAGGCCCUAGCGACGACGUUCUGCUAACUCUGCUGGAGUGAGGCGACGAACCUGCUGUGGUGGGGUUGGGUCUGGAGUGGUUGAUGUCAGAACAGGUGCUAGUGACACUGGCAGGGAAGGUAUUGUAACUGCGUUGACAGCAGGAAGAGCUGAGGGGCACAAGGGCUCUGUAGGACCAGAAGGCUGGUGUGGUGACGUUGUUGGAGGGAAAUGUCGCUGCUCAUAGGCCUUGGGGAAGAAGAUGGCGGUGUGGAGGUCAGAUGGCCGCUGAAGCUUGACGUCAACACGAAGACCAUCGGGCAGCCCUGCUGUGUACAGAAACCGUUGUUGGGACGGUUUUAACGGCUCAUUGUUGUGGCACAUGAGUGCUAGAGACCUGCUGGUGUAGUCGGCAACUGAGGAAGUGAACGGCAGAUGUGCCAACUCGCCCAAAGGGUUGGCGCGGAGUGACAGCCCAAACUGAACAUGGCAAGCUUCCUUGAACUGCUCCCAUGCCGGCAUGCGGAAUUCGCUCUCGAGCUGCAAGUACCAGAACUGAGCGUCAUUUGUGAGGUGGUACGCUGCAGUCCAGACAUUGUCAGCCUCGGCCGUGCGUUGUCCACGGAAAAACUGAUCGCACCUAUGGAGCCAACCAAGAGGAUUGGCCGAACCAUCAUACCUCGGGAAGUCGAGCUUGUGGAAGCGAGGCACACCUGAACCAGAACCUGAGCCGAGGUGAUUUUUUGGCAGGGGUGGAAGGGAGGUGAUGGGCGGGGUGGAUCCAUAGAUGGGUUGUGUAGGGGGGCGAGGCCAUAGUGGUGUAUGAAAUCUGUUGGCAGGUGGAGAUGUGAAGGCAGUAGAGGCGGCUGCAAAAAUCUGCUGCUGCCGCUGAUGGUAGGGUGGCUGCUGCUGAUGGUGGGGCUGCUGGUAGGUGGGUGGCAAAUUUGGGGUAGGGUUUGGGGUGGGAUUUGGGCUGUAGGGUGAGAGUGCCAAGUGGCCCAGAUUGAUAUUAGGGGGUGGCUGUGGCGAGUAAGGAGAUGGCUGGAGGUGGUAAAAGGGUGCUGGAAUGAUCUGAGGGUGGUUGGCAGCAAAAGUGAGGGGGUGGUGGGGGUGGGCAAUCUGCCCGCCGGGUGGAGGUCUGCCGCCGACGGUGAUUUCCUCGCUGGAAAAGGGGACACCAGAGGUGCUGUUGGCGAGGGGAAGUACGAUGGGCGAGUAGUCGUUGGGGAGGAGGGCCUGACCCGCGGAGGUGGCGGCUGCUGCAGCCUUGGAAUCUGGAGGUGGGGGCAGGGCCGGCAGCCGCUGCUCGAGCGCCGUCGAGCGCUGCACCAGCCUGGCGAGGAGCGUCUUGUCCUCCUCUCGUUGACGUGCGAAGGCCUCCACUUGCUUCGUGAUGAUCUUCAUCUGCUCCACAGCCUCGAUCUCGAUUUCUUUGCCCCUCAUUGUAGAUGGAUCUGAUACCAAAUUGGAAGAACUACUACUGAACUAACCCUAAUUACUGAAGGGCAGCCCGGUGCAUGUAGCUCCCGCUUGCGCAGGGUCCGGGGAAGGGUCCGACCACUUUGGGUCUAUUGUACGCAGCCUUCCCUACAUUUAUGUAAGAGGCUGUUUCCAGGCUAAUCCUAAUUACUGAAAAGUAGAUAAAAGUAAACGACAAUAUUCUUCUCUGCUUCAUUGAGAGGGGUCGGCCCCUUUAUAAUAGACAAGACUUGGCCAACAAGCCGGUAAAUCCAUUCAAACUCUAAUACUAUCUCUAAACUGACUGGACUCUUUCCUAACAAAGAUGGUUAAUCAACUAGGACUCUAAUUAAGGGAAUUAAGGGAUAAGACUCCACGUUUGAUGGGCUGGUCCACACAACAAUAUGUGCCAUGGAUCCAUCAGGUACACGUACCUUAUCCUUUCCUGAACAAGGUGUAUAGGAAGUGAAUAUAUUUGAAGCUCCUGUCAUGUGUUUAGUAGCUCCUGCAUCAAUAAUCCAAGAUUUGAUUGUGUUGUAGAACUGUGGGCCUGGUGAGGUGUCAUAGCUUGGUUCUUCCACAGCCUCGAUCUCAUGCAAGCUAGAUUCAGCUUUUGAGGAAUCCUGGGAGGAAGACAAGUCUUCUGAGAGUCUAAGCUUGGAGGUGAAACCCUCAAGAGCUCGCACAUCUACCACCUACAACUGGUAGCCCCCCCCCCCUCCCCCCGCGGAUGUAGUCAGAUUAGCUUGUCUUGUAUGAGCUCCCUCAUCUCCCCCUUGGCUGAGACUUUCAUUUUCCCCACCAAAUUUGAUAGCCAUGCAGCUCAAAGCAUGUAUCCUUUGUGUGUCCAACAGGCUUUUUGCAGUGGCUGCAAAAGAGUUAGCUUUUAUCUAUUUUAUCAAAGUACUUGGGAGCACCAUGAGCUUGCAUGGACAGGGCUGCACGUGCAUCUGCUUUUUCUUGACCAUGCUCCUUGGGUUGAGCAAGACGUGUCUCCUCAACCACACUGGAAAUGAUAUCGUCAAGGCUUAGCCAUUUAGUUUUGGAUAAUAUUAGCUGACGAAGGAGAUGAAACUCCUGAUUUAGGCCAUCAAAGAAAAGCUUGCCCACAAAUGGUUCAAAGCAGGUAUGGUGAGCAGCCAUGUCAUUCUUGUCAACAGGUGAAAAGGCUGAUAAUAAUGCAACUCCCUGUACAAUCUCUUCAUUUCACCUGCAUAUUCGGUCAUUGAAUUUGAGCCUUGCUUCAAGUUAGUCAACUCCUGCAUAAUGCGAGUAGCCUGCAUCUUAUUUGAUUUUCCUGAAAUGCUUCUCCAAAGCUUUCGAUACUUCAAAUGCAGUGUUCAUGGUCUCAACUUGUUCUCGAAUCGGUGGUUCCCUGCUUGCUAAUAAUCAGACCAACACUUGUCAUUGAUCUGUUUUGUGCUAGUGCCACUUUUCAGUUUCUGUUCAUCAGCACUAACCAAUGAGCAAUUAUUCAUAAACAUGAGAACUCAGAAUUAACUGGGCAUGUCAUGCCCAGCUGAUGUAAUUGCCCGGUAGGUGCAUACUUGACUGCUUUAGGUACCACUUUGAGUUGUUGCUGCUGCUCAAAUACUUUUGCUUAAAAUUUCAUACAACUUAUUCACACUAGAAUCCCCUGAUUCCCCUUCCUUGGAUCUGCCGUGACUACCACGACAAAUAAAAGGAACCAGUCACACAGGACUUGAUUUUGUAGCACUCCACUAACAACAAUACACUAGCGCAAACGCUGAUGGCAAGUAGAUGUAGUACUAGUACGAGUUGUUCUCGAAUGCACAGAGGCAGCACAGGCAGAGUAUUUUAAUCCGGCCACCAAGCAAAGAUGAGCUUUACAACAGCACUAAUCACAAUUGUCCAAAGGCAACCGCACUUACUAUUACCUUCUCACAGAGAUGGCCAAAUGCAGCGAUGAAGAAAGUAAAAUGUACUUGUAUGCACGCCUGGCCAAAUCGCAUGGGAUAAGCACCGGCAGAAGUACUAAAUGCACGUACCACUACCAAUCAGCUGGCCUUAGCAAUCAAUUGGACACCCAACAAGCCUGCAUACUGCUUAGACAUGGACAAGGCAGCAGCACCAAGUAUUUCCCGGCGGUAGCACACACAUCCAGUUUUCAUCACCGGCUGUCUGCGCAGCCGCACCGAACAGUGGUCAGCAAUGUGAUAGGCAGCAGUAUGCCAGUCGCGCCGCUCCUUGCUUCAGCUUUGAGACGAUGCAGUGGCAACUCGCGAUGACAAAGAGGAGUGCAUAGCAACCAACACCCACAGCGACACAACACCGCAAUCGGCCUCCACGAAGGUCCAAAUCACAGCGAAAUCACAUGGCAUUAACCUGUCCUGAUUCCAUGUUGGAAAUCAUCCAUGAUUUGAGGAGAUUAGUGUUAGGGAUUGGAGGGAGCCAUGGAGAGAACUAGGGGAAUUUCUGGACACGAUCCCCACUCCCUGUAUUCAAUGUGUAUAUUUUACUCUCUUAAGGAAUUACACAUUUAUAGUACUCAUACAUCAACAGUAUGAAGUAGAUAACCUGCUUGUGUUUAUAGUUAUAUGAAUUUGAGGAUGAAUGUCUUUAAUUCUUUCACCCCACAAAGGUUUAGAUUUGCAAUCUUGUUGUGUGAUGCAGUUAAGGUUCAACUUAGACAUCACCGCAAUCUGAAGUGUAGGAGUGCCCCUGAAGUUACCAUGGCCGAUGUGAGUGGACCUACUGCUAAUUUGACAUUUUAUUGGAAGAGAACAUUUUAUAUACAUCUAUUUAGAUUUUUAGUUGCACUAACCAAUGAUAUUUUCAUUUUUAGAUUGCUCCUGGUUCCAUCAACUUCCACAGGAACAUCGAAAAUUGUGUGGUUCGGAUAGUAUAUCGUGUGGAUGGAGAUGUUGUGAAAUCUACACUGGGUGUUGUGGUUUCAGUUGGGAGAGGCUACUGUGACAUUGUAGCAAGGAAUUCUAUAUUGGAAGUGAAGAAACCGAAUCGAGUUCGGGUUUAUUUUCCUAAUAAUGACAGAGUUCGUAUUACAUCAUCUGAGGACCUUGGCAAUAACAUUGGCAUGUUCCAUAUCUUGGGUAAUGAUCUACAAGUAGCUCCAAUGGUGCUUAGUUCUCAGGACCCUCUUCCAAAUGAGACUAUAUAUCUCUUCACAUACAAAUCAUUUGGAAGACAGUGUGCAAUAUUACCCCCAGGAAAUGUGACUAGGUGAGUUUCUCAAACCUACCUUUAGUGUUUUGUACUUCCUUUGUAAAGAAAUAUAAGUGUUUAGAUCACUACUUAGUGAUCUAAACGCUCUUAUAAUUCUUUACGGAGGGAGUAGCAUAUAAUUUUAUUCUUAUCUACUUUUUUUGUUGUUGUUAAAAACAGCAUUGCUGGAUGUCAGCUUAAACAUGAUUCUACAACUCCUGCCGAGGUUGAUGAAGAAGAUAGUGAUGGGGAAAUUCUAGUUAAUGCUAGAGGCGAACUUGUUGGUAUUGUUGAUGAAAAACACCGUCAACAUGCCACUACUUCAAGAGUAAUAAGAAAUGCACUCAAUAAGUUGGGAGGUUAAAGCUGAAUAGGCCAAAGAUCUAUUGGAAUUCCUUUUGAGUGGAUAUUUGUAAUGUGAAGUAACAUUUUGGUUUCAUGAAUUUCGCCACAAUGGUUAUUAAUGGUAUCAAGCUGAAUGCUUUGUGUGCCUGUCGUUUGGUAGUACCUGGAAAUAGACGGGCGAUGAAAUAUCUUGGAGAAAUAAUUCAUCAAAUGUGUCCUAACGCACAUAUUAUGCUCUCCAAAUAUACCAGCAAUCGCAUUAUAAAAUAACAUAUGGUUCCUAAUAUUCCCUGCAUGCUAACUCUUACAUGAUUCCGUGUAGUGUUAUAUUCCCUAUAGUGAUCUACUCCCUCCGUCCCAAAAUAAGUGUCUUAAAGCUUUAGUAUAAUUUUAUACUAGAGUUAGUACAAAGUUUAGACAUUUAUUUUGAGAGAGUGUCUCAAGCUUAGUACAAUUUUAUAUUAGAGCUAGUACAAAGUUUAGACAUUUAUUUUGAGAUGAAGGGAGUAAAACAGUGAUCUACUUACUCCGUCUCAAAAUUAGUGUGUCAAAGCUUAGUAUAACUUUGUACUAGAGUUAGUAAAGUUGAGGCACUUACUUUGGGAUGAAGGGAGUAAAACGUACUCAGCAUUAUAACUGUUUAUAGAGAGAGUAUGAUAUAACACCUAUAAAAAUACUUCCACUCAUCUAGCAAUCCUACAUGUGUAUAUAAACUCUUCCAUUGCUCAUACGGUUGUUCACUCGAAAGUCACAACCGAGGAAGGUGAAAUCAAGGAGCUUGACCUCAAGAUUGUCCUAUCCAAUUACGAAAUCGUUGUUGCUGGUAGUGGCUUCGAAGAUAUGAUUUUCUUCCCCGGAUAAAAAUUACGAAAUCAAGGAGCUCAUACGGUUGUUCACUCGAAAGUCACAACCGAAACAGUGAUUUUCUUCCCUGGAUAAAAAUUACCGUGAUGUUUGGACCUAAUUUAUCAGGUAAGCGGUUCGUAUAUUACCAUAUUAUUUUACGCAUAAGUAACUGAAGAUAUGAUUUUAAGAAAGAAAAAUCCCAGGUCAAAGUUAUCACAUUGUCUGUGCCUAAGUUAUCUGGUCUAUGGUGCGCAUAUUUUCAUGCUAUUUAUAUUGAAGUCAUCAAGUUGUGUAUUUAACCACUAUUUUCUGCCGGGUCAAAAAUAACGUGAGUAUUAUGUACCACUGAAGAUGCCGGAGUAUAUUUAAGCAACUUUUUUCCGGGUCAAAGUUAACAUAAUAUUUGUUCAUCAAGCUAUGAGAUGUAUAUCUCGCCAAAACAAGUCGUUUUCGUGGGCCGGACCACUAGCACGCUAUAAGGAUGUUUGUACAAAAGUUACCACGAUGUUUGUAUAUAAGUGAUCAAGUUUGUUAUGCGUGAGUUACCAUGCUAUUUACACAUAAAUUAUUGUCAAACAACACUCCCCCACUGGACCAAAAUUAUCAUGUAUACGGUACUUAUGUUAUCAUGCUAUUUUCACACAAGUUACCGGGGUGUGUUUCAAAAAUGGGUUUUCACCUGAUCGAGGUUUCUACAAUAUUUGUACAGAAGUUAUCAAGGUUGUGGUGAAUAAAUUAUCAUGUUAAGACCAUGAACUCAGCUCACAUCUAUGUACAAAGAGUACAAGAGUCUACUAUGUCAAACCGUGAGGUCAACUCAUAUCUCUAAUAUAUUUUUGAUAAAAAUGUAUGUUUUGUACAUUUUUUGGUAAAAAGUUUGUAAGAAAAAACGAAAACGACAGCAGAAUAACAAUCGAUCAGAUCUGUGAGUAGAAGAGUCUGCCUCAACUUGAAGGUAUGAAAAAUAUCUAACAUGAAUCAAAUCACAACAUAGAGUUUUUUUAGGUGGUUGCUGGUAGAUUCCUAAUACUGCUUGGUCUGUCAAAUCCGAGGUUCGACUCCCCCAACACUCCUUUUUUAGCGAAAUUAAAAAGAAGACAACCCAAAAACGCGUCUUGGAGUUGGGCAGGGAAUGAGCGGGAAUUACGGAUUGAGCGGGGACGAGCGAGACGUGCGGGAAUUGUGGAUCGGGAGCGGGCGGGAGCGGGGGCGAUCGUAAAGAAAUCAAAAGAAAAAAAACAGGCGGGAGCGAUCGUACGUGCCUGUCGCUAACUGCCAGUCGACAUGAAAAUAGCAUUCUCGUUAAGAAAAAGAGAAUUGCCUAGUUAAUUAAUGGAAAAUCGGGCGAAAACCGAUACAUAUGUGCCACAUGUAGACUACUCGCUAAUGAAGAAACUUCAUGAUCCCACGGUCAACCCGACAAACAUAUCUAACACGAAACAACCACGAACCCCCACACUUUUAUGUCGCAAAGAAACCAUCAACAAAAACAAGGUUGAAUACAUCGAACCUCACCAAAUCCACAGAGACGAGUCAGUCGGAGAUGGAGGAUGAAGAGACUGAGUAUUCUCCAUCAAGGAGCCGCGAACGCCUUACCCAUGGCGCUACUCUUCUUGCCUAUGCUCUUGAGAGCCUUCUUCACCUUCUUUAUUUUUCCCGUAGAAACCUCCUCCAUUAGGAUGCAAGCAAUCGCCUUGCGAGACCCAGAACAAGCUUCCUCCGAGGAGGCGAGUAAGCCGCCAACUUUUUCAUAAAGACCGCCUCAUCAAUACGUGCUAACAUAGCAUCACGGUCAAAGAUGGGCGACCGAAUGCGCUUCAACACCUCAGAAUUAGGUGCCAAAGCACCUACCUCAUCAACCUCGGCACCCACAGACGCCACCUGGCCAACAACCUCAAGUGAGAGAGCAAUAGCAGCAUCCAAACCUUCGUGGUCCACAAAGGUGAGCGGCUGACUAGACUCCAACGACGGUGGUGAGGUCACAGUCGACGUCACCAAGUCCCCUCCAAGCAAACCCAUCUCCUUAGGAAGCACCAUCGAAAUAAGCGAAGUGGGCUCCUCACAAAGCUUCUGCAGCUCAGGCAUAAUCUGUAGCACCGGAGCCACAACCUCGACAACGACUUCACUCCCAGAAGUAACUAGCAUGACAGGCAGCGGCAACUGAUAGGAUGUAGCACGAGGGGAGAGAUCUCCAUACAUGUCUGCAUCCCCAUCAGCAGAACCAACUUGGAUCUUGGGAAGCAGGGACACAUCCGGCACAUCCCCAAUCUGAAGCUCAGGUAGCGAAAACACAUUUGGCACCACCUCUAGUUUGGCAAGAGUAGCCUCCACCCUCCCCAAAACACCCAUGACUCGCGCAAGGCAGUCAUGAAGCUUAGUGUGAAGCAGCUCGGUCUCCUCCGCCAACCCGACCUGCUCAGCCAAGACAGACUGGAACUGCACAUCUAUCAUGGAGACAUCACAUGUGAAUGUAGGCGAUGGAGCAGGACAUUGGAGCGGUGAAGCUUGGUGGGCAGGCUUCUUAGCAUGGAAGAAGCGGGCAAUGUGACCGGAUCGAAGGAAAUUCAUGCAUUGGAUCAGAUCCCUACAUGAGUGUGCAUAGUGACCUCAACAGAGGCAUCAGAAACACAUGUCUCUUAGCCACGCCGGAAGGGGACACCGCAUAUUGAUAAUAGGGUGACAGAAAGCAACAGGAACCGAGCGAUGCCCCCUCGAGGGUUGCAAAUGUGGGAACAUCGAAGCAAGCAUUCAACAACAUUGCUGAGGCAGACCCCCCACCUGUCCACACCGGAGAUGAUGAGACUAUCACAACAGGCGACAAGAUGUUAGAGGACAUGAGAGUGGAACAACUGAAUUUUGCAAUGAAACUGAUGAAAUGUACCACGUUCUGAAAUAUUGAGAUUGUAAAAACUUGAUUCAAAGCCUCUUUUUUCAUAAGACUGCUUCUUUGUUUUUAAAAACUUGAUUUAAAGUCAGGUUGUUUGCGAGUGAUUUAAACCGAUUUAAUAAAAGUAAUUUAAAGUCAUAAACAUCAACUCCCUAAUUAGUGAUUACCUAGGGAACACUACCAUAACGCAUGGCAUAUUUGUACCUACCAAUAAAGGGAAUUGAUAUUCUUGGUCUAUUGUGCUGUUUUGCGAAAUUCCCCCUAACAUUUUUAUUAUCAACCCACAUUCUAUCAUGUGCCUUAUUUUUCACACACAUGCUAGCUUUGUGGGAAGAUAUCAGGUGAUACCAAGGCUUAGGUGAUACCAUGAUACGGGCUCCCGAGAGCCAUUGGAUCUCAUAUUUGAUGGCUAUCAGAAGCUCUUGAACAUUUAAAAGAAACGUCUGAGAGUCACAAAAUUGCGCACAGGUACAAUAGUUCUUUAGAUGCCAUCAAAUCUGAGAUCCAACGGCCGAGAAAUCCGUAUCACGGUAUUAGCUAAGUUUCGCUAUAACCUGAAAUUUUCCCUAGCUUCGCACGAACGGACGCCGCUAGCCUAUGCCCAUUUUUUCGCUCUUGCCCGUUCUGGGGGGUCACGUAGCUGUCCUACUUUUAUGGGAUGUGAGCCAGGCAAGUGGGCCUUUGACAAGAAUUCAUUUUAUGGGCCGAGACACGCCAGUGGGCUUCCUAAAAUCAGAAAAAAAUAGUUGUCAAUGAGGGGAAUCUAACAAGAUGAUAUCAUGUACCAAGAUCAAGUUGUAGUUACCAAUUGGGCUAGCAUAUAUUUGUGAACAAGGAGGAGGCCGUGCUACACAGGGAGGGCGCUCAAAUGAAUGAGGCAGAGCUGGGAGGGCCGGCGGGAGUUCUCCACCACCCCAUCAUAAAUCACUACCCCGCAAAAGAUAUUCACAAGAUGCCGGCUUUGAUGCUGAACCGGAGGACAUGGAUGAUGUAACAAGCCCGCUAAGGCCUUGUUCGGUUGCGUGUGAAUCCAAGUGGAUUGAAGGGGUUUGGGGGGAUUUAAACCUAUUAUAAGUCAAAAUACGAACCAAUCCUUGCCAAUCCCCUCUAAUCCUCUUGCAGAGAUGAUUAACCGAACAAGACGUGAAGGGGAAGGAAUCUGUAUGCUCUAAGAUGAGUAAGGAGUCAGCGACACGUAGAAGCCUGAACUUUUGCAUUGUAUGCAAGUACUGUCAAGCUAGGGGUGGCUACAAAUACAGAGAAGGAGAUGGUGGUUAGUGGCAACCUCACGUUGAUUCCUCCCGCAAAGGGAAAGCAGCUCACUCCAUAACACCUCCUGCAGCCCAGCCAAGUGACAUGUCGCCGCUGCCGCCGUCGUAUUUAUCCCCAUGGGAGAUAAAGAAGGCAAAUAAAGCAAAAUCCACAAAAAAAUUAGCACUAUUGGCGGGCUCCGAGCGGGCACCGUCAGACCCAAUGAAAACCCUAUGCUGGAACUGUCAUGGGAUUGGCGACCCCGUGGUAGUUUGGGAACUCAACAAUCUCGUGGAGCUAUGCUCACCCUCAAUUCUCUGCCUAGUUGAAACCCAACUCUCGAAGAGUUGGGUAGAAGGUCUUUGGUUUACUCUUGGUUUUGAUUUCAGUUUUGGUGUUGGUAGUAGCGGCUGCAAUGGCGGUCUUUGUGUUUUUUUGGAAGAACUCGAUAGAUGUAUUAAUAAAGAAUUUUUCUUAGUAUCAUGUUGAUGCCUAGGUGAAGGAACCAGGGAAGGAGCAAUGUCAACUGUCAUGUUGUUAUGGUGAAGCAAAUCACAGUCUCCGGUAUAAAACUUGGGAUACGCCAAAGUCAUUAAGAGGAGAAAGCACCUUACCAUGGGUUUGUAUCGGCGACUUCAACAAGAUCCUCUGGAUGGAGGAACAAAUUGACCUAAUGAAUGGGCUGGUGCACAAAUGGAGGCUUUCCGAGAAGCUAUAGAUGUAUGUGCCCUUGCUGAUCUGAGGUACAUGGGGCUAGAUUGGACGUGGGAGAAAAAAGUUGCUGGUGGACACCAAUGCCGAGUUCAUCUGGAUAGAGCCUUGGUCACAGCGUGCUGGUCUUUCCUGUUCCCUUUCGCAACCUUGGGACACCUAACAACAGUAAAAUCUAACCACUGUCCCAUCAUGUUGGAACGGAAAGAGUGGAGACAUGUGUUAGGGCAACACUACGACCUUUCAGGUAUGAAUGGAUGUGGGAAUGCGACUCUCGCUUUGGCGUUGUUGUUGAUGAAGCUUGGAAAUCAGUUGGGCGUUCGCACUCGUUGGCGGGGCUCUCGGCGAAACUCUCAACUAUAGAUGCAACCCUACAGAGUUGGGGCCGAAACACCUUUGGCUCAAUCGGGCUGAGCUACGGCAACUUUGAGGAAGGCUAGGGGAGCUUCAUGAUGAACUGGGAAGAGUAGCACCAUCUCAGGAGGAGAAGGAUGUGGAGACACGCAUCAUCAAGCUGUGCAAUUAGGAAGAGGUUAUGUGGCGCCAAAGGGCCUAUAUUCAGUGGCUUGCCGAGGGGGAAAUCAACACAAAGUUUUUUCAUUAAAAGGCGAGCGCCCGCAAGGCCAAAAUCGCAUUGUUGAACUACAAAUAACCGAUGGCUCAGUGAACAAUGACCCAGAGGAAAUGGUAGCCAUGGCCAUGACCUUUCACGAAAAUCUAUAUACUUCUAAAAGUACAAUUGGUAUAGAGGAGGUGCUAUUGCAUAUACCAGUGAAAUUUGAUGGCCUCCAUGAACAACAAGCUGAACGCACCCUAUACCAAGGAGGGGGUGAAGAAUGCACUCUUCCAAAUGUUCCCAACGAAGGCUCCCGACCCCGAUGGAUUUCCUGCUCACCUUUUUUAGAGACAUUGGGAUUUGAGUGGUGAUGAGGUAAUUGAUAUGGUGCUACGAGUUCUCAGUGGAGAUGAUUGCCCGGAGAAGAUAAAAAGACGUUCACUGUUUUAAUUCCCAAAAUUUCCAGUCCAAAAAAUCUAGGAUAGUUUCGACCGAUAAGUCUCUGCAAUGUGAUCUUCAAGAUCGCAUCAAAGGUACUUGCUAAUUGGCUCAAACUCAUUCUCCCCGAUGUCUUUUCCGAGGAACAAUAUGCAUUCAUACCUGGAUGAAUUAUUACUGAUAAUUUCAUCUCAGCCUAUGAGUGUUUACAUUGCAUGAAAACUAGGAAAGUAAAUGGGAACAAGUUUUGUGCUCUUAAGCUUGAUAUGAUGAAGGCCUAUGAUAGGCUUGAGUGGUCUUAUUUGAAGGCAGUGAUGCUAAAACUUGGGAUUAGUAAACGGUUCACAGAGACCAUUAUGAGAUGUAUCACUUCCAUGUAUUUCUCAGCUAUGUCCAAUGGAGGAAAGUUAAAAGAGUCUAAGCCUUCUAGUGGGCUCCGGCAGGGAGAUCCUAUCUUCCCCUAUUUGUUUUUGGCUGCGGCUGAGGGCUUGUCUUGCUUGUUAAAAUCAGUAUUACUAGAAGAGGUCAUCCAUGGUAUCCAGGUGGCCCCCAAUGCUCCACAGGUUAAUCACCUUUUCUUUGCGGAUGAUAGCUUACUUUGUUUCAAUGCUACUUGAUGACCCACAAGUAUAGGGGAUCAAUCGUAGUCCUUUUGAUAAGUAAGAGUGUCGAACCCAACGAGGAGCAGAAGGAAAUGACAAGCAGUUUUCGGUAAGGUAUUGUCUGUAAGCACUAAAAUUAUUGGUAACAGAUUGUUUGAUAACAAGGUAAUUUGUAAUGAGCAACAUGUAGCAGCUGUAACAAAAUUGCAGCAAGGUAGCCCAAUCCUUUUUAUAGCAAAGGACAUGCUAGAAUGGUUUCUUAUAGUAAGCAAAGCAUUCUCAAGGACACAUGGGAAUUUCAUCUAGUCACUUUCAUCAUGUUUAUUUGAUUCACGUUCUCUACUUUGAUAAUUUGAUAUGUGGGUGGGCCGGUGCUUGGGUGCUGUUCUUACUUGAACAAGCCUCCCACUUAUGAUUACCCCCUAUCGCAAGCAUCCACAACUACAAAAGAAGAAUUAAGAUAAAUCUAACCAUAUCAUGAAACAUAUGGAUCACAAUCAGCCCUUAUGGAAGCGCAUAAACUAGGGUUUAAGCACUACAAAAAAAUACACUUCCGUGUUGAUAUGUGUUUGUCACAGUAGGUCAUGUUUUCUGUCAUGCAUGUACAUCCAUGACAAUUUUAUGACAGAAUCAAGAUAGUCAUACAUGUGUUGUCGUAGAAGUGUUCCAUGACAUUACCAAAAUUAUCAUCACGGAAGUGUCCACUUCCAUGACGAUAAAUCGCGCGUCAUAAAAGUGCUUUCAUCAAGGGUGACUGACACGUGGCAUCGAUUGUAACGGGUCGCCGUUAAGCUAACGGGUCCGGUUUUGGAUCCGAUAACCCGCUAACAGGCACGACCAAUGAUGAUUUUCCACGUGUAAAAUUCUCAUUGGCUGACGGAACCACAUGUCAGCUCCGCGUUGGCACAGGUGUCACUCAUCCAAUGGGCGAGAUGCGCCUAUGAUACGUUGACACGUGGACUAGCCCAAAAGUGGCCCAUAAAGAUUAAAUGGGCCGGCCCAACUAAAGGCCCACAAGAUUUAGCGGACCAUAAUGGGCCGGCCUAGCUAAAGGCCCACAAGAUUUUGCAGACCAUAAUGGGCCGGCCCAGCUAAAGGCCCAACAUUCUCAGUUAAGGCCCUUACGGCUAGUGUCAAAUCGGCCCGUCAAUGGCCUGUCCUAAACUUGUCAUCAUCGCGGCCCAUGGUCACUUCUGGCUCGUUAACAAUCAGCUAAGUAUUUGGGACAAAUUACGGCCCGGUGUGUUUCCGGCCUGUUAAAGGUCCUGCUUCAUUUGGGCCCAUUUAUAGGCCAUUGAAACUUUCGGCCCAUAAACGACCGUGAAGGAUAUGGGUCAUAUUCGGCCAUGUCUGACAUUCGGCCUGUUAGAGGCCCACUAUAGAUUUGGGCCACUUUAAGCCUAUUGUGACUUUCGGCCUGUUAAUGUCAGACAAAAUCCAUGGGCCAUAUGUGGCCCAACGCCACAUCGGGCCUACUAACGGUCCAUAUAAAAAUGACACUAAUCAAGCCCGACCAAACUUCCGGCCUGUUAAAGGCCCGUGUAGUAGGUCGACGAAUUUACGGCCUGUCUGAAUUUCGUCCUGUGGAUGAUCCGCAUUGCAAAUGGGCCACCAUUUCGGCCUGGAGACCAGUGGGUUGUUUGGCACAAUCACGGCCCAAUCUUACUUUCGGCCUAUUAAAGGCCCAUGUUUUUAUGGGCUCGAGAUAUUUACACCUAUAAAUGGCCUAUUAUUAUCGAGGGCCCAAAUUACGUUUAGGCCUGUUAAAGGCCCACUAUGGGCACAUGCCUACCAGAAAAAUAUGAAAGCUUAUGCUGAUUUAGGCCCAGAUAUUUUUAGUGGGAUACAUGCAAAUUUUGGCCCAGAAUCGUUUUUAGCCCAUUGGAAUGGGCCCGAUGAAUGUUGGCAUGUUCGGCUCCUAUGAAGCUUUCAGCCGAAUACAUUACUAAGAUAAACCUACACUAUAUAGAAAUAGCGUCGUAAUUACUCCAGCCUUUGGUGGAAACAUAAAUGCUGUAUCACAACAAAAUAAAUUCCAACCAUACAACAAAAGGCCUGUUGGCAUAAAGUUUACAGUCCUUGCAGAUAAAAGCACCAUUAGAUGUAUAGAAGCACAUAUCAUUUGACCUGAGUGCUAAUAUUUCAGACUGUAGAAUCUAAUGGAGCAACAUGAUCUUCCCCUUUUUUCCGCCAUUGCUCUUGAACAAUGAAGCAAAUGUCUGAUAGUACGGUUUCAAAACCAUUCAUAUCUUCACAACAUUUGUCAACCACUAUUCUUGUUUCCGACACAACGUCCAUUAGGGGUCCAUUAGGGAUUGGACUUGUGUCUGGAGCACAGAUAUAUCACUCUGUCUAGCCGGAAGAUUUUGUUUAGUAGGCGAUUUGGACGAGGUUACCUUGACAACCAAACCAGAAUUACGCAGGAAGGUGCUUUUGCACUGUUAGUGGAGAGAUAUCAACGCACUGCAGCAAGAGGUGACAUUGUGCCUGUGGUAGCCUCGUCACCUUCAGGUGGUUGUGGCUGUUCAAUCAUUUGUUCCAUAGCUUGCUAAAAGUUUGAACUUGUAGAUUAGUGUACCAGAUAAGUUACUAAUGAGACGAAAACAAACAAACUAGAUUUCACGUUUAUACAUAACUUAUUUUGGUGAACUACUGUAAUACAUUAGCAUGUAUUGUAGUGCCAACUACAUAAUAAAAUCACUUUCUGAACAUAUGUCCAUGUAGCAUGCCUACUGUAUUGUCUAUUUCCUCACAUUCAUUGACAUCUAAGGAUAAAGAGACAUGGUUUAAAGUAGGAUGAACAUAGUAUGACAUCAUUCAUAUCAUGGGCAAACAUAUAUAAAACAAGCAGGCUAUUGUAUCAUUGUGUGCGCACGUGAACAUCACAACUAGAUUACAGAUCAAGACCAAAAGAAUAUCCUUCAUCUCUUUUAAACCAUGUAAGGUGAAAUGAUACGUUAAGACAACUAUGAAUAAAAGUGAACAGAGUAACUGACAUUGGCUGCAAACCAAGCAGUUAAAUGAACACAUCACAGUACCAAUUAGUUCAAAGGCAGGAGGAGUAAGGACUUACAACAGUGGCCUGAACUGGUGUGCUCAUGCCCUUCAUCUUGCUAGUGUGGCUAUCCUUGAAGAUUUGUACUGCAUUUGGUUUAGGUUCUUUUUGGUCCGCAUGGGUUUUCCUCUGUAUUUGAACAAGUCAAUAUAGAUACAAUAAUAUGGCACAAAAAAAGAAGGAACUAGCAGCUAUUUACAAGAGCCUCGCAGUGUGCAAUAUAGCUACGAGAUCCUGUUGUCUGUUGGAAUUUCACUGUUGAACUGUUGGUCUUGUUCUUCAAAUAGUUAGCCUAGAAGAAGAUACACUUGUAAGGCACAUACAUAAAUACAAGUUCAAUAUGUGGUCUAGUCAAAUACAUAUACCCUACCUGAUACUUUGGAUCAGACCAGUGUUUAACAAGGGCUGCCCAGUCUUUGUCUGUAAUAUAUUCCACUGGAGAUGUUUGGGCGAUUUCAUUGUUAGCCCUGCCUUCAAAGUGAGAUUUUCUAAGGUGGUACCGAUACUGUCAAAACUAGCGGAUCUCAGGUAGGGGGUCCCGAACUGUGCAUCUAAGGUUGAUGGUAACAGGAGACGGGGGACACAAUGUUUACCCAGGUUCGGGCCCUCUCUAUGGAGGUAAUACCCUAGUUCCUGCUUGAUUGAUCUUGAUGAAUAUGAGUAUUACAAGAGUUGAUCUACCUCGAGAUCGUAAUGGCCAAAACCCUAAAAGUCUAGCCUGUAUGACUAUGAUUAUUCUUGCCUCUACGGACUAAGCCCUCCGGUUUAUAUAGACACCGGAGGGGACUAGGGUUGUACAAAGUUGGUUACAGAGAAAGGAAUCUUCAUAUCAGGGCGCCAAGCUUGCCUUCCACGCCAAGGAGAGUCCCAUCCGGACACGGGAGAGAGUCUUCGGCCUUGUAUCUUCACAGCCCAUCAGUCCGGCCUACGUAUCAUAGUCCGAACGCCCGAGGACCCCUUAAUCCAGGGCUCCCUCAGUAGCCCCUGAACCAGGCUUCAAUGACGAGGUGUCCGGCGCACAGAUUGUCUUCAACAUUGCAAGGCGUGUUCCUUCUUCAAAUACUCCAAUCGCAGUCCAAUCCGCUGACAAUUUUUUAGAGAGUAUAAUAUUUCACGAGUCCAAUCCGCUGACAAUUUUUUUGUAACGUGAUAUCACAUCCCUGCCCGGUUAUUAUUUCGAACCGUUUUUUGGCCUGCCGCUUCACAUUUCAAGAUGCGGUUUCUAUUGGCACGUCUUGUUGCAGCAGAGAUCGUGUCCCCUUAUUACGGGAUUCUCAUCAAUACGGGCGUGGGUAAUGCAACCGUGCUGUCUGCAUAGCCCUUGGGAACAGGCGAGUUUUAAGGUGAGUGGGGAGGCGCUUGAUAUUCACUGCCUUUACAAGGAGAUAAGGAUUCCUUUCUUUCACCCACACCUUCUCUCUUUCUCUGCCCUCCCACUCUCGAGCUCCAGCACCCAAGUCCUCGUCUUUUCCGCCUCAAGAAAGCACUCGAUCAUGUCCGGAUCUGGAGCGCAAGGCAAGUGGAUGGCCUCCUCCGUCAAGGAGAAGGACAUCACUAAGCUUCGGGAGGCCGGAUAUCUGACCAAGGAAAUCGCCCACCGGCUUCCGGCCAAGGGGCAGAUCGUCCCCACCCCGGAGCCCAAUGAGAGGGUGGUGUUCAUUCCCUACUUCGUCCACGGGUUAGAGUUGCCUCUCCACCCUUUCGUCUACGGACUCAUGUUCUACUACGGGCUAGAUUUCCAUGAUCUGGCCCCAAAUUCUUUCCUCAACAUCUCGACAUUUAUGUCAUGUGUGAGGCCUUCCUCUGCAUUCCACCCCACUUCGGACUGUGGCUUAAGAUCUUCAACGUGAAGCCGAAGGUGGUGGAUGGCCAACACGCAGAGUGCGGAGGUGCCAUGGUGAGCAAGAUGCCCAAUGUAAGAUGGCCCAAAGGUACCUUUCUGGAGACCGUCAAAGGGUGGCAGCAACUAUGGUUCUAUGUCACAGAGCCCCGCGACGCCACCUGGGCCGCGGCUCCCGAAUUCAAGUCCGGAGCCCCAAUCCGGCUCACCUCCUAGCUAGAGAAGGGCCUGAAUUGGUCUUCGUCCGACGAGCUGACAGUGUUGCAAACGCGCAUCCAGAGCAUGGUGGACAAGAACAUCAAGCUCGUCAAUGUGAUCUAGGUGAUGCUAGUUCGCCGGAUCCUUCCAUGCCAGAGCCAUACUUGCCAUUUAUGGGAAUUCAAUCCGGCCGAGCACCAGACCUUGCAACGGUUCUUCGGAACUAUGCACGGAGAUAUCUGGAAGGUGCUCUUUAAGGGCAACGGGACGCGGCCGGAGACGACCGAGGACCGUGGGCACGCCCUGGUCCAUCCUGCCAGUGCGGUAAGUCUUUCGCAUUUCAAGGUGCAUACUUUACUUGAUUAGUCAGGGAAGAUAUCUAAACCUCACUAUUUAUUUUUCCAGGGCUGGACAAAGAAGGCAGAGUGAAUGCGGUGUCCGGCUCCGCUGCCCGAGGAACCAGUAAUUCCACUUUUGACGAAGAUGCUGGUUCCAGCGCCCUACCAGGCGCUGGAGAAGAAGGCCAAGGGGGUCAGAAGUGGUCCCUGCCGCAAGGGUGCUUCGGACGUGACGUCCGAAGAUGCCGAGAGUCACUCCUCUGCCGCCGAGGAUGAGGAGGAGGAAGAAGAAAGCAACUCUCCCUGUGAGGGGGGAAGGAAGAAGACAGCGGCCUCCACAGAUCUGGAGGCAGAGGCAUCCAAGAGGGGGAAGGGCUCCCUCGUGGAUAGCUCCACGUGGGACAUCGACAGCAGCCCAAAGCGGUGCCCCCGAAACAAGCCCCUGGCCGAAUUGUGAGUACCUGACACAUUCAUGUAUUCAGCCUCUUCAGUUUGUAGUUUUAACGUGUUGAAUCAUGCACUUGCAGUCUGACCCGUUCUGACCUCGAGCGAUCCUCAUCUUCGGGGAAUUCGCUAGACCCGAAGGUGAUGGACAGCGGGUCCCUUCCGGCGGCCUCCUCUCCCCGGGCCAUGAAUGACACCAAGGUGUUGUCCCGAAGGAUCCCAGGCCAGGGGAGACACAGGAGGCCGCCAGGACGGCACCAGAGGGUGAAGCCUCGGCUGUCGAACACAUGAGGGAGCAAAUCCCCAUGGAGACUGGCGAUGGGGGCCAUAUUCAGUUCGCCCCCCAGCCGAAUACGGUCCCGGAGACCUAUGCGGCUCCGGAACCCGGCAAGCAGCCUCCUUCGAAAGAAGGAGGUGCGCCUAUCCGGCAGGUGACCUCAGUCCAACCAGAGGCGUCGGACACCCUAAUGGACGCACCGCGAAGUGCUUCCAUUGUUGAGGAACACCGUACCCUUAUGGGUACGGUGGUUGGGAGGAUUUAGUCCGCGAAGAGCGGACUGACCGAAGCCUGCACAAGCCUUCUAACAGGCUUAGGUAAGCAACGCAAUUAUGUAAAAGAAUGUCACAGUAUAAACAGUAGCCCCUGAGACACUGUUCGGUGUUCGAAAAGAAAAGCCGGACGGAGGAUCAAGUAAUUUUCGUAGAAAACUAACUAAAUAUGCAUUAUGUGAAUAAGCAGGUGUCGUUGCAGGCCGCAACCUCUCAUGCUGCUGAGGUCUCCGGACUAAAGUAGAGUCUGGAGCGGGCCGAGGAAGAGCUCGGCCGUGUAAAAAAGCAGCUGGAGGACAAGCAAGGUAUGUGAUGACCUUGUGUAUAUCCGGAAAAGGAUGAAUGACUUGUGCUGACCAUAGUGCCAUGAUAUUUGUAGGAGCGGCUACUGAGGUGGAAACCCUCAAGAAAGCACUAGCUGAGGCCAAAAAGAAAGCGGCAAAGGAGCAAGCCGCCCGUGAAAAACAUAAGGCCAAGGUUGGUGAGGUCCAGCAGGAGCUCCAGAACAUCGUCAAGAAAUGGGAGUCAUUGGAGCGCGACAUUGCGGAUCAAGAGACCGAACUCGCCAAGGCUCGCCAGAGCGCACAAGAUGCCCGGGUUGAAGCCUAGGGCGCCCUCCAGGAAAUCCAGGAGGUCAAGAAAAUCACGGCGGGUUAGGCUUUUAUUAUGCAAAGCAAGUAUGUGAAGAAGAGGUAUCUCUUACUAACCCAGAUUUGGAGUUCUCCAAUAGCGUUUGCGGAUCUGCUGUGCAGUGUUUAUGAUGCUGCGGAAUUCUUUCGAGCCGAAGAGGGGAGCUCAACGGAGAAGCUGUUCUUAUUGCAAUACCUUGCGCCAGAACAUCCAGUGCCCUUUAGCGAUCAACUAAAAUAGCUGGUCGAACUGCAUCGGGUGGCCGAACUGGCCAUGAAGGAUUUAAUAAUCCGGCUGUGGCCUGCCGAAGCUAUACCCAGCAGCUACUUCAGGCUCGUGAAGCGGCUGGUUAGUGCCUGCCCCCGGCUUGAUGUUAUCAAGCGAUCGGUCUGCAUCGAGGGUGCGCGGAUGGCCUUCGCCCACGUCAAGGUGCAGUGGACGAAGAUGAAUGCCGUCAAGCUCGCGACCGAGGGACCGCCCAAGGGCAGGGAGCACCGCACGCCCGAGCAAUAUUUUAGCGAUGUCCUGGAGGGAUCCCUCGUUGUAGCGGAGCAAUGUGUGAAAGAUGUAAUCUUUGAAUGAAUACAUUUAUGUUAUCUUGCCUUGUAUUAUGAAACAAAGUCAAUUAUGUAAUAUAGUGCUUGUUAAAAUUUUCCCUCCUGUGCGGCUAGGGUUGGAAUUCAAGCCGAGUCGAGCCAGCUCGGCUCGACUCGCCAGAGCUCGUUUCGUUAACGAGCUAGCUCGACUCGACUCGUUACUAUAACAAGCUCAAACCCAAGAUUGGUUCAACUCGUAUAACUCGCGAGCUGGCUCGUUUAGCUUGUUAAGCUUGUUAAAUAUAUAAACAUAAAGCCCUCAAAUAUAAUAAAAAUGAUUAUGUAUAUAUAUUAAAUAUAUAUAUCACUGAACAAUUGUAAUUUCCUUGUAACGCAUCAGUCUUCUAGGAGGCUAGGCCUUCAACGGCUAGGCCUUGGGUUAUGCACUUGGGACCUAGGCUCUUUAGUGGCUGAUCUUUCUUUGUAUUGGUAUUGGCUGAUCUAUUGUAUCGAGUCUAACGAGUUACACGAGUACUCGUGAGAUUAGCUCAUUUAACUUGGUAUGUAAACGAUCUUAAACUAAAGCUCGGCUCGACUCGUUAUUCUUUGAGUUCGAGUCGAUUCGAGCCGACUCACGAGCUACUUGUUUAGCUCGCGAGCUUCGAGCUUUUCUUCCAGCCCUAUGUGCGGCCGUGUUUAUGAAAUCUGAGAGUUGGCCAGUCGUUGGCUUCAACCCCCACAUAGGUAGUAUGGGGGUGUUCGGGAUGGAAUCUAAACACUCUUGAUCCAAUUAUUUGGUCCUUGAAGGAGGUGUUUAGCACAACGAACCAGGCAAUCGGACUAUGUGGCUUUAUCACCCUCACUUAGCCAUAGGAGCUUGACAAUAAAAAUUUAGGCACAUCCCCUAGUAUCCGAACUAGGGUGCUGUAAACACCUGAUUGGGUAAGAACUGAUUCAUCGCAUAAUGCGAAAAAAAUCGCUAAAGAUUUGAAACCUCCGAAGAGCUGACUGGCUCACGCUACAUCAUGACAGUCAAUUUUUGGCUUUCUCUACUAAGGUAAUCAUCCGGAUAAACCAAGACGCAACCGCAGUAGUUCUCCCUGUACUACCCUGGCCGAUAUAGCGGAACAUAAGGUAGUAAGCACAGGAGUCGGGCAACCCAACUAUUGACCAAAGACAUGAUUCAGAGCCAAUGCAUAUAAUGCUAAAUUUGGGGUGCCGAACUACAUUGUAAAAAGUGUUCAGACUUUGUUGCCAUAUUAUGGGGCGCAAUGAAGCCCCUAGUGAAUUAAAGCGUACCAAAGUGUACAGGUGCGAUUUGAUAAGAUUAUCAAAAAAAGGUAGCAAGCUAGUGCCGCGGAAGUUGGGACGCAAACUAUUUCCAUUAUAGUUUGAUUAAUACGUCAAAGCAUAUUUGUACAAGUAGUGCAAUAAGCAACAUGGCUAUUUAAUAUGCCACAACCAAGGGAGAGCUGCGUGCGGGUCCUGAAAACAGGUAGAGUGAUCAUUAAAGAGACCACCUAGAAAUUCCUUUAUACGUCAGUGCUUCUUGCCGUCUUGGUGUAUCUAUCCUUUCGAAAGGACCGGUGAUCAGGCCGUCAGAAAAAGCCUGUGGAAAAGAAACCUGAAAAGGAUAAAAAAGAAAAAGUGAAAGUAUGCGUGUCCAGGGGGGUCGAGCUGUAUUAUGGAUCACAAUCUGGUUAAGCCUCCGUCUAUGCCCAUGGUAUUUUGAGUGCGUAGUUAUGUACGCGCGGUACAAACGCCACCACUUGGUCGGGACUGGGAUGGAGGCUGAAUUGCUAGUCGAGCUCUUGACGAGUCGGGCUGUCCUGCUGCAGAGUAGUCUGGACUCGUUUGACAGUGUCCGGGACCUCGGCCGCCGAAUUAAGGUUCUGCUUGAGAAGGCCGCUCUGUACUUCUGCUGCUAAAGGAUCGGUGUGCUCCUCGGUACGGAGGGAGCAUUCCAUGUUUCCAUUGACUGUUAUGACACCGCGUGGUCCGGGCAUCUUGAGCUUGAGAUAAGCAUAGUGUGGCACUGCGUAGUCCAACACCUCGUCAUCAAAUUGAGGUAACAAUUUGUGCUUCCGGUAAACUUUUAGUUGGGUGAUCGAGGCCGUGUUCCUCGGCUGCCAUGACAUUAGUCCAUCUGUCGUUGAGCAGGUCUUGAUCAGCUUGAAGCUGUUGCUGCUUCUUUUUCAGGCUCCUCGCAGUGGCUAUUAGCCGGCGCUUAAAGCGCUCCUGCUCGAGAGGUUCCUCAGGCACGAUGAAAUCCUCGUUGCCGAGGCUCACCUCAUCCUUGGAGAGUGGAAGAUAAUUACUGUCCCCCGAGUCUUUGUUUACGGCCAGUUCAUCAGGGCUGACUCGCCCGUCCUCCCGUUCGUCCUGUUCGGAGGUUGGCUCAGCGGGGUAUUCCUUAUUUUCGGCAUCGUCCGGAGUAUUGUUUUCUCUUGUGCCGGUAUCGCUGUCUUUUCCACGACAUGACUUAGAGCAGCGCUGCUGACGUCGGUGUUUUGGCUGUAUCUCAGGAGGUUUAUCCUCGACUAGAUCCUUCUCGUUAUUGCCAUUGUUCUCUUUAGGUGUAUCCACCAUGUACACGUCAUACGAAGAAGUGGCCGUCCAGCGACCGGUGAACGGCGGAUUUUGGCCCUGCUCCUCUUCGGCAUCGUCGUCCAUACCAUCGAUAUCUUCAUAGCCGUAGUCGAGCGUGUCAGUUAAGUCUUCGACAAUGACUAUGAAGUGGGUGGUGGGUGGGAAGCGAAAUUCUCCGUCAUCAGCCUCCAGUUCGAACCGGAUAUAUUCGGCUGUGAGUCCUCCGCUAAGGAGAGUGUUUUUAGUGAAUUUAGCACAUCGCUUAAAGGUGAGUGGUGGAAGAUGUCCGCGGAGCUAAAUUCGAUGAUCGAUGUCUGAUCAAGCUCGACAUACGCGGAUGCACGUGGUUUGGAACCCGUAGCCGGAAACGAGUCCGAGGCUCCGGUGGCGCAAAUUCCACCUGAGGUUGGGUCCGUGUGCGGCUCCAACGCCACUGAGUCUAUGGCUUCCAUGGCGGGGUUGAGCUUCUCGUCCCUGGACGAUGCGAUCUGCUCCAGAUCUAGGGCCAGAGCAGUUACAGAUCUAGAGCCAGUCAGUGUUAUGAUCUUCCACGAAACACCAGCGACCACCGACCCAGUCCCCUGCCUCCGCCCUCCCCUAAAACUCACCGCAGUGCCAUGCUUGGCACCGCCUCCCGGCCAUCCCUUCAAACCCCGCCGACCUCCAGAUCGGGUGCAAGUAGCUCCUGCACCCCACACCCCUAUGAUAGGCACUGAUGCGCCACUUCCCCGACGAACUGGCAGACUAGAUGCUCCGCACGCCUAAGCAGGUGCUGCUUCUUUUAAUUGCGAUUCGACUGACCCUAAAUUAAAAUCCAGGCGGGCUACUAACCUCUAGCAAAGGUGUAAUAGUAAAUGAGAGGAAACCUUAUGCAUUUAGUAUCAUGAAUAAGAUGCAGUACGAAGCGCUCAACUAGUUUCUUUCAUGGGAUGAAUACGGUGUGAGCAGAGACGUAAGAUUUGCACGAAUAAGGGAAGAGGAGUACCUCUUUCUACUGGCAGUGUUGUGUCCUACUUCUGCUUUUCCAACGAUCUUCUUGUGGUUCACUAGAAACGAGAAGUUGCGGAGGACGGUGGAGCCUUGGAUGAACCCAUGGCCAAGUUCUUGAGUGUGGUGCGGUGGCCGUCUGUAGGUGGCGGGGAACCAGAUCUGAGGCGGUGAACGACAGCGCCGCGAGAACAACUCUGGUGCGGUGGACGGUUGUGACAGUGGAGCGGCAGCGGUGAGGCGUAUGACAGCGUGGUCGACAUGGUUCUGAUAUGGCGCACGUCGGCGUCGGCAUCGUGGAGGCAGCUCUGCCUCGGCUUCAGCUGGUAAGUCCUUGAAGGUGUUGCGGUUGCGGUUGCGUUGGACGAUGACGUCGGGGUUCUUGCUACCUCUUGAGCACUGCGUUGGAUUUCCCCGCAGAGGAGAGGAUGAUGCAGCAAAGUAGCGUAAGUAUUUCCCUCAGUUUUUGAGAACCAAGGUAUCAAUCCAGUAGGAGACCACGCACAAGUCCCUCGUACCUACACAAAAUGAUAGCUCCUCGACACCAACCCGAUUAGGGGUUGUCAAUCCCUUCACGGUCACUUACGAGAGUGAGAUCUGAUAGAGAUGAUAAAUAAUAUUUUUGGUAUUUUUGAUAUAUAGAUGCAAAGUGAAAAGUAAAAGGCAAAGCAAGUAAUAAAGUAAUGGAGAUUGAUAUGAUGAGAAUAGACCCGGGGGCCAUAGGUUUCACUAGUGGCUUCUCUCAAGAGCAUAGAUAUUCUACGGUGGGUGAACAAAUUACUGUUGAGCAAUUGACAGAACUGAGCAUAAUUAUGAGUAUAUCUAGGUAUGAUCAUGUAUAUAGGCAUCACGUCUGAGAAAAGUAGAUUGAAACGAUUCUGCAUCUACUACUAUUACUCCACUCAUCGACCGCUAUCCAGCAUGCAUCUAGAGUAUUAAGUUAAAAACAGAGUAAUGCCUUAAGCAAGAUGACAUGAUGUAGAGGGAUAAAUUCAUGCAAUAUGAUAAAAACCCCAUCUUGUUAUCCUCGAUGGCAACAAUACAAUACGUGCCUUGCUGCCCCUUCUGUCACUGGGAAAGGACACCGCAAGAUUGAACCCAAAGCUAAGCACUUCUCCCAUUGCAAGAACUACUAAUCUAGUUGGCCAAACCAAAAGGAUAAUUCGAAGAGACUUGCAAAGAUAACUCAAUCACACAUAAAAGAAUUCAGAGAAGAUUCAAAUAUUGUUCAUAUAUAAGCUGGAUCAUAAACCCACAAUUCAUUGGUCUCAACAAACACACCGCAAAAAGAAGAUUACAUCGAAUAGAUCUCCACGAGAGAGGGGGAGAACAUUGUAUUGAGAUCCAAAAAGAGAGAAGAAGCCAUCUAGCUACUAGCUGUGGACCCGAAGGUCUGAAGUAAACUACUCACACUUCAUCGGAGGGGCUAUGGUGUUGAUGUAGAAGUCCUCCAUGGUGGAUGCCCCCUCCGGCGGAGCUCCAGAACAGGCCCCAAGAUGGGAUCUCAUGGAUACAGAAGGUUGCGGCGGUGGAAUUAGGUUUUUGGCUCCUGUUCUGAUCGUUUGGGGAUACAUAGGUAUAUAUAGGAGGAAGGAGUACGUCAGUGGAGCAACAGGAGGCCACGAGGCAGGGGGGCGCGCCCUAGGGGGGGGGGGGGCGCCCCCCACCCUCGUGAAUGACUCUGUUACUUCUUGGAGUAGGGUCCAAGUCUCCUAGAUCAUGUUCGGUGAGAAAAUUACGUUCCCGAAGGUUUCAUUCCGUUUGGACUCCGUUUGAUAUUCCGUUUCUUCGAAACACCGAAAUAGGCAAAAAAACAGCAAUUUUGGGCUGGGCCUCCGGUUAAUAGGUUAGUCCCAAAAAUAAUAUAAAAGUGGAAAAUAAAGCCCAAUAUAGUCCAAAACAGUAGAUAAAGUAGCAUGGAGCAAUCAAAAAUUAUAGAUACGUUGGAGACGUAUCAGGCAUCCCCAAGCUUAAUUCUUGCUCGUCCUCAAGUAGGUAAAUGAUAAAAAAAGAAUUUUUGAUGCGUAGUGAUACUUUGGCAUAAUUUCAAUGUAAAUCUUCUUAAUUGUGAUAUGAAUAUUCAGAUCCGAAAGAUUCAAGACAAAAGUUCAUAUUGACACAAAAAUAAUAAUACUUCAAGCAUACUAAUCAAAGCAAUCAUGUCUUCUCAAAAUAGAAUGGCAAAAGAAAGUUCAUCCCUACAAAAUCAUAUAGUUAGGCUAUGCUUCAUUUUCAUCGCACAAAGAUAUUCCCAACUUCUAUACCCCCGAUGACAAGCCAAGCAAUUGUUUCAUACUUAAAUAAUCUCAAACUUUUUCAACCUUCACGCAAUACAUGAGUGUGAGCCAUGGAUAUAGCACUAUGGGUGGAAUAGAAUAUGAUGAUGGGGAUUGUGUGGAGAAGACAAAAAAGGAGAAAGUCUCAUAUUGACGAGGAUAAUCAACGGGCUAUGGAGAUGCCCAUCAAUUGAUGUCAACAUGAGGAGUAGGGAUUGCCAUGCAAUGGAUGCACUAGAGCUAUGAAUGCUCAACAAAAGAAAACUAGUGGGUGUGCAUCCAACUUGCUUGCUCAUGAAGACCUAGGGCAUUUGAGGAAGCCCAUCGUAGGAAUAUACAAGCCAAAUUCUAUAAUGAAAAAUUCCCACUAGUAUAAAAAGACAACUUAUGAGACUCACUACAUGAAGAACAAGGUGCUACUUUGAAGCACAAUAUAUGAGACUCACUACAUGAAGAACAAGGUGCUACUUUGAAGCACAAGUGUGGAAAAAGAGAUAGUAGCAUUGCCCCCUUUUUUUCUUUUUUCUUUUUCUUUUUUUGGGCCUUUUUUUGGCCUUUCUUUUUCUUUUUCUUUUUGGGCAAUGCUCUAACAAUGAUGAUCAUCACACUUCUAUUGAUUACAACAUAAGGAUUACAACUCGAAACUUAGAACAAGAUAUGACUCUAUAUGAAUGCCUCCGGUGGUGUACCGGGAUGGUGCAAUGAAUCAAGAGUGACAUGUAUGAAAAAUAAUGCAUGGUGGCUUUGCCACAAAUACGAUGUCAACUACAUGAUCAUGCAAUGGCAAUAUGACAAAAGUAAUGUAUGUCAUGAUGAUGAUGAUGGAAGUUGCAUGACAAUAUAUCUCGGAAUGGCUAUGGAAAUGCCAUGAUAGGUAGGUAUGGUGGCUGUUUUGAGUAAGAUAUAAGGAGGUUUAUGUUUGAUAGAGCGUAUCGUAUCACGGGGUUUGGAUGCACCGGCGAAGUUUGCACCAACUCUCAAGGUGAGAAAGGGCAAUGCACGGUAUCGAAGAGGCUAGCAAAGGCGGAAAGGUGAGAGUGCGUAUAAUCCAUGGACUCAACAUUAGUCAAAAGAACUCAUAUACUUAUUGCAAAAAUUUAGAAGUCAUCAAAAAUCAAGUACUACGCGCAUGCUCCUAGGGGGAUAUAUUGGUAGGAAAAGACCAUCGCUCGUCCCCGACCGCCACUCAUAAGGAUGCACAAGCCAGGUACACUUCAUGUUUCAAAUUUGUUACACAACUUUAACCAUACGUGCAUGCUACGGGACUUGCAAACUUCAACACAAGCAUUCUUCAAAUUCAUAAUCACCCAACUAGCACGACUUUGAUAUUAUCACCUCCAUAUCUCAAAACAAUUAUCAAGCAUCAAACUUAUCUUAGUAUUCAAUUCACUCAAAAGAAAGUUUCACAUAUCUUGAACACCAAGUAUAUUAACAUUAAGCAAAUUACCAUGAUAUUAACGACUCUCAAAAUAAUCUAAGUGAAGCAUGAGAGAUCAAUUGUUUUUUUAAAACAAAUCCACCACUGUGCUCUAAAAGAUUUAAGUGAAGCACUAGAGCAACAAUUAUCACGCUCAAAAGAUAUAAGUGAAGCACUAUGAGCAAAACUAUCAAGCUCAAAAGAUAUAAGUAAAGCACAUAGAGUAUUCUAGCAAAUUCCAAUUCAUGUAUGGCUCUCUCAAAAGGUGUGUACAGCAAGGAUGAUUGUGGUAGACUAACAAGCAAAGACGCAAAUAAUACAAGACUCUCCAAGCAAAACACAUAUCACGUGGUGAAUAAAAAUAUAGCUCCAAGUAAAUUACCGAUGGAAGUGGACGAAAGAGGGGAUGCCUUCCGGGGCAUCCCCAAGCUUUGACUUUUUGGUGUCCUUGGAUUAUCUUGGGGGUGCCAUGGGCAUCCCCAAGCUUAGGAUCUUGCCACUCCUUGUUCCAUAAUCCAUCAAAAGAAUUCACCCAAAACUUGAAAACUUCACAACACAAAACUCAAUAGAAAUCUCGUGAGCUCCGUUAGAGAAAGAAAACAAAAGACUACUUCAAAGUACUGUAAUGAACUCAUUCUUUAUUUAUAUUGGUGUUAAACCUACUGUAUUCCAACUUCUCUAUGGAUUAUAAACUAUUUUAUUAGCCAUAUAUUCAUUAAAUUAAGCAAACAACACACACAAAACAGAAUCUGUCUAAAACAGAACAGUCUGUAGUAAUCUGUAACUAACGCAAACUUAUGGAACUCCAAAAAUCCUACCAAAAUAGGAAGUCCUGGAAAAUUUGUUUAUUGAACAGAAGAAAAAAUAAUCAACGCAAAAUCACGUUUCUGUGAUUUAACAAAAUUAUAUUCGUGCGUGCAAAGUUUCUGUUUUUCAGCAGAAUCAAAUCAACUAUCAUCGUAGGUUAUCCUAUAGGUUCUACUUGCACAAACACUAAUUAAAAGAUAAAACCACAUCCAAACAGAGGCUAGAUGGAUUGUUUAUUCCUAAACAGAAGCAAAAACGAAAAACAAAAAUAAAAUUGGGUUGCCUCCCAACAAGCGCUAUCGUUUAACGCCCCUAGCUAGGCAUUGAGAAUUUUAAUGAUGCUCACAAGAAAGACAAGAAUUGAAGCGCAAAGAGAGCAACAUGAAACACGUGACAAACACAUCUAAGUCUAACAUACUUCCUAUGCAUAGGCAUAUUAUAAGGAAACAUAUUUUCAAGGCAAACAAAAACUAGCAUAUGCAAGGAAGAACAAAGAGAUGAUAGCAAUCUCAACAUGAAGAGAGGUAAUUUAGUAACAUGAAAAUUCUACAACCAUAUUCUCCUCUCUCAUAAUAAUUACAUGUAGGAUCAUAAGCAAAUUCAACAAAAUAGCUAUCACAUAACAUAUUCUCAACAUGAUCCACAUGCAUGUAAAGUUGACACUCUUCCAAAAUAGUGGGAUUAACAUUAACUAAAGUCAUGACCUCUACAAACCCACUUUUAUCAAAAAUACCAUAAGAUUGAACAUUCUCCAAAUAUGUGGGAUCUAAAGUUGACACUCUUCCAAACCCACUUUCAAUAUUAUUGCAAAAAUUAUUAUCAAUCUCAUAUUCAUCAUGGGACUUAAAUAAAUUUUCAAGAUCAAAAGAAGAAUCACCCCAAUCAUGAUCAUUGCAACAAGUAGUAGACAUAGCAAAACUAGCAUCCCCAACCUUAGGGUUUUGCAUAUUAUUAGCACAAUUGUCAUCAAGAGAAUUUAUAGUGAAAUCAUUGCAAUCAUGCUUUUUAUCAAAGGAACUAGCAAGUAUGGGUGCAAUAGCAAUGAUCUCAUGUUUAACAUACGAAACUAUAGGAAAUUCAUCUCCAUAAAUAUUAGCAUCAUGGCCACAAGAAUAGCAAGCAUCCUGUUCAUCAAGGGAUAUUUCAAUCAAAUCAUCGGAAUCAUCAUUAUCUAUAGAUUCAUGCAUAUCAUUAUUUUCUUCCAAAGCAACGGCCAUUCUUUCAAUAAAUUCUUGGACAUAGACAUUAUGAGGAAGGUUUUCAUUGCAAUAUUUAAGUAUGACGGAAUUUUCAGAUUUGUUGAGAGUAAUAUCAUACUUUUCAAUCAAAGAAGCAACUUCAUGAGCACCCUUAAAAACGACAAAUUCUUCAAUUUGUUCGAUAUCAUAGUAACUAUAAACACCCUUUGCAUAAGAAGAUAUGAUUUCAUUUUCAUUAAACUCACAUAGGUAGGGAAGGUGUUUUUAGGGUUCUUAGAGCAACAAGUAAAGUCACACAUUUCACAAAGAUUCCAAGCAUAGCAUAGCAAACUAUUUAUAUGAUACCGUAAGAGUCUCCCUUUUUCAGACAAACGAUGACGCACAAAAUGAGCACGCUCAUCUAAAGAUUUCCCAUCAACUAGGCUAGUUGGGGUUUCAGCACGAGCGCAUAAGGAUCAAAGAUGAUCCAAGUAGAACACUUAAGUGGAUCCAUAUCAAUAGAUUUUCAGCAAGCAAAGAUGCAAGCACAUAGAAGGCACAAGGAAACACAAACAAAGAUACAUACCGGAAGAAGGCGAACGAAAAAGAGAGGGAGAAUAAAACGGCAAGGGUGAAGUGGGGGAGAGGAAAACGAGAGGCAAAUGGCAAAUAAUGUAAUGCGAGAGACAGGGAUUGUGAUGGGUACUUGGUAUGGUUGACUUGCUCUUGCGUGAGCCUCCCCGGCAACGGCGCCAGAAAUUCUUCUUGCUACCUCUUUAGCACUGCGUUGGAUUUCCCCGAAGAGGAGAGGAUGAUGCAGCAAAGUAGCGUAAGUAUUUCCCUCAGUUUUUGAGAACCAAGGUAUCAAUCCAGUAGGAGACCACACACAAGUCCCUCGUACCUACACAAAACGAUAGCUCCUCGCAACCAACGCGAUUAGGGGUUGUCAAUCCCUUCACGGUCACUUACGAGAGUGAGAUCUGAUAGAGAUGAUAAAUAAUAUUUUUGGUAUUUUUGAUAUAUAGAUGCAAAGUGAAAAGUAAAAGGCAAAGCAAGUAAUAAAGUAAUGGAGAUUGAUAUGAUGAGAAUAGACCCGGGGCCAUAGGUUUCACUAGUGGCUUCUCUCAAGAGCAUAGAUAUUCUACGGUGGGUGAACAAAUUACUGUUGAGCAAUUGACAGAAUUGAGCAUAAUUAUGAGUAUAUCUAGGUAUGAUCAUGUAUAUAGGCAUCACGUCCGAGACAAGUAGAUCGAAACGAUUCUGCAUCUACUACUAUUACUCCACUCAUCGACUGCUAUCCAGCAUGCAUCUAGAGUAUUAAGUUAAAAACAGAGUAACGCCUUAAGCAAGAUGACAUGAUGUAGAGGGAUAAAUUCAUGCAAUAUGAUAAAAACCCCAUCUUGUUAUCCUCGAUGCAAACAAUACAAUACGUGCCUUGCUGCCCCUUCUGCCACUGGGAAAGGACACCGCAAGAUUGAACCCAAAGCUAAGCACUUCUCCCGUUGCAAGUACUACCAAUCUAGUUGGCCAAACCAAAAGGAUAAUUCGAAGAGACUUGCAAAGAUAACUCAAUCAUACAUAAAAGAAUUCAGAGAAGAUUCAAAUAUUGUUCAUAGAUAAGCUGGAUCAUAAACCCACAAUUCAUCGGUCUCAACAAACACACCGCAAAAAGAAGAUUACAUCGAAUAGAUCUCCACGAGAGAGGUGGAGAACAUUGUAUUGAGAUCCAAAAAGAGAGAAGAAGCCAUCUAGCUACUAGCUAUGGACCUGAAGGUCUAAAGUAAACUAUUCACACUUCAUCGGAGGGGCUAUGGUGUUGAUGUAGAAGUCCUCCAUGGUGGAUGCCCCCUCCGGCAGAGCUCCAGAACAGGCCCCAAGAUGGGAUCUCAUGGAUACAGAAGGUUGCGGCGGUGGAAUUAGGUUUUUGGCUCCUGUUCUGAUCGUUUGGGGAUACGUAGGUAUAUAUAGGAGGAAGGAGUACGUCGGUGGAGCAAUAGGCUAGGGCGCGCCACCACCCUUGUGACCGCCUCUAUUACUUCUUGGAGUAGGGUCCAAGUCUCCUAGUUCAUGUUCGGUGAGAAAAUCACGUUCCCGAAGGUUUCAUUCCGUUUGGACUCCGAUUGAUAUUCCGUUUCUUUGAAACACUGAAAUAGGCAAAAAAAUAGCAAUUCUGGGCUGGGCCUCCGAUUAAUAGGUUAGUCCCAAAAAUAAUAUAAAAGUGGAAAAUAAAGCCCAAUAUAGUCCAAAACAGUAGAUAAAGUAGCAUGGAGCAAUAAAAAAUUAUAGAUUUGUUGGAGACGUAUCAGGGGUACAGGCUCUGGCGUGAUGGAGGAGGGUGGCGGUGGAUUUGGCACGAUGGGGUGGAGGAUGGAGGAGGCUAGGGUUUUGCGGCUGGUGGAGUGGGUGUUUUGGCGCCCACGGAGUAUGAAUGGGGAAAUAGAGGGAGGGGCGACUAAGGGUGAACAAUGUUCGGUUUGGGGCGCACUUGUUUGAAAUUUGGGGAAAGUUACAAACUUUGGCCCCAUCUAAAAUUUCAGACAUAUUGCGGGUUGGGGGUAGGACAGUAAUCUCAGGUGUCCCAAUUGGUGGGCGGGAUAGAUUUCGGCCGAGCGCAUGGGUGUUUAGGCGCCCACGGCGUAUGAAUACUUCUCGGAGGUGGUUGAGACUGGCGUCUUGGUGAAGUUACAAACCUACCCCAGUUUAGACCUUUGGACAUCGGGCCAAUAGGCUACACGUGCCAGAGUCAGGACAGUAAUUCCUACCACCAAACAUUAGUGUUCGAGUGACCAGAGGCUUAUUUGGCGCUUCAUUCAAUAUUUUGGAGCAGAAGCAUUAACAUUUUCGGUUCUCUUGAAUUGAACUUUCAAGAUUUGUCAAACUUCACAAAUCUUUACUCUUGAAAAUCCUAAAACUAUGAUUAUUUUGGAAUGGAGGGGGUACAUUUGAAUAUACAUUGUACAUGAGUAUAUAUUAAAAAAUAUGCAACUUUCUCAGCUCAUGCAUGGUUCCAGAUAUAAUCUCCUUGGUUGCAAAAAAAAAUAGUUAGACAUGCGUAUGAAUAUAUAGCAUGUUCAAACGCACAACUAAGAUUGAUGCCCCCCUUUAGAUCUGAUUUACAAAUGCCAUUAUCUCGGGUUCAAAUAGAUGAAUGCACUUCCUGUGAAUUCGAAUCUUCGAAACCCCCUUUAUGUUGAAUUCAACAUGUAUUCUAUUUCCUAGCUAGCAAUUUGGAAUGUAUCCAUGUAAGUGACAAAUGUAUAAAGUGCUUCACACUAACAACAUGGAGUGCACUAAUUAAUGUUUAUAUAUGAAUUGCAAAAGCAAUGCCUUGCCUGUAUUUCAAACCGCUCUCACCCUAUGGAUCGAUAAUAUGAAAUAAACACAUGCACAUGCUAGAAUUCAAUAGAGUAUGGGUGUCUGAUAGACCGAUUUUCGUUCAUACCCAAAUUGCAAAAUUCAUGAUCUCAUCCAAAAAAAUAAUGCCAUUUAUAUUUUAAUUUAAUGCGUAGAACCGCCUCUUACACGUAGAUGCACUAUGCCUCGGCCAGUUCUCAGAAACGCGCUAUAUAUCUCUCUAUCUAACGCAUAAGUGCACACACUUUAUAUACAUCGGCAUUUCUCUUUCACACAUGCUCACAAUCUCUCCCGGGGUGUCGGGGUGUCUCACUCACUCUCUCUCUCUCUCUCUCUUUCUGACUACUAUGUACGACUCUUUUCACUAAUCUCAGUUGGAAAACACUAUUUCUCUCACAUGCAUAUAUACACACGCAUGGUCUCUACUAGCCCUCUAUACGCACAUAUAUGUGCCUACGUGUCUCCCGCACGCACAUUAUCUUUAGGCCUCUCUCGCACACAUUGCCCCCCCACAGACACACCUCUCUCUUAGUAGUUGGCAGAUAUGAUUCCAUCAGAUCAUUCGGUAGGAUAUCCCUGACUGUUAGGCUAAUACGAGGCAAAGUUUUACCCAAGUUCGGACCCUUGCAGUUGAGGAAAAAACCUACUCCUGGCACUGUAUAUUAGUGAUAGGGGUGUGUACAAAGUACACGUGAAUACCAGGCAUUGUGCGUGUGUGUAUACUAUCAACGAACUAGCCCCCAUGCUUCUAUAACAUACUCGGGGCCUAGGGUUACAAAUCAUAUAUAGUCGGCUUAUCACCGGUGGGGAUAGAGUCCUCCACGACUUUGGUAGCUUUGUGUUGUACGCGGAGUCCUCCACAUGGGUCUUCGUAUAAUGCGUCUCAGUCCAACCUAUGUGGUGCAGGAUGGAACUGACCCAUGAGUCCUCAUGUUGACCCACCACAACUAGAAAUGAUGUGCCCACCCCAACUAGAAAUGAUGUGCCCCACCACACCACACACGCAAUCGGCCACUAAGAAAAUAAGCAUAUACAAUAGUACAAUGUUAUACAUGAAAGUUAAUCGCAUGGUGCAUCCAAAAAUAUUUGUUCUGCAUUGUGAAUGUUUAUAUUUUCCCCCAAAAUAUUAGUCACGGGAAAGAGAAACGAAGGGCAUAUCUCUCCUUGUCUCCACCGGACACCCCCUCUUUCUACACCACUUUCACGUACGCACACAAACUAUCUCUCGGCCCUCUAAAAGUAUGCAUGCUCAUGACACAUUCACGCGUGACGGUCACUGUGUUUCAAGCGAAAGCACUAUACGGUCACUGGACUUCAGAAUAUGCUCAUUACGGUCACCAUAUACAUUCUCAUGGUGAUCAUACGGUAUCUAGCUCACGAUACGUCUCCGUAUUUUGUUGAUGACACUGACAACAUUGUAUUUGAUGCGUGCUCCGUAUUUUGUUGACGACACUUAAUGUCAUUGUAUUUGAAGCGAAAGCACGAUAUGGUCACUGGACUUCAGAAUAAGCUCAUCACGGUCACCACAUACAUUUUGUGGUGCUAACCAACCUGUGGUUGGACGAUUAGGAGGACAGUGGUUUCUCGAGCCGGGUUAAAGUCCUGGUGCUCACAUUUAUCCUGGGUUAAUUUCAGUAUUUUUCUGGCGAUGUGCGUUCAGUGGGAGGAGACGUUCCACUCGACUAUGAGGCACCUAUGGUGACUUCGUAUAAUCUCAAGAUCAUAUGCUGGCUCACUCUCUCAAAGGUGCUCAUAGCGGUAGGGUCUGCUUGUGUGCGCUUACAGCGGUGAGUUCUUGCACGUAUAUAUGAGCGCUUGCAUCUGUACCAUGUUAGAAAAAUACAUGUCAUGAUUAUACGGUAACUAGCUCACCCGUGCAAUUCCGUAUUUUGUUGAUGACACAAUCAAUUGACCAGUCAAAUGUUCCACGUGGCGCAACUAGUGUUGCACCAUCGGGGCGCGUAACCAUGGGCCCCACCUGUCAACGUGUAUAUGAAAGAAAGAAAUGGUAGUUCGAGUCUAUAUUGUAUUAAUAAACUACAUUUUAGGGUGAUCAUACGGUCACUAGCUCACCAUACAACUUCGUAAUUUUUUGAUGACACGAUCAAUUGACCAGUCAAACGGUCCACAUUCAGCAACGCACAUUACCAUAGGGUCCACCCCUCAGCGCGUAUAUGAAGGACAAAAAUGGUAAUAAAUUAGUGGUCGGUGGGGAUUCAAAGUCGUGAGACCUCUGGUUGGUAGUCGCCGGCGGUGGGGGGGGGCGGUGAUUGGGCGGUGGCAUGGGGAUCACCGGAGAAAAAGCUCGGUGCGCGGGGGGAGGGGGGCUAGAUGGAUGGCCGGGGCGGCAGCGGACCGACGACGGGUAAUGGUUUGGGGGCGGGCGAGGUAGUGUGGCCACGCGGGCAGGCCGCAGGCGGCGACGACCGGCGGUGUCUGGUGGCUCAGAGGGGUGGAGGUUGAAUAUAAACUGCAGGCCCUUGAUUUCGUAUCCAAUGGCUGGAAAAUCUACUGACCAGAGAUGAAAAAGUCAGUCGACUGACGUGUAGCCUCACCCCUCACGUACACAUGCACGCAGACAACACUCGCACGAACACACGCACACAUGCAGGCAUGCAACACUGACACAUACACAUAACGAACACACGCACGCAUGCAACACUGACACGUACACAUGCACUCACGAACACACGCACGCAUGCAGGCGUGCAACACUGACACAUACACAUGCACUCAAGAACACAUGCACGCACGCACACAUGCAUGCAACACUGAAACGUAUACAUGCACGCAUGCAACACUUGCACGCCUGCAUGCACACAACACACGACGCAAGACACACGCUCAACCUAUACGUGCAUGCACCCUUUGUUAAGGACAUGGAUUGUUACGGGUAUUAAUCAAUCUCAUCUGUGAUAAGCAGAACAUUGAUGUUUGCAGCAGUCUUUAUGAAUCACAACAUAUCGAACGGGCUAUCAACGUAUAUAUGAAAAUUUUAAAAUUCUCUUACAUUAUAUAUUAGGCUUAUCUAGAUGAAAUAGAUGACGUCACACUCAAUGAACAAUCAUUGGUUUAUGAAAUGCCCGCUUCUGACCGCCCUGGCCCACCAAAAGUUCCUCUUCCGUGCGCUACCUGCAUUGGGUCACUAACAUGUAGGCCAUGUACCCAAAGAGCCCACACGUCAGUGGAAGAACGGUGCGGUGUCGUACGCCAGAGUUGAGGGCGCCACUUGAUGCACGCCCGGCUGAACACGCCUCCUUGCCACAUUCAAAUGUCUAGGUUUGUAUCUCUCUCACACACACCUACGUAGGUGGGGGACAUGCACGAAGAGAAGAGGUGCACACACGACGCACGUACUCCCAUCUCUUUCCAGCCACACCCAUGUGGGUACACGGUGGAGCUCAUUUCUGUACGAAAAGGCAGCCCACGUGGUAAUUCGACACGUGUACUGGUUGUCCACUUGAUGGAGGAUCGUCUACCAUGGGUGAACAUACAAAUUGCGACUUGACGCGUUAUGUUAAAAAAGAGGCAAACCAUGUGGGGCCUACCUUAGAGGCAAGGCUCUAUACACUUGAGAUGCUCUGUACGUUUUACUUUUGAUGUAUCCCGUCAACUCGCAAAACGAGGAGAAGCUUGCUUACUAUGCCGUCUCCCCCGCCCACGGGCAUGGUGGCUCACAGGACGAGGUGAAGCUAGCUUACUAGUACUACCUCCGUUCUGAUUUAUUGGCCCCCAUUGUAUAUUGUGUCAAAUUUGGACUAUAGAUUGAACUAACAAAACGUUCGUGCAUGUUACCAAAAAUUAUAUCAUUGAAAACUAUGUUGAAAUACGAAUCCAACAAUAUAAUUUUUGUUGACAUGCAUUAACUCCUAUCGAGAUACAAGCUAUUACCAACCUGAUACAAUGCAAGUCACAAGCUUGACACAGCGAGAAUGGCUGCAACUGACAACUCCUGCAUCUGAGAUUGACAACUCUAGUAACAGAGAAUGACAACCCCUGCAACAGAUAUUGACAGAGCAUGACACUCUCAACUAAGCUCAAUCCAGCUGUGAACAAUAAACAACACUGAAAGUAAACAACACGGUUAUCACAAAACUUGGAUUUAGGAUUACAACACUAUAGGCAAUGAACCACCACUAACGGCCCAUAACGUUAGCUGAUAGCCGCUGACCAUGGAGUACUUGCCGAUCCAUCAGCGAGGACUGUAUCAUUUAGCGAGCUAAAAACUUAAGGCACAUGCAUGUGAGAGUUCCACUUUAGCUCCCUCAACACCAGGCGGGACGAGCAGCCCUAUAACACGUGUAGCCACACUCUAGUGUCCUUUUCUACUUAGUUGGACAGAUCACUUCAGAAAAUCGUAUAAAAAUCAAGCAAGAAAACGGAUGCGCUAAUGCGCAACGGCUUUCGCUCUAGUUACUCAAAAAAUUGCAUAAAAAUCAAGCAAGAAAACGGAUGCGCUAACACGCAACGACUUUCGUGUUAGUUGCUCAAUCCGUUGCUUGCUUCUCUUCUGUCUUGGAAAAGUGAGGAUUUCCUAUCUGAUCCAAGGGAAGGAAGAGAGGUGGAAAGUGUUGCUGUGUCAAAUCGAGAUUGUGUGGGUGUUCGCUCAUGUUCGACGCUAUCAAAAAUCAUGCGUUGGAUGGAUGCACAUGCUCCAAUGCACCAAAGUUGGUUGAAAAAUCACAUGUGUGUCUAUGGGUGAAUUAUAGGUCCCAUGCAAGAAAUAGGAAUGAAAUUCAAACAUCUGGGCAUCGUGGCUCGGCCGGAAAGAUUGAGAAACUUGGUUUUUUAAUUCCUGUAAUAUCGAAAACAUGCCUGAAAAUCAUGAAACUUGGCAUGGUGUCAUGACAUGGCACCAACAUGUUGCGGUAAUUUUUUUGGCCGAACUGGGACAAGCUUUGGUGUAAGCUUCUUGCAAAUCGGAGCUUCCCUCUAGAAGGCUCAUUGUUCCGAGAGGAAACAUCUCACCUCCAUGUGCGAAACGACAUACGUACACUGCCUUCUCCCGCCUUAAUUUUUUUACACAGGCAGGUUAGACCAAGUCGAAGUAUCGUGCUAAAAUUUUGAAUUAUUCCGGGUUCGUUUGGCCUUUUUUAUACAUUCAUUGAGUUUCUGGGCAUUUAAUGUGCAUAAUUCAAAUUUGAACUAGAAGCACAUGCUCCAGUGCACCAAAGUUGGUUGAAAAAUCACAUGUGUGUCCUUGGGUGAAUUUCAAGGUCCCAUGCAAGAAAUGGGAAUGAAAUUCAAACAUCUGGGCGUCGUGCCUCGGCCGGAAAGAUUGAGAAACUUGGUUUUUUAAUUCCUGUAAAUCUAAAACACACUUGAAAAUCAUGAAACUUGGCAUGGCAUUAUGACAUGGCACCAACAUGCUGCGAUAAUUUGUUUGGCCGAACUGGGACAAGCUUUGGUGUAAGCUUCUUGCAAACCGGAGCUUCCCUCAAGAGGGCUCGUGGUUCCGAGAGGGAACAUGUCACCUUAGUGUGCGAAACGACAUACGUACGCUGCCUUUUCCCGCCUUAAUUGUUUUACAUAGGCAGAUUAGACCAAAUAGAAGCAUCGUGCUAAAUUUUGGAAUUAUUCCGGGUUGGUUUGCCGUUUUUAAACAUUAAUUGAGUUUCUAGGAAUUUAAUGUGCAUAAUUCAAAUUUGAAUUACAAGGACAUGCUCCAGUGCACCAAAGUUGGUUGAAAAAUCACAUGUGUGUCCUUGGGUGAAUUUCUAGGUCCCAUGCAAGAAAUGGGAAUGAAAUUCAAACAUCUGGGUGUCGUGGCUCGGCCGGAAAGAUUGAGAAACUUGGUUUUUUAAUUCCUGUAAAUCCAAAACACGCAUGAAAAUCAUGAAACUUGGCAUGGUGUCAUGACAUGGCACCAAUAUGCUGCGGUAUUUUUUUCGCCAAACUGGGACAAGCUUUGGUGUAAGCUCUUGCAAACCGGAGCUUCCCUCAAGAAGGCUCGUGGUUCCGAGAGGAAACAUGUCACCUCCGUGUGCGAAAAGACGUACAUACACUGCCUUCUCCCGCCUUAAUAUUUUUACACAGGCAGAUUAGACCAAAUAGAAGUAUCAUGCUAAAUUUUGGAAUUAUUCCGGGUUCGUUUGUCCUUUUUUAUACAUUAAUUGAGUUUCUAGGAAUUUAAAUUCAAAUUUGAACUACAAGCACAUGUUCCGGUACCCCAAAGUUCGUUGAAAAAUCACAUGUGUGUCCUUGGGUGAAUUUCUAGGUCCCAUGCAUGAAAUGGGAAUGAAAUUCAAACAUCUGGGCGUCGUGCCUCACCCGGAAAGAUUGAGAAACUUGGUUUUUUAAUUCCUGUAAAUCCAAAACACGCCUGAAAAUCAUGGAACUUGGCAUGGUGUCAUGACAUGGCACCAACAUGCUGUGGUAAUUUUUUUGUCCGAUUUGCGAAGCCGCACACAUUAACAAUCAGCACAGUCAUUUUGGAACAAGUGCUGUCAUGUUACAAAUCGGAAACACGAGUAUCACUGAAACUGUGGGCGUUCUACUUACCAAUUACGUGCCGCCGCGCAUCCCGUUUUUUAUUGGCUAGGAGGUGCUGUGAGGGGUAGCUAUUUGAGUACGGGAGGCGUGCGAUCAGACCCCUGUGCAUGCUCAUCGGGAGGAGAGCCUUUUGACCGCUACCCGCUGCGCACAUCCCUCCCAACGUCUCCAUUAAUGGCGCCUGAGCCCCUGUUCUACGGCGUGGCUAUAUGUCUCACUGGACUGAGGUUUAAGAGAGAAAAUGAAAAUCUGAAAAGAAAGUUUUGCACGGAUCUUGAUGUAAGAUCCAGCAGACCUAUAUAGCAUCGACUGCGACUUAUAGCAAGCAUGAUGAAUAUAAGGACGAUGAGAGUGGAUAAUAAUUGUCUUACAUAUUUAGGAACAUAAUUUAAAAAAGCCACAUGCGGCAACGCCCGAAAUACACAAGGGCAAAAUAAGAAGGAAGACAAUGAUCUGGCUCGCUGAUCUCUACAUUCUUGAUGCGUUGCUGUAGGCCGCAUGAACUAUUCUCUGUGGCGAGCGGCGAUGAGCUCUUUCUUGUCCUCAAGAUGCUGCUUGAGAGCAUCCACGAAUUCCUCCACCAACCUUCUGCGCUCGAUGCACAGCACGGCAUUCUGGUCCAUAAGUUUCUCGAUGAUGACGCCGGUCCUCUUCAACAAGGCAGUGGUCUCCUCCUGCUGCUCCGCACUUCUGACGAUCUUCACCCUCAGCAGGUCGCGCUCGGCCCGGAGCUUCGCAUUGCUCUCAUUUAGUUGCUGGAUGACGCUGGUAGCCUAUUCAAAAGAGGCUUUCUUGUCAUCCUGCAACCUCGCCUAGCCGGAGAUCUGAUCCAUCUGGCUAUGGACGAUCGCAUGCAUGCACCUGUAAGAGUCCUCGCCUGCCCAGGAGACAUUUUCCCAGGCUGCCACGACAUGGGAGGACAUCUGUGCUGGAUUCACGGCGCGGCGGGACAUCUCUUCUACUUCCACGGCGCAGCCGGACCAGUCUGCCACAUCGACGGCGUGGCGGGACCUGUGUGCUGCUUCGGCGGCGCGGCGGGACCUAUGUGCUGCUACGGCCGCAUGGUGGGAUAUGCCGGCUGCGUUCGCGGCGAGGUGGGAUGUCACGCCCAAUAUGCGAUACUAUCCUAAAGAGACUCGAAGGUCCCACCAAGGAUUAGAACCGCAUAUUGAAACACUUUUGCAAGGUGGAUAUCAUUACAUCAACAUUACAUAAUAGAUGGGGAUACAUACAUAAGGCAUACAAUGCCACACGUAUACAACAUCACAAUACAUCAAAGCACCAUCCGACUACGGAUGAAACACAAACAGGAGCUCAAACGACAUCCACCCUGCUAGCCCAGGCUGCCGACCUGGAACCUAUCCCCUGAUCAAAGAAGAAGCAGAGGAAGAACUCCAAAACAAGCAAACAUCGCUCUCGCGUCAUGAUCAUCGCAUAAUCUGUACCUGCAACUGUUGUUGUAGUAAUAUGUGAGCCACGAGGACUCAGCAAUCCCAUUACCAUGGGUAUCAAGACUAGCAAAGCUUAAUGGGAAAGGAAGGGGUAAAGUGGUGAGGUUGCAGCAGCGGCUAAGCAAGUAUGGUGGCUAACAUACGCAAAUAAGAGCAAGAAGAGAAGCAAAGGAACGGUCGUCAACUAGUAAUGAUCAAGAGGUGAUCCUGAACUCCUACUUACGUCAAACAUAACCCAAAGACCGUGUUCACUUCCCGGACUCCGGCGAGAAGAGACCAUCACGGCUACACAUGCGGUUGAUGCGUUUUAAUUCAGAUCCGGUGUCAAGUUAUCUACAACCGGACAUUAACAAAUUCCCAUCUGCCACAUAACCGCGGGCACGGCUUUCGAAAGAUAAUACCCUGCAGGGGUGUCCCAACUUAGCCCAUGAUAAGCUCUCGCGAUCAACAAAGGAUAUACCUUCUCCCAGGAAGACCCGAUCAGUCUCGGAAUCCCAGUUUACAAGACAUUUCGACAAUGGUAAAACAAGACCAGCAAAACCGCCCGAUGCACCGACAAUCCCGAUAGGAGCUGCACAUAUCUCGUUCUCAGGGCAACACGGGAUGAGACAUCCUACGAGUAAAACCAGACCUCGAGUUUCCCCGAGGGGGCCCCGCAGUCUACUCGGUUCGGACCAACACUUAGACAAGCAUUGGCCCGAGGGGGGCCUAAAAUAAAGACGACCCUCGGGUUAAUUACUCCCAAGGGAAAUAUAUGUGGUGGUGAGGCAAAUGGUAAAACCAAGGUUGGGUCUUGCUGGAGGAGUUUUAUUCAAAGCGAACUGUCAAGGGGGUCCCAUAAAUCACUCGACCGCGUAAGGAACGCAAAAUCCGGGAACAUAACACCGGUAUGAUGGAAACUAGGGCGGCAAGAGUGGAACAAAACACCAGGCAUAAGGCCGAGCCUUCCACCCUUUACCAAGUAUAUAGAUGCAUUAAUUAAAUAAGAGAUAUUGUGAUAUCCCAACAUAACCCUGUCCACCAUGGAGCAAUCUUCAACUUCACCUGCAACUAGCAACGCUAUAAGAGGGGCUGAGCAAAGCGGUAACAUAGCCAAACAACAGUUUGCUAGGAAGGGUGCCAAAGGUUAGAGGUUCAUGGCAUUUUGGGAGGCUUGAUAGGACAAGGGAUAUGUAGUGCAACAAAGUGAUAGAACGAAGCAACUAGCAUAGCAAUGAUAGUAGUGAGAUCCAGGGUAGUGGUCAUCUUGCCUGAAAUCCCGCAAGGAAGAAGAACGAGUCCAUCAAGAAGAUGAAGCCACGAAGACGAACCAAGCGUAGACGAACGAAUCCUCACGAUCGCAACGAAACGGGAACUAUCGAGAAGAAGCACACAACAUGGUAAACACACCACACAUGAACAAGACAUGAUGCUCAACCAAGUAUGAUGCAUUACAAAGAUACAUGGAGCUACUCGUGGCAAAAGAUGAUGCAUACAAGACCAACACAUCAAAGCAAGUUUAAAUGAGGCCGGAAACAACAUAUAACAAUUCCUGUAAGUCCUCAUAUGCAGAUCUAGAAGUUGGUCCAGAACUGAACGAACAUUAAGUUGAAGUUGUUAAACAGCAAGUUAAGAUGCACCAAGAUGAUCUACACGAGAUUCUAGUCAAGUUACAUAUAAAGUUCAUUUAAUUCGGAGCUACGGCCUAGAAGAUAUGAGCAAAACAAGUUAAACAUGGCAUUGAUGCAAAAUGCAUACAAACAUCAAGCAAACACGUCAAAACAAGGAUGCAACAUGAUAAUAUGAAACUACAUGCAAAAACAAGCAAGUUUCAUAUAGAGCACACUCAAAACUGAGCAACGGUUCAACAUAUACACUAUAAGAUAUGACAACAAUCUGUCCAAAACAGCAACUAGGCAUAUUGCAAGCAUCAAAACAACAAGCUACAACACCCCAACAUAAGAACAAAAGGCAUGGGCAUGAAGUACAGGUAAAGCAUGACAAAAUAUGAACACUGAGCUAUCUCCGUAAAACACUAGAACAUGCUCAAAAGGACAUGGCAAGAUUGCAAAUAAUAACAGUUACAGACUUGGCAGAAAUAACAUCAGGUUGCAAUGUUUAGAGCUAUCAAAGAACAUGUUACAGGAACUUAUCAUGGCAAACAAAGGCAUGACAUGAAUCUACUAAUGGCAUAUAACGGAAGUCCCUUACUGACCAUGAGACAAAAAGGAGCAGAAGAUAUGAUGGCACCCAUGUAAACAUGGCAAAUAAUAUGACAGAUUCAUACAUGGCAGGAACAACAAUAAGUAGGCAUGUUGGUGAGCUUGACCCACUCACCACAGAACAAUACAUGGCAUGGCAAGGCAACCAACAGCAAGAAUACAUGUUUAUGAAGCUAAGCAUGGCAAGAACAAGUUCAUAGCGUACAUGGAUCACUAGCAAAGCUCAUGGCAAAACUGAACUUAAUGUUAACAGUCUGACAGCAACAUUAUUUAGCAAGUUUGGAGCAAGAUAACAACAAGUUACAGCAGGCUAUAAAUGCAACCAGGGGAAUGAAUGGAUAUAGGAUGACAUGUAUAACAAAUAAUCCUUAGUGAACAUCUCCAGAUUAUGCAUAGAAUGACUUGUAGCAGCAGGUUUACAUAGCAACAAAAUAUAACAGAAUCAACCUAGCAAAACAGUAACAGCAAGUACCCUACUUAACAAGCUUGAUGCACUCAGCACACAACUCACAAAAAUACAUGGACAUCACCCAUGUAAAGAUGGCAUAUCAUAGAUCAAAACACAUGUUGAGCUCAUGUUCAUAGGAUGCACACAUCAAAUGCAACAAAAAUGACAAAUCAUCAAGUUAUAACAAUUUCAGCAGAUUAACAUCAUAUAGCACUCUUGCAAUGAUGAUUCAGGCGUCAAGAUGGAAUCAAAUGAACAUGGUGCAAUGGAAUGAAAUGAAGUACUCGUUGAGGCGAACAAUCUGAUAUGCUACACGCCCAAAAUGGAGCAGUAUGCAGCAAGUUAUGAUGCGAUGAACAUGGCAUGAUAAUGUAAAUAAUCUUAGGGACUUGGGUAGGAAAACAAAGUCAACCUCGGAUCUGGAUCGGGCAUGGACUUCGAGGCAGCCGGAGAACUCGCCGGAGUUGGAGGAGACGGCGGAGAUGGGCGGAUCCGGGCCGGAUCUCACCGGAUCUGGCCGGGUCCCGGCGUGUGGGGGCGCGGGGAGACACGGGGAGGCGGCGGCGCCGAGCAGNNNNNNNNNNNNNNNNNNNNNNNNNNNNNNNNNNNNNNNNNNNNNNNNNNNNNNNNNNNNNNNNNNNNNNNNNNNNNNNNNNNNNNNNNNNNNNNNNNNNNNNNNNNNNNNNNNNNNNNNNNNNNNNNNNNNNNNNNNNNNNNNNNNNNNNNNNNNNNNNNNNNNNNNNNNNNNNNNNNNNNNNNNNNNNNNNNNNNNNNNNNNNNNNNNNNNNNNNNNNNNNNNNNNNGGCCGAGGGACCCGGAGGCGCGGCGGUGCUCGACGACGAGGGGCGCCGGCGGAAGGACGACGGUGGAGGCGGCGGGAGGACGGCGCCGGCAGCGGGGAAGAGUGGGGGUGGCAGCGCGCGCUCGGGCCCCGAUGGGCUCGGGUGGCCCCGCGAUGUGCCACAGCGGGCUUCGGCGGCCGGCAGCGGGGACACGUGGCGUGCCCUGAUUGGCGCGGGGAGCGGCGGCGGACAUGUCCGGCUGCGGCCGGACGUGUCCGGUGAUGGCGGGGAGGAUUAGGCUAGGGUUUUAUUCGCGAAUUUUUGGGGGGAGGGCAUAUUUAUAGAUAGAGGGAGCUAGGAGAGUCCAAAUGAGGAGCGGUUUUCGCCCACACGAUCGUGAUCAAACGACCAAGAGCAUGGAGGGGGUUAGGAUGGGUUUUGGGCCACUUUGGAAGGGGUGUUGGGCUGGACACAAAAGAGGCCUUUGCGGUUACCCGGUUAACCGUUGGAGUAUCAAACGACCUCCAAAUGGCACGGAACUUGACAGGCGGUCUAUCGAUGCUAUACCAAGGCCGCUUGGCAAACCUCGGUCUAUUCGGACAACGUUUAACACCCGCUCACAACAAGAGACAAAAGGGAGACGCUGGAGGACAUAGGAGCGCCGGAUUACAAACGGACAACGGGGAAAAUGCUCGGAUGCAUGAGACGAACACGAAUGCGAAAUGAGAUGCACAUGAUGAGAUAAUAAAAUGCAACACGCAAGAAAAUGACAUGGCAACGAAGGCGAAUAACUGGAAGACACCUGGCGCAUCGAAUCCGGGGCGUUACAUGGGACAUCUCUCGUGCUUCCGCUUCCAUGCUCGCAUCUCCCUGGUGGCAAUCUCUCGACCCAGAACUCACGCUGGCCAUGGCAAACGCAAGGGAACGAUGAUGAAUGACUUGUUUGUUUUUGUGGAUGAGGAGUUGAGGAGGAAUGUGCAGUCAUCUUGGAGUAGUAGAUUUAUAACCGAGUAGUAAUACGCUCCUAAGUGGGAAACCAUUUAGGUUUUGAUUGGUGUGAAUAUGUUUGCAAUUUGGAAUGUGACGAGACACAUGCUCAAAAUUUACUGACAGUUAUAAGUGCGGCACUAUUCCCGGAAGGCGUAACGUGGGCACGUACGCCUUCUCUGCCACGUACGUCGCGUUUGCACCAUAGGGUGCACCGCAAUAGGCAAUGUCAGCACACGUCUUGUUCCAACAACCGUGCACGCUCGUUAUUACCAUCGCACACACUUCUUCUAAUUAGAAUUUGUGUGCCCGUUUAGUGCACACAUGUUGAUCUAUCUAAUUGUUUCAGUUUGUUGUGGCUAAUCGCAAACAGUUCAUCCGUGUGAAGUGUAUGCCAUCAAUCGCAGACACUUUGAUCUAGCUGACCCGUAUCUAUUCUAUUGCCUAAUCGCAAAUAGUUACUCCUUCUGAAGCGUAUGAACUCAAUCACACAUACCUUUUUCUAGCUGCCCGUUUCUAUUGUUCCUCCUGAUCACAAACAGUUCAUCUGAGCAAACCGUAUGCUAUAUAUGGCACACGCCUUCAUCUGGUCGCCCGUUUCUUUUGUUUCGCCUCAUCGCAAAUAGUUCAUUAAACUGAACCGUAUGCCCUACAUAGCACACGAAACUAAAAUCUGAACCGUGUUAGAUGGCUCCGCCAUCGCAAAUGUUUUGCACCUUCUUUGACGGUUCUUUUACACCAGUGUUUGCGAUUAUUGCAUUGCACACAGUUUCGUUGAAGGGUCUCUGAUCGUAGUGUCGCGUUAGCAGCACCCUGCAGUAGUGCUAGUGCAAUCGCUCGGGUUCAGUUAGAGCCCAACGCCUCGCUCGGGUUCACUUAGAGCGCAAUGCCUCGCACACACGCGCGCACGUGUACGAGAGAAACGCUCAAACCUCCGUGCAUCGCUCGGCCCCAACCACCCACCAUAACCGGGAACUCCCCGAUAUUUUCCUCGCCCUCGCUUCUACCACAUUUUUUUCCGUCAUGGGUGACCCAAAGAAUGUCAUGCAACUAUGUCUCCAGCCCUCCCAGGACGAAAAGCCCAUAUUCUAUCAUGAUCUUUGUCAUAGAAGUAGGAGCCCACCACAUCUAUGAUGAUAUCAGGUUUUGUCACAAUUGUCAUCAUAGAAGUGUCAUAAUUAUGACAGAAAAAAAUUCGUUUGACCCAAAAUGUCACGGAUGUGUCUUUUUUUGUAGUGACCAAAGAGGUGGCUCUUGGUGACGUAGUUGUUCGGGUUGUCAUCAUGCUCGAUGAAGAGUGGGUUGGUAGAAGAACUUGGCCUAUCCAUCAUCCCAAGCAAAUAUGUGAGUGGGAGAAAGAGAAGAACUUGUACCAAAUGUACCUUAACCGAUGUUAAAGAUGGAUCUAUGAUCACUCAAAUGUGUAACAAGGAAAUAUCACUUUUGGUACCAAUUAUUGUCGAUUCUCGCACCUAAACAAAUAAAGUUUAUAGUGGAGCUCGGUUAGGAUGGUGGUACAAAAUUUAUGCGAUUGUUAGUGAGACUCAAUAAUGUUGGAAAAGAUUCGUAAAUUUGAAAAUGCAACAAGUAGACCCAUAGCAAGAGAUGGUACAUGGAAACACAUACGCAAAUAGAUAAGUGGAGUUGUGCAAACCAAAAAUGAGCUCAAAAUGUGGAACCCACGGAAAAUGCUCUUGUUGCACAACUCUAGAGAGACGUGAUUCAUACUGUUUUAUUAUCAUUCUUGGAUGUUUCACAAUCAUUUUAUAGAAACAUCAUGUCAUUUUUUGGGACUGACCUAUUGACCCAGUGCCCAGUGCCAGUUACUGUUUUUUGCUUAUUUUUUACAUCACAGGAAAUCAAUAUCAAAUGGAGUCCAAACACCGCAAAACUUUUCGUGGAUUUUUUAUGGACCAGAACACUCGCGAUGGGCCAGAGCAGCACCUAGGGGGUGCCCCGAGGGGGCACAACCCUCCAGGGCGCGCCAUGGGGGCCCAGGCGCACCCAGGUGGGUUGUGCCCACCUCGAUGGCCUCCCGCACCCCUCUUUGCCCUAUAAAAUCCCAAAUAUUCCAAAACCCUUGGGGUUAACCUAGAUCAGAAGUUCCGCCACCGCAAGGCUCUGUAGCCACCUAAAACCAAUCUAGAGCCCGUUCCGGCACCCUGCCAGAGGGGGAAUCAUCACCGGUGGCCAUCUUCAUCACCCCGGCGGCCACCACGAUGAGGAGGGUGUAGUCCACCCUCGGGGAUGAGGGUUUGUACUAGUAGCUAUGUGUUUAACCUCUCUCUCUCUCAUGUUCUUGAGAUGCCACGAUCUUGAUGUACCGUGGGCUUUGAUAUAGUCGGAUCAUAUGGUGUUUUCCCCACAGUAUCUUGUUGUGAUGAAUUGAGUUUUUCCCUUUGAGAUUUCGUUGUUAUCGGAUUGUAUACUUUUAUGGAUUUGAGAGCACUUGAUAUACGUCUUGCAUAUGAAUACACGUGGUGACAAUGGGGUAUUGUAUUGAUGCACUUGAUAUAUGUUUUGGCAUUCAACUCGCGGAUUCUCGCAGUGACAUUGGGGUAAUCUAUGCAUAGGGGUCGAUGCACGUUCUCGUCUUUUGUUUCUCCGGUAGAAAUCUUGGGGCACUCUUUGAGGUUCUUUGUGUUGGAUUGAGUAUUAUGAAUCUGAAAUUAUUUGGUGUUAUUUUAGUACGAACUCUUGGAUAGAUUGAUCAGAAAAAGUACCUUCGAGGUGGUUUCGUACCCUACAAAUAAUUUCUUCUUAGGUUCUCCACUAGAUAGGAACUUUGGAGUGAUUCUUUAUCACACAUUGAGGGAUGGUUAUAUGAUCCAAUUAUAUUAGUACUGUUGAGAGAUUGCACUAGCGAAAGUACGGUCCCUAGGCCUCAUUUUCAAGCAUUGCAAUACUAUUUUUGUGCCCGUUUACUAUUUGCUACCUUGCUGUUUUUAUUUAUUCAGAUUAUAAAAAUAUAUUUCUACCAUCAAUAUUACACUUUUAUCACCAUCUCUUUGCCGAACUAGUGGACCUAUACAAUUUGCUAUUGUAUUGGGUGUGUUGGGGACACAAGAGAUUUCUUGUAUUUGGCUGCAGGGUUGUUUGAGAGAGACCAACUUCAUCCUACACCUCCCACGGAUUGAUAAACCUUAGGUCAUCCACUUGAUGGAAAAUUGCUACUGUCCUACAAAACUCUACGGUUGGAGGUCCAACACAAGUCUACAAGAAAAAAUUGCAUAGUAGACAUCAAGACGCUAGCACGAUUGCACAAUAGGCGGAUACGAGACUUGUGCACAACCUAUAAAGCAAAAAUGCAACAACUUAUAUCCCAAGUAUGCUAUUUGUAUGGUAUUUCUAUGAUAUGAUCCAAGAUGAUCGAGUAUGACAAUCUUAAUGUAGUAUGUUGCUAUGGUUCUUGCUUAGAAGCUCAUUGCUUAUCUUUCCCUUUUUUCUUCUUCUUAAAAGCUUGUUUGGCUCUUUCUCUUUUGAGUUAUUUCUCAUGCAAAACUUCACAAAACAAGAUAACAAUUGUGUAUAUGCUAUGACAACCUUGUGGGACAAGAAACGAUAUCAAGAUAUGGAUACCAAGAUGAUAUGAUAUAUGCAACAAGAUGAUGAUCACUAAUGUGCACAAGUGAAGUUGCCGGCAAUACUCAAAGGCUAGUCUAGGUGGGUAAGCGAUACAAAAAGGAAGGCUAUGGGGUUAUCAAUUCAAUGGCAAGGAGUAGACAAAGAUGUCAUCAGAGUUACCGUCAAUAGUUUGUCUAUUGUAAGUAAGGACGGAUGAGGAGGAAGUGGUCGGUGUCGAUGACGAGUUCGUGGCGAAGAUGAGCGUCAAUGCUGAUGAUGUUGUAGUGCACGAUCUUCAGUACAUUGGCGAAUAUACCACUGCACAGUAGUCGAAGUUGGCAAAGUAGGGAAAGUUGUCGAAGAUGCGCAGACUUUCUGUUAAGGCUGGAUGUUCUAGGCAAGAUGGAAGGUCCAGGGUCCGAAAGUUCCGGGUGGGGUCGGAAGGUCCGGGCUGGGCCGGAAGUUCCGGUGGUCGCGAUUCCGCCAAGAAUAGGAAAUUUGGGGAUCAUGGAUUUGGGCAGAGAAACUUUGGGAAAAAACCCAAAUCCAAUGGGGGAAAGAAAUUUUUUGGGUGGAUGAAAUGGUGGGAAAGCUAGGUCUAAGUGCCACACACGAAAUCCACGGAUCAAAUCCAACAAAACUUCAUCACACCAACAAAUCACAAAAAUUUUGGGAGGGCUAUUUUUGUGGGGAUUUUCAAAAUUAGGGAAGAACACAAUAAAAUUAGGCUAGAAAACAAAGCGGGAGGCUCCAAAGUCAUGAUCAACGUGUCUCAUGAUACCAAGAUGAUGUAGGGUUGAACAGAACCCUAGAUGCCUGAUCUUUCAUGAUUGGAGUACAUCCCGCAAGGAACACGAGGGGAAACACGGGAGAAAUCACUCAAACUAACAAGAUUUGAUUACACAUGUGCUAGAUCCAUGAAACACAAAGGGAUACACGAUCCACAAUCAACAAGGGACGAUACAAGUAGCAAGUUCAUCUCCAUGAGGAGGUCUUGAGGGAUCUUCCCAUGAGGGGUCUUGAUCCACUUGGGGGAUCUUCUCCGUAGAGGUCCUGAACUCCGAUGGAGAAGGGAUCAAGUGGAGAGCAAAGCUUCUCAAAUGAGCUACUACUUUGCUAACGCUAAAACGUAGGUAGAAGAUGAGUAUAUAUAGUAUAGGGGGCGAAAGGGUACAUGGGCCUCGGCCCAAGUCAUUGCGCGUAGGCAAGGCCGGAAGUUUCGGGGAGCGGAGGUUGUGGGCCAAGGUCCGGGGAGGGUCCGACCCUAACCAGAGAGUGUUGGGGAAUGUAGUAAUAAUUCAAAAUUUUCCUAUGUGUCACCAAGAUCAAUCUAGGAGAUGCUAGCAACGAGAGAGAAGGAGUGCAUCUUCAUAUCCUUGAAGAUCGCUAAGCGGAAGAAUUACAAGAACGCGGUUGAUGGAGUCAUACUCGCGGAGAUUCAAAUCACGGAUGAUACGAUCCAAGCACCAAACGGAUGGUGCCUCCGCGUUUAACACACUUACAGCCCGGGGACGUCUCCUCCUUCUUGAUCAAGCCAAGGGAGAGGAGAAGUUGAGGGAGAACUCCGGCAGCACGGUGGCGUGGUGGUGUUGGAGCUCGGGGUUCUCCGCAGGGCUUCGCCAAGCACUACGGAGGAGGAGGAGGUGUUGGAGGGGGGAAGGGUUGUGCGAGGGAAGGGGUGCGGCUACCCUCUCUCUCCCUCACUAUAUAUAGGGGGAACGAGGAGGAGGAGGCACCCUAGGGUUGCUCUAGGGGAGGGGCGGCGGCCGUAGGGGAAACCCUAGAUGGGUUUGGGCGCCCCCACCCCUAGGAAACUUGCCCCCCAAGCCGGGAGGGGUGGCUGCCCUAGGGGAGGCGCCCAUACCUCUCCAAGUUACGUGAGAUGGGGUGGGAGGGGCGCACAACCCCUUUGUGGGCUGGUGUGCCCCCUCCCCUUGGCCUAUAAGGCCCUCCAACGCUUGCCGGGGCCUUCGAAACUCCUUUCGGUCAUGCUGCUCAUCACUCGGUACUCCCAGAACAAUUCCGGACUCCAAUACCCUUUGUCCAAUAUAUCGAUCUUCACCUCCGGACCAUUCCGGAGUUCCUCGUCACAUCCGGGAUCUCAUCCGGGACUCCGUACAACCUUUGGUAACCACAUACUAUUCCCGUUACAACUCUAGCGUCACCGAACCUUAAGUGUGUAGACCGUAUGGGUUCGGGAACCAUGCAGACAUGACCGAGACACCUCUCCGGCCAAUAACCAAUAGCGGGAUCUAGAUACCCAUAUUAGCUCCCACAUGUUCCACGAUGAUCUCAUCGGAUGAACCACGAUGUCGGGGAUUCAAUCAAUCCUGUAUACAAUUUCCUUUUUCCAUCGCUAUGUUACUUGCCCGAGAUUUGAUCUUCGCUAUCCCUAUACCUUGUUCUAUCUCGUUACCAGCAAGUCUCUUUAUUCAUUCCAUAACACAUGAUCUCGUGACUAACUCCUUAGUCACAUUGAGCUCAUUAUGAUGAUGCAUUACCAAGUGGGCCCAGAGAUACAUCUCCGUCACACGGAGUGACAAAUCCCAAUCUCGAUUCAUGCCAACCCAGCAGACACUUUCGGAGAUACCUGUAGUGCACCUUUAUCGUCACCCAGUUAUGUUGUGAUAUUUGAUACAACCAAAGCACUCCUACGGUAUCCUGGAGUUGCACAAUCUCAUGGUCUGAGGAAAUGAUACUUGACAUUAGAAAAGCUCUAGCGAACGAACUACAUGAUUUUGUGCCAUGCUUAGGAUUGUGUCUUGUCCAUCGCAUCAUUCUCCUAAUGAUGUGAGCCCGCACUACUGUAGGAUGCUGUUAAUGUGACACUACGAUCAGAGACCCUUAGACGAAACUGUGUGCGAUGCAAUAAUCGCAAACGGUGGUUUAAAAAAACCGUCAAAAAAGGUGCAAAACGUUUGUGAUGGAGGAUGCAUCAAACACGGUUUAGAAUUUAGUUGCAUGUGUGAUGCAGGGCAUACGGUUCAAUUCAAUUAACUGCUUGUGAUGAGGAGGAACAAAAGAAAUGGGCAGCUAGAUGAAGGUGUGUGUGCGAUAUACAACAUACGGUUCACUCGGAUGAACUAUUUGUGAUUAGGCAACACAAAAGAAACGGUCAGCCAGAUCAAGGUGUGUGCGAUAUACGGCAUGCGGUUCACUUGGAUGAACUGUUUGUGUUGAGACAAGAGAACAGAAACGGUUCAAUAUAACAAGAUGUGCGUGAUACGAGGCAAACAAGUCUGUAAUCAGAAAUGUGUGCGAAGACCGAUAAUAACACAGACGGUUGCUGCUAAUAAGACGUGUGUGUUGUGCGAUGGGAUUGAAUACAGAAUAACAACAUUAUAUACACACUUGUAAGGACAUGGUUGCAUAAUCAAAUUAAACAUCCACUUACAUAGGUGGCUACUACAACCAUGGCAUUUGCACACACCAAAGUAAACUAUUACAUGCAUGAUUACAUAGGUGGCUACUACACACAUGACAUUUCCACACACCAAUAAGGUAAACUAUAUAUUACAUGCAUGAUUAACUAGCAUAAACGAUCAUCUAAUCAUCAUCUACUUCUUGUGACGCUUGCUCUGCCUGUGGAUCGAUCCAGGCUCGUCGAUUUGGGUAACGAGGCACUUCCUCAUGUCGACGAUCCGCCUGUGCAUCUCGUAGCAUGUGUACACGCUCUUGGCCACGAACCUUAGGUGAGGUUCAUCCAGUUGCCGCAUCCAGGCCCUGUGCUAGGAUAGGGGACUUGUUCUCUGGCAUCCUGCUUCAUCUUAUCAUAGUAGGGGUCGAUGAUGGCAAAGGCAAGUUCGACCAGGGAGUCCUUCUUCGUGCUGCCCUAGACCCUGUAGUGGUCAUGGAUUUCAACAAGGUUCUUGCAGGCCAAGCUCGUAACACUAAGCGCUUUUAAAUCGUCGGGGGUUUCCGCCAUGGUGAACUUCCAGUCGGUGCUGUUGACAAACCUGUUGAAACGGUCGCAAGGCUCUGUGGCCAUGCAGUAGUGGUAGAUGAGGACAUGAUGGUGCACGCACAACUAGGCGAUGGCAACCUUCCGAUCUAUCUCAAUUUUCUUCGACAGUAAAUCGGAGCCACAACGCCGCCAUGCUCAAUUGACCUCGCGACUGAAACUGGCACUUGGGGGGUCUUUUCGGGAUGUUGUAUGUGCGCACACGGAACACAAAAAUCAUGCAAGAACUCACAUAGAGAACAAUAGGUAGGGAUGGACGCCGGAGAUAUGUAGCACAGAGGACCGUGCACAGUCGUCCGCAUCAAGGAAGGUUGACCCGAGGCUGUAGCGCCUGGGGAAAGCCAACACAGGGAGGAGCCACCUUGGUGGGGAGGCCAGCCCGGGGAGGAACCACUGUGGAUCAGCAACAUAGGUGGAGGGAGCUAUCGAAGCACAGGAGGUGGCAAAGGCGACCUGAUGCUAGUGGUGGCUGGCGACCCAGCAGCUCGUCAGCCCUCUGGCCGGAGGGCCACGUGCAAGAUCCGUCACCCAACCGCCUCUCUCCUCUCUGCCGAAUGUGGCCACCAAGCAGCAAGUCGUGCCCUCCUCUUGCUGUAGGUCGAGCCCUCCUCGAGGUGCAGGUGGAUGGCAGGUAGGCACGGUGAACGGCGACAUCGUGCAUCGGUGGGGAGCACGGGGCGGGUGGCGGGGGCAAUCCGAUGGGGAGCACGAUGCAAGCGGUGGAUCAUGCUGGAGUGAAUGCCGGAGUGAAGUGCAGGCGGUGGCCGUGGUCGGGGCAGCUUAUUUUGAUAGAGGCAGCGAUGGUUGGGGAAGAUGGCGGUGAUGAUGGGUGAGUCGUGGGAACCACGACGAUAGUCAUCGAGGGCGCCGUGGGCGCCUACUUCCUCUGGCCCGCUGCGGCCGCCCCCACUGCUGCCAGCACCAUGAUGAAGGCGCCUGGUGUUGCCGGCUUCCUCAUCUCCCGCACGGCAUUUGUGGCCAACCCUGCGGGUCGGCCGUGACGGCGCGCUGGGAGGGAGAGGAGAGGUGGCGACAGCGGGUGGAGGGGGCUGGGGAACCUUAGUGCAUCGGUGAAAGGAGGCAGGGACGGAGAUGAGCGGGAGGAGGCGGGGACGGCAGCGCGCCGGAGGGAGGCAUGGGCGGAGGCGAGCCUGGAAGAGGCGGGAACGGCGGCGCGCUGGAGGGAGGUGUGGGCGGAGGCGGGGGCGGCGGAGGAAUCGAGAGAAGGUGGAGGAGACGACGGGAUCAGGCGAAGGUCAUGGGGUAGGUGGUGGGCAGCUGGUGGGUCGGGGGGUUACGAAGGAGGCGGGUGGGUCGGGUUUGGGAACACCUAAUCGGUCUUAUAUAGGGUGAUCGUGAUCCAAAUAGUUAUUUUAAUUCUGGGAUUAGAAUAAGGCACAAUCGAAAGGUUGAAGAGAUUAAGGUUAUAAUGGCCCGGGAAUUAAAGGGGAAGACGAACGGCCAGGAAUAUCGGCUGGCCCUGAUGGUAGUUUUAAUUUGCUGCGCAUAACUCCAUCGUGCCGCACGUAACUGCAUUGCGUGGAAACGCGCGCGGCAGAACCACAUGCAUAUGGGGCCCCCGACAUGAUCGUGCGCACGCCCAACUGCUGGCAGAGCAUGCACGGAGGGACGCGAGCAGAGCGCUCCACAGUCGCCUCAACGGAGAGCAAUAUAUGCAUAUAGUAGUUGAACACGCAAGGAAAAGGUGUCCACAAGCCUACCACGCCGACGGACACGAGCAAAGCGCCACGGCGCCUAAUGGUGAGCACAGCGUGCUGCGGCACCUAACGCGAUCAGAGCUUGCCAAGGGACUCGAGCAAAAGCCGGCACAGUGAUAGGUGGAAAAUAAUACGAACUGUGCGAGCAAUGUCGGAGACAUCAAACAUGAAUCAGAUUAGAGUUGCGUGUGCGAUACGUGGUAUACAGUUGAUCAAUUCGAGUUGUUUGUGAUGGAAUAAGCCAUGUGUGUUGCGGGCAAACGCUUGCUGGUAUAUAACCUUAAAUUUAACCAAAAAAGUGUUAAUGCAUGUUACAAAAAUUGUAUAGCUGGAAACUAUGUUCAAAUACGACUCCAAUGAUAUAAUCUUUGGUGACAUGCAUUCAUAUUUUAUUAGUUAAAUCCUACUUAUAAACUAGGACGGGGGUAUAGUAGGUAAUUAAAUUGCAAAUGUUUUUUUAUUAACCGUAUGUGUACGUGGCCUUUCGUCCUCCCCUCGCACGUCUUGUCACCCCGCUGCCGCAGACGGCUUACAGCGCAAGCUUGCGCAGCUUGCGGGGGCGUUCUUUUGGCCAAACGGUGGCGCCAACGAAUCAUCGGUGACCCCGUUCCCACGCAACCUCGCAAGUUUCCGCGCAAGCUUCCCUCCCAACUUUGUGAAAUCCCCCAAAAUCCCAAUGCUUACCGACCUGCUAUAUAAACCCUCACGGCCGGCGUGUCCUGCGUCGCAUUUUCCCCUCCCUCCCUGUAGCUUAUCUCGUCUGCUUCUCCCACAAUCGCCAAUGGCACUGGUCCGUCGUCGUCGCUCAGCCAUCUGUUGUCAUUAGAGGACAGCUCCAGCUGGGAGGCUGCACAGCGGCGGCGGCGUAGUCCCCGGUGUAGUGUAGUGCGCGUGGCAUCUCUGUUGGGUGUGCGCGGAACACCCACCAUACGCUCCGUCGCUGCUGCCCGUUGGCAGCUGUUGCCGACCGCCGUUGCCGCCACACCACCGCCGAAAGCCCGGGCCAUCUCCCGCUCCACCACCGCCGAAAGCCCGGGCCAUCUCCCGCUCCACCACCGCGGCCCGAAGGUGGGAGGUGGCCGUCGUGGCCUCCACCCCACUACCGGCCACCGUGUCCAUCACCCGCUCUGCCACCGCGACCCGAAGGCGGGAGGUGGUGGUUGUGGCUACCGCCCCAUCAUCGGCCACCGUGGCCGCCAGCCCACCGUUGACCGUCGCCCGAAGGAGGGAGGCGGAGGUGGAGGCCCACAAGUGCGUCAACGACCUUGCGUGCUACAUCGAGUUCCUACGGGAGGAGGAGGAGCGCCUCGUCGAGCAUGCAAAGAGCCUUACCACAGCCGUGGCCACAACACAAGCCAUCGUAGAGGCAAGGAAUAAGGAGAUCUAUGAGUAGUCCGGCCGCUUCGAGAGGGAUCAUCUGGAGCGGCAGUGGGUGUUCGAGCUGGCGAGCGUCACUGAACGUGAAGCAGCGGUAGGAACCAUAUUGCAUUUGUCCAGGUCAUUGGUAGGCUCCUCCUCUCCUCCUUUGCCUCUUACUGAGCAUGCUCGGCAGAGGAGAGGCUGCCGAAAGUAGCACAAAGCCCCUCCGUAGUAGUAGUAGUAUUUAGGGGCUAUUUUGUUCAGUUCAUCUGACUAUAGAUGUGUGGUGGAACUGUACAACGUACUUAAAAUUAGCUAGUAUAUAGUUCAAAUUUGAAUUAUGCACAUUAAAUUCCUAGAAACUCAACUAAUGUAUAAAAAAGGCCAAAUGAACCCGAAAUAAUUCCAAAAUUUAGCACGAUACUUCUAUUUGGUCUAAUCUGCCUGUGUAAAAAAAUUAAGGCAGGAGAAGGUAGUGUACGCAUGUCGUUUCACAGAUGGAGGUGACAUGUUCCCUCUCGGAACCACGAGCCCUCUUGAGGGAAGCUUCGGUUUGCAAGAAGAUUACACCAAAGCUUGUCCCAGUUCGGCCAAAAAAAUUACCGCAGCAUGUUGGUGCCAUGUCAUGACACCAUGCCAAGUUUCAUGAUUUUCAGGCGUGUUUUGAAUUUACAGGAAUUAAAAAACCAAGUUUCUCAAUCUUUCCGGCCGAGCCACGACGCCCAGAUGUUUGAAUUCCAUUCCCAUUUCUUGCAUGGGACCUAUAAAUUCACCCAAAGACACACAUGUGAUUUUUCAACCAACUUUGGUGCAUUUGAGCAUGUGCUUGUAAUUCAAAUUUGAAUUAUGCACAUCAAAUUCCCAGCAACUCAAUUAAUGUAUAAAAAACACCAAACAAAUCUGGAAUAAUUCCAAAAUUUAGCACGAUACUUCUAUUUUGUCUAGUCUGCCUAUGUAAAAAAUUAAGGCGGGAGAAGGCAGUGUGUGUAUGUCGUUUCGCACACACAGGUGACAUGUUCCCUCUCGGAACCAAGAGCCUUCUUGAGGGAAGCUCUGGUUUGCAAGAAGCUUACACGAAAGCUUGUCCCAAUUCAGCCAAAAAAAUACUGCAACAUGUUGGUGCCAUGUCAUGACACCAUGCCAAGUUUCAUGAUUCUUAGGCGUGUUUUGGAUUUACAGGAAUUAAAAAACCAAGUUUUUCAAUCUUUCCGGCUGAGCCAUGACGCCCAGAUGUUUAAAUUUCAUUCCCAUUUGUUGCAUGGGACCUAGAAAUUCACCCAAGGACACACAUGUGAUUUUUCAACCAACUCUAGUGCACUAGAGCAUGUGCUUGUAAUUCAAAUUUGAAUUAUGCAGAUUAAAUGCCCAAAAACUCAAUGAAUGUAUAAAAAAGGCCAAACGAACCCGGAAUAAUUCCAAAAUUUAGCACGAUACUUCGAUUUGGUCUAACCUGCCUGUGUAAAAAAAUUAAGGCGAGAGAAGGCAGUGUACGUAUGUCGUUUCGCACACGGAGGUGAGAUGUUUCCUCUUAGAACAACCAGCCUUCUAGAGGGAAGCUACGGUUUGCAAGAAGCUUACACCAAAGCUUGUCCCAGUUCGGCCAAAAAAAUUACCGCAACGUGUUGGUGCCAUGUCACGAUACCAUGCCAAGUUUCAUGAUUUUCAGGCUUGUUUUCGUUUUACCGGAAUUAAGAAACAAAGUUUCUCAAUCUUUCCGGCCAAGCCACGAUGCCCAGAUGUUUGAAUUUCAUUCCAAUUUCUUGCAUGGGACCUAUAAAUUCACCCAAAGACACACAUGUGAUUUUUCAACCAACUUUGGUGCAUUGGAGCAUGUGCAUGUAGUUCAAAUUUGAAUUAUGCACAUUAAAUUCCCAGAAACUCAAUUAAUGUAUAAAAAGGCCAAACGAGACCGAAUUAAUUCCAAAAUUUAGCACGAUACUUCUAUUUGGUCUAAUCUGCCUGUGAAAAAAAAUUAAGGCGAGAGAAGGCACUGUACGCAUGUCGUUUCGCACACGGAGGAGACAUGUUCCCUCUGGGAACCACGAGCCUUCUUGAGGGAAGCUUCGGUUUGCAAGAAGAUUACACCAAAGCUUGUCCCAGUUCGGCCAAAAAAAUUACCAUAGCAUGUUGUUGCCAUGUCAUGACAACAUGCCAAGUUUCAUGAUUUUCAGGCGUGUUUUGGAUUUACAGGAAUUAAAAAACCAAGUUUCUCAAUCUUUCCGACCGAGCCACGAUGCCCAGAUGUUUGAAUUUCAUUACCGUUUCUUGCAUGGGACCUAUAAAUUCACCCAAGGACACACAUGUGAGUUUUCAAUGAACUUUGUUGCAUUGGAGCAUGUGCUUGUAGUUCAAAUUAGAAUUAUGCACAUUAAAUUCCUAGAAACUCAAUUAAUGUAUAAAAAUGCCAAACGAACCUGAAAUAAUUCCAAAAUUUAGCAUGUACUUCUAAUUGGUCUAAUCUGCCUAUGUAAAAAAAUUAAGGCGGGAGAAGGCAGUGUGUGUAUGUCGUUUCGCACACGGAGGUAACAUGUUCCCUCUCGGAACCAAGAGCCUUCUUGAGGGAAGCUCCAGUUUGCAAGAAGCUUACACCAAAGCUUGUCCCAGUUCGGCCAAAAAAAUUACCGCAUCAUAUUGGUGACAUGUUCAUGACACCGUGCCAAGUUUCUUGAUUUUCAUGCGUGUUUUGGAUUUACAGGAAUUAAAAAACCAAGUUUCUCAAUCUUUCCAGCCGAACCACAACGCCCAGAUGUUUGAAUUUCAUUACGGUUUCUUGCAUGUGAACUAGAAAUUCACCCAAGGACACACAUGUGAUUUUUCAACCAACUUUGGUGCACUGGAGCAUGUGCUUGUAGUUCAAAUUUGAUUUAUGCACAUUAAAUUCCUGGAAACUCAAUUAAUUUAUAAAAAAUGGCAAAUGAACCCGGAAUAAUUCCAAAGUUUAGCACGAUACAUCUAUUUGGUCUAAUCUGCCUGUGUAAAACAAUUAAGUGGGAGAAGGCAGUGUACGUAUGUUGUUUGACACACGGAGCUGACAUGUUCCCUCUCGAAACCACGAGCCCUCUUGAGGGAAGCUCCGGUUUGCAAGUAUCUUACACCAAAGCUUGUCCCAGUUCGGCCAAAAAAAUUACCGCAGCAUGUUGGUGCCAUGUCAUGACACCAUGCCGAGUUUCAUGAUUUUCAGGUGUGUUUUAGAUUUGUAGGAAUUAAAAAACGAAGUUUCUCAAUCUUUUUGUCCGAUCCACGACGCCCAGAUGUUUGAAUUUCAUUCCCAUUUCUUUCAUGGAACCUAGAAAUUCACCCAAGGACACACAUGUGAUUUUUCAACCAACUUUGGUGCACUGGAGCAUGUGCUUCUAGUUUAAAUUUGAAUUAUGCACAUUAAAUGCCCAGAAACUCAAUAAAUGUAUAAAAAAGCCAAACGAACCCGGAAUAAUUCCAAAAUUUAGCACAAUAGUUCUAUUUGGUCUAAUCUGCCUAUGUAAAAAAAUUAAGGCGGGAGAAGGCAGUGUGUGUAUGUCGUUUCACACACGGAGGUGACAUGUUCCCUCUCGGAACCAAGGGCCUUCUUGAGGGAAGCUCCGAUUUGCAAGAAGCUUACACCAAAGCUUGUCCCAGGUUGGCCAAAAAAAUUACCACAACAUAUUGGUGCCAUGUUCAUGACACCAUGCAAAGUUUCAUGAUUUUCAUGCAUGUUUUUGAUUACAGGAAUUAAAAAACAAAGUUUCUCAAUCUUUCCGGCCGAGCCACGACACCCAGAUGUUUGAAUUUCAUUCCCAUUUCUUGCAUGGGACCUAUAAAUUCACCCAAGGACACACAUGUGAUUUUUCAACCAACUAUGGUGCACUGGAGCAUGUGCUUGUAGUUCAAAUUUGAAUUAUGCACAUUAAAUGCCCAGAAACUCAAUGAAUGUACAAAAAAGGCCAAACAAACCCGGAAUAAUUCCAAAAUUUAGCACGAUACUUCGACUUGGUCUAACCUGCAUGUGUAAAAAGUUAAGGCGGGAGAAGGCAGUGUACGUAUGUUGUUUCGCACACGGUGGUGAGAUGUUUCCUCUCGGAACAACGAGCCUUCUAGAGGGAAGCUCCGGUUUUCAAGAAGCUUACACAAAAGCUUGUCCCUGUUCGACCAAAAAAAUUACCGCAACAUGUUGGUGCCAUGUCAUGACACCAUGCCAAGUUUCAUGAUUUUCAGGCGUGUUUUCGAUUUACAGGAAUUAAAAAACUAAGUUUCUCAAACUUUCUAGCCGAGCCACGAUGCCCAGAUGUUUGAAUUUGAUUCCUAUUUCUUGCAUGGGACCUAUAAAUUCACCCAAAGACACACAUGUGAUUUAUCAACCAACUUUGUUGCAUUGGAGCAUGUGCAUGUAGUUCAAAUUUGAAUUAUGCACAUUAAAUUCCCAGAAACUCAAUUAAUAUAUAAAAAAGGCCAAACGAACCCGAAAUAAUUCCAAAAUUUAGCACGAUACCUCUAUUUGGUCUAAUCUGCCCGUGUAAAAAAAUUAAGGCGGGAGAAGGUAGUGUACGCAUGUCGUUUCGCACACGGAGGUGACUUGUUCCCUCUCGGAACCACGAGCCCUCUUGAGGGAAUCUUCGGUUUGCAAGAAUAUUACACCAAAGCUUGUCCCAGUUCGGCCAAAAAAAUUACCGCAGCAUGUUGGUGCCAUGUCAUGACACCAUGCCAAGUUUCAUGAUUUUCAGGCGUGUUUUGGAUUUACAGGAAUUAAAAAACCAAGUUUCACAAUCUUUCCGACCGAGCCACGACGCCCAGAUGUUUGAAUUUCAUUCCCAUUUCUUCCAUGGGACCUAUAAAUUCACCCAAAGACACACAUGUGGUUUUUCAACCAACUUUGGUGCAUUGGAGCAUGUGCUUGUAGUUCAAAUUGAAUUAUGCAUAUUAAAUUCCCAGAAACUCAAUUAAUGUAUAAAAAACACCAAACGAACCCGGAAUAAUUCCAAAAUUUAGCACGAUACUUCUAUUUUGUCUAAUCUGCCAGUGUAAAAAAAUUAAGGCGGGAGAAGGCAGUGUGUGUAUGUCGUUUCGCACACGGAGGUGACAUGUUCCCUCUCGGAACCAAGAGCCUUCUUGAGGGAAGCUCCGGUUUGCAAGAAGCUUACACCAAAGCUUGUCCCAGUUCAGCCAAAAAAAUUACCGCAGCAUAUUGGUGCCAUGUUCAUGACACCAUGCCAAGUUUCAUGAUUUUCAUGCGUGUUUUGGAUUUACAGGAAUUAAAAAACCAAGUUUCUCAAUUUUCCGGCCGAGCCACGACGCCCAGAUGUUUGAAUUUCAUUACCGUUUCUUGCAUGGGAACUAGAAAUUCACCCAAGGACACACAUGUGAUUUUUCAACCAACUUUGGUGCACUGGAGCAUGUGCUUGAAGUUCAAAUUUGAAUUAUGCACAUUAAAUUCCUAGAAACUCAAUUGAUGUAUAAAAAACGGCAAACGAACCCGGAAUAAUUCCAAAAUUUAGCACGAUACUUCUAUUUGGUCUAAUCUGCCUGUGUAAAAAAAUUAAGGCAGGAGAUGGCAGUGUACGUAUGUCGUUUCACACACGGAGGUGACACGUUCCCUCUUGGAACCACGAGCCUUAUUGAGGGAAGCUCUAGUUUGCAAGAAGCUUACACCAAAGCUUGUCCCAAUUCAGCCAAAAAAAUACCGCAACAUGUUGGUGCCAUGUCAUAAAACCAUUCCAAGUUUCAUGAUUUUCAGGCGUGUUUUGGAUUUACAGGAAUUAAAAAACCAAGUUUUUCAAUCUUUCCGGCCGAGCCACGACGCCCAGAUGUUUGAAUUUCAUUCCCAUUUCUUGCAUGGGACCUAGAAAUUCACCCAAGGACACACAUGUGAAUUUUCAACCAAGUUUGGUGCACUCGAGCAUGUGCUUGUAGUUAAAAUUUGAAUUAUGCACAUUAAAUGCCCAAAAACUCAAUGAAUGUAUAAAAAAGGCGAAAUGAACCUGGAGUAAUCCCAAAGUUUAGCAUGAUACUUCCAUUUGGUCUAACCUGCCCGUGAAAAAAACUUAAGGCGGAGAAGGCAGUGUACGUAUGUCAUUUCGCACAGAAGGUGAGAUGUUUCCUCUCGGAACAACGAGCCUUCUAGAGGGAAGCUCCGGUUUGCAAGAAGCUUACACCAAAGCUUGUCCCAGUUCGGCCAAAAAAAUUAGCGCAACAAGAUGGUGCCAUGUCAUGACACCAUGCCAAGUUUCAUAAUUUCCAGGCGUGUUUUUGAGUUACAGGAAUUAAAAAACCAAGUUUCUGAAUCUUUCCGGCCGAGCCACGAUGCCCAGAUGUUUGAAUUUCAUUCGUAUUUCUUGCAUGGGACCUAUAAAUUCACCCAUAGACACACAUGUGAUUUUUCAACCAACUUUGGUGCAUUGGAGCAUGUGCAUCUAGUUCUAAUUUGAAUUAUGCACAUUAUAUUCCCAGAAACUCAAUUAAUGUAUAAAAAAGGCUAAACGAACACGAAAUAAUUCCAAAAAUUUGCACGAUACUUCUAUUUGGUCUAAUCUGCCUGUGUAACAAAAUUAAGGCAGGAGAAGGCAGUGUACGCAUGUCGUUUCUCACACGGAGGUGACAUGUUCCCUCUCGGAACCACGAGCCUUCUUGAGGGAAGCUUCGGUUUGCAAGAAGAUUACACCAAAUCUUGUUCCAGUUCGGCCAAAAAAAUUACCGCAGCAUGUUGGUGCCAUGUCAUGACACCAUGCAAAGUUUCAUGAUUUUCAGGCAUGUUUUGGAUUUACAGGAAUUAAAAAACCAAGUAUCUCAAUCUUUCCAGCUGAGCCACGACGCCCAUAUGUUUGAAUUUCAUUCCCUUGCAUGGGACCUAUAAAUUCACCCAAAGACACACAUGUGAUUUUUCAACCAACUUUGGUGCAUUGGAGCAUGUGCUUGUAGUUCAAAUUUGAAUUAUGCACAUUAAAUUCCUAGAAACUCAAUUAAUGUAUAAAAACGCCAAACAAACCCAGAAUAAUUCCAAAAUUUAGCACGAUACUUCUAUUUGGUCUAAUCUGCAUGUGUAAAACAUUUAAGGCGGGAGAAGGCAGUGUACGUAUGUCGUUUCGUAGAUGGAGGUGACAUGUUCCCUCUCGGAACCACGAGCCCUCUUGAGGUAAGCUCCGGUUUGGAAGAAGCUUACACCAAAGCUUGUCCCAGUUCGGCCAAAAAAAAUACAGCAACAUGUUGGUAUAAAAAAGGCCAAAUGAUCCCGGAAAUUCCAAAAUUUAGCACGAUACUUCUAUUUGGUCUAAUCUGCCUGUGUAAAAAAAUUAAGAUGAGAGAAGGCAGUGUACGUAUGUCGUGUCGCACACGAAGGUGAGAAGUUCCCUCUUGGAACCACGAGCCAUCUAGCGGGAAGCUCCGCUUUACAAGAAGCUUACACCAAAGCAUUUCCCAGUUCGGCCAAAAAAUUACCGCAGCAUGUUGAUGCCAUGUCAUGACACCAUGCCAAGUUUCAUGAUUUUCAGGCGUGUUUUGGAUUUACAGGAAUUAAAAAACCAAGUUUCUCAAUCUUUCCGGUCGAGCCACGACGCCCAGAUGUUUGAAUUUCUUCCCAUUUGUUGCAUGGGUCCUAGAAAUUCACCCAAGGACACACCUGUGAUUUUUCAAAAACUUUGGUGCACUUGAGCAUGUGCUUGUAGUUCAAAUUUGAAUCAUGCACAUUAAAUGCCCAGAAACUCAAUGAAUGUAUAAAAAAGGCCAAACGAACCCGGAAUAAUUCCAAAAUUUAAUACGAUACUUCUAUUUGGUCUAACCUGCCUGUGUAGAUUAAUUAAGGCGGGAGAAGGCAGUGUACAUAUGUUGUUUCGCACACGGAGGUGACAUGUUCCCUCUCGGAACCAUGAGCCCUCUUGAGGGAAGCUCCGGUUUGCAAGAAGCUUACACCAAAGCUUGUCUCAGUUCGGCCAAACAAAUUACCGCAACAUGUUGGUGCCAUGUCAUGGCACCAUGCCAAGUUUCAUGAUUUUUAGGCGUGCUUUCGAUUUACAGGAAUUUAAAAACAAAGUUUCUCAAUCUUUCCGGCCGAGCCACGAUGCCCAGAUGUUUGAAUUUCAUUCCCAUUUCUUGCAUGGGACCUAUAAAUUCACCCAACAUGUGAUUUUUCAGCCAACUUUGGUGCAUUGGAGCAUGUGCUUGUAGUUCAAAUUUGAAUUAUGCACAUUAAAUUCCCAAAAACUCAAUUAAUUUAUAAAAAAUGCCAAUCGAACCUGGAAUAAUUCAAAAUGUUAGCACGAUACUUUAAUUUGGUCUAAUCUGCGUGUGUAAAACAAUUAAGGCGGGAGAAGGUAGUGUACGUAUGUCGUUUCUCACAUGGUGGUGACAUGUUCCCUCUCGGAAUGUCGAGCCCUCUUGAGGGAAGCUUCGGUUUGCAAGAAGCUUACACGAAAGCUUGUCCCAGUUCGGCCAAAAAAAUUACCGCAGCAUGUUGGUGCCAUGUAAUGACACCAUGCCAAGUUUCAUGAUUUUCAGGUGCAUUUUAGAUUUAUAGGAAUUAAAAAACCAAGUUUCUCAAUCUUUCCGGCCGAGCCACGACGCACAGAUGUUUGAAUUUCAUUCCCAUUUCUUGCAAGGGACCUAGAAAUUCACCCAAGGACACACAUGUGAUUUUUCAAUCAACUUUGGUGCACUAGAGCAUGUGCUUCUAGUUCAAAUUUGAAUUAUGCACAUUAAAUGCCCAGAGACUCAGUGAAUGUAUAAAAAAGGCCAAAUGGACCCGGAAUAAUUCCAAAAUUUUGCACGAUACUUUAAUUUGGUCUAAUCUGCCUGUGUAAAACAAUUAAGGCGGGAGAAGGCAGUGUACGUAUGUCGUUUAGCACACGAAGGUGACAUGUUCCCUCUCGGAACCACGAGCCUUCUUGAGGGAAGCUCCGGUUUGCCAGAAGCUUACACUAAAGCUUGUCCCAGUUCGGCGAAAAAUAUUACCGCAGCAUGUUGGUGCCAUGUCAUGACACCAUGCCAAGUUUCAUGAUUUUCAGGCGUGUUUUGGAUUUACAGGAAUUAAAAAACCAAGUAUCUCUAUCUUUCCGGCUGAGCUACGACGCCCAGAUGUUUGAAUUUCAUUCCCAUUUCUUGCAUGGGACCUACAAAUUCAACCAAGGACACACAUGUGAUUUUUCAACCAACUUUGGUGCACUGGAGCAUGUGCUUGUAGUUCAAAUUUGAAUCAUGCACAUUAAAUGCCCAGAAACUCAAUGAAUGUAUAAAAAAGGCCAAACGAACCCGGAAUAAUUCCAAAAUUUAGCAUGAUACUUCUAUUUGGUCUAACCUACCUGUGGAAAAAAAAUAGUAGGCAGUGUACGUAUGUCGUUUUGCACACGUAGGUGACACGUUCCCUCUCGGAACCAUGAGCCUUCUUGAGGGAAGCUCCGGUUUGCAAGAAGCUUACACCAAAGCUUGUCCCAAUUAGGCCAAAAAAUUACGGUAGCAUGUUGGUGCCAUGUCAUGACACCAUGCCAAUUUUCAUGAUUUUUAGGCAUGUUUUGGAUUUACAAGAAUUAAAAAACCAAGUUUCUCAAUCUUUCCGGCCGAGCCACGACCCCCCAGAUAUUUGCAUUUCAUUCCCAUUUCUUGCAUGGGACCUAGAAAUUCACCCAAGCACACACAUGUGAUUUUUCAACCAACUUUGGUACACUGGAGCAUGUGCUUGGAGUUCAAAUUUGAAUUAUGCACAUUAAAUACCCAGAAACUCAAUUAAUGUAUAAAAAGGCAAAACGAUCCCGGAAUAAUUCCAAAAUUUAGCACGAUACUUCUAUUUGGUCUAAUCUGCGUGUGUAAAAAAAUUAAGGAGGGAGAAGGCAGUGUACGUAUGUCGUUUCGCACAUGGAGGUGACAUGUUCCCUCUCGGAACCACGAGCCCUCUUGAGGGAAGCUCCGGUUUGGAAGAAGCUUACACGAAAGCUUGUCCCAGUUCGGCCAAAAAAAUUACCGCAACAUGUUGGUGCCAUAUCAUGACACCAUGCCAAGUUUCAUGAUUUUCAGGCAUGUUUUGGAUAUACAGGAAUUAAAAAACCAAGUUUCUCAAUCUCUCCGGCCGAGCCACGGCGCCCAGAUGUUUGAAUUUCAUUCCCAUUUCUUGCAUGGGACCUAGAAAUUCACCCAAGGACACACAUGUGAUUUUUCAACCAUCUGUUGUGCACUUGAGCAUGUGCUUGUAAUUCAAAUUUGAAUUAUGCACAUUAAAUGCAUAGAAACUCAAUUAAUGUAUAAAAAGGCCAAACGAAUCCGGAAUAAUUCCAAAAUUUACCACAAUACUUUUGUUUGGUCUAAUCUGCCUGUGUAAAAAAAUUAAGGCGGGAGAAGGCAGUGUACGUAUGUCGUUUCGCACACGGAGGUGACAGGUUCCCUCUCGGAACCACGAGCCUUCUUGAGGGAAGCUUAGAUUUGCAAGAGGCUUACACGAAAGCUUGUCCCAAUUCGGCCAAAAAAUUUACUGCAGCAUGUUGGUGCCAUGUCAUGACACCAUGCCAAGUUUCUUGAUUUUUCGGCAUGUUUUGGAUUUAUAGGCAUUAAAAAACCAAGCUUCUCAAUCUUUCCGGCCGAGCCAGAACGCCCACAUGUUUGAAUUUCAUUCCCAUUUCUUGCAUGGGACCUAUAAAUUCACCCAAAGACACACAUGUGAUUUUUCAACAAACUUUGGUGGAUUGGAGCAUGUGCUUGUAGUUCAAAUUUGAACUAUGCACAUUAAAUGCCUAGAAACUCAAUUAAUGCAUAAAAAUGCUAAACGAACCCAGAAUAAUUCCAAAUUUAAGCACGACACUCAUGUACUAGUUGCAUGUUCAUUGUACGUAAAUGUUCUAGCAAUUCAAACACCAUUCUUUCCCUCCGUAACACCAUUUUUUCUUUCAAAACAUAAUGAAAAAAAUUAGGUAUACCACAAACUGUAUACUAGAAAGAAUUGUGUGGGAUGCGAUAUAAAAUAUCUUGGCACACCGUCUUGUCUGGCUUACGCAAGAAGCUUCAUCGUCUACAGUCCACCGCCCCCGCUUGAACCACACUUGCGUGCCAGUUUCUCGCAGCACCGAGCAAAUUUUUUUUGCCACCACAGAAAUAUCUAUCUCCCCGCCCCCUCCCUCCCACCAAAAGCCACAUUUCCACUAUUCCUCCUUGAUUUCCAAGUUCAAACCUUCACUGUUGCUUUACUGGCAGCUCAGCCUCCUUGCCGGUGACCCUUCUUCUUGAAGCAACGCCUCCUCGCUGGCUAACCUUAUUCUUGGAGUGCCGCCUCCUUGCCGGCGACCCUUCUUCUUGCAGCGCCGCCUCCUCGCCGGCGACCCUUCUUCUUGCUGCGCGGCCUCGUCACCGCCGACCCUUCUUCUUGCUGCGCGGCCUCGCCGAUAUGGUCAGGUAAUCCACACCCCACCCACACCAUCCUCCUCCUUUCCCGUCCCACAUGCCCCGACCGAUGGCUCGACACCUUCCACCAAAAACACUACCCCCUCCUCCAAUUAAGUGCCGCCCACAACCAUUUUGCACGCAGUAUAACAUGGAGCUCAGUAGCAUGCGGCCGCAUGCGCGCAUGAGGUCGCUAUGGCUGCCAUGCAUGUCGACCGCCAAAUCUUGGAGGACCACCUCGUCUUUGAGUCCACCGUCGACACCGACACACAAUUAUCUACUUUAAAAUACGGUUCGUGCUGUUUUCUCGAGGCCACCGCCAGUGCCUUCUAGUGAUUUGUCCUCUGCAACUUUAAUAUGCAAUCUGAUGUUCAACUAACAGUUUGGUCCUCUGAAAUGUAAUGUUUAGCUAACACUUUGGUCCAACAAUUGGUACAUUUCCUAGUACUAUUCUCAAGCAUUCUUUGUUUUGUUAACCGUCUUAUCUUUGAGUACAUGCUUCUAUUAUGCAAUGUUGUGCUUAGUUAACUAUUUUGGUUCAUUUGGUCUAUUGUCCAUUUAAUUGUUUGGUUCAGUUCUGCAAUUUGAUUUUCAUUUGCUGUGGGUACAAUUUUGUAUUGUUAUGCAUGUGACACCGAAUUUGGCUAUACUCAAUACAUGUUCUACUGAUAGUAUGGCAACUCUCAGCUUACCCGAUCAAGAUCUUCCUUAUGUGUCUUGGAGGGAAACAAUGGGAGACACUACGGUUUACCAUCGAGGUUUGUUCAAGGAGGGUCCUUUGAUAAUAGCACAUUAUUGUGCAGUUGCAGGAAUCAUUAUAAUAUUUAGGUUUCUUAUAGUUUGGUCUUGCACAUGUAGGUCCUACUGUCAGAGGCUUAGACCCACUGUUCGACCCAUUUUGCAUAUGGGGAAAUGAGAUGUCCAUGAAUAUCAGUCAAGUCAAGAAACUCAAAAGAUUGUAAGGAUGAAGAAACUUGCGAUGAAUAACAUCAAGAUCUUUGUUUGCACAAUGAAGAAGACAUCAGUCAACUAUAGUAUGGUACUAACUCUUUUACCUUGUUUUUACCCCUUGCACCAUUUCAAAAUUUAUUACAGUGAUUUAUGCAUAGCUUUGUUUUCAGUACUUUUCAAAGCAGUUCACCGAUGAUUACCUCUCGAACCACCUGCAUGGUCAAGAGGCGAGGAAGGUAUUCAUUCAACACCUACGGUACAAUAUUGAAGUCUUGUCAAAGAGGACGAAGGUUGGACGGGCAAUUAUCCAUAGCCACUGGCCUAAAGUUGCAAGGACAUUCAACAUCACUGAAGGCUCAAUAUUUGCCUUCCGCUUCUGCAGUUUCCCAGAUGAGAUUUAUCUGUCUAUUUACCAUGUAGGACGCUACUUUCCAAAGGUUUUUGAUGUUGCAUGUGAAACUUGGUGCUGUUGUGUAAUGGCGUAACUGAGUGCCAAAGCUAUCUGAUGUAAUUCGAUUAUGAAAUCCUGGUUGCUAUUAUACGGAUAUGAAAUAUCUGGUGUGUUUUAUAAGAAAUAUCAGAUUGAUUAGUACAUGGAUUAUUAGUAAUAGGCUAAUUACCCUACUUAUUGGGGUUGUCUAUUACAGACAAUUACUCAGACAGCACCGUGGGCGAUGAACUCAAACAACCCGCACGGUUUCUAGAAUGUAGGAGUGUUCGAUCAACUAACAAUCACACACGGCUUCCGGCAGCGAAUUGUUUGCGUUAGGCCACCUUGCACAAACGUUUCCACAAAAAGAAUUGUGUGUGAUAUACAUACCUACGGAAAUGUUUUUCUAGGAUUCACCAUGUGGGAUGUACAUACCUACGGAAAAGAUUGGGUUUCAAUGCCUCGUCCGAUCACACACGAGCUCGUUUGGUGUCCCAGGAGGGCCUAUCCCCGACGGUUUCUGCGUCAUGUGGGAAGGACCCCCCUAUCGCCCACACUCACUUGGCGACGGUUCCAAACGUCAUCGCGGAAAGGUGUUAAAAACCAUUUGUAUAGCACGUCGUCGUACCAGUGUAGCUAUGUUACUGAACCCCGAUCGAUCCCUUGCUGUUAACUAAACCUGAGUGAUUCCUUCGCUACUUCUGCUAACUGAAGCCGAUCGAACCUGCUGCCUCCUUCCCUUGAUGAACAAUGAGCCUUGUUAGGGUGGGGGGUUGGAUGAACAUAUCCUAGUGGGGGUGGAUGAACAGGACCCCGUGGUAGUAGAGGUCGUUGCCGCUGGAUGAAUAGGAGCCCAUGAAGGGCUGGAUGAACAGGACGACCCCGUGAAGGGCUGGUUGAACAGUAGCCGAUGGAGGGCUGGUGUGACGCCCGGAUAAUCAUGCUACAGUAAUCUCACGUUAAUGAUGGCACGUCACCUCUGUCAUUGUAAUUAAUCUCGGGUUAAUUCAAAACCGUUUCAAAUUUAAAUCCUAAAAAAGUCAAACGACAAAAGUUUUCAAAUAUUAAAAUAAAAAUGUUCGGGCUAUGUCAAUUAUUGCAUCGGUAAUUAUGGUGAAGUAAACACAAUUUUAUAAAAUGCCUAAAUACUUUUAAAUGAACUAAAACAGAAAAGAAAUAAUGAAAGAAAAUACAAAGGUUAAAAGAAAAUAGAAAACAAAACUAAAAAAGACCAAAAGAAAAGAACCCCUCUCCCUGGGCCGAAUGGCCCAGCUAGCUACAGGCCGGCCCGGCCGGACCGGCCCACCCCACCUCACCUACUAACCCCCAGGGGACACCGAACCCUAACCCACUCCUCCCACUCCCCACGUCUCUCCUCUCCUCGUCCCGAUCUGGAUCAGAGACGAGCGCCCCCACCCCCAAUCGACGAGCGCCCCCUUCCCACCCCUCUGCCGCACGCCCCCGAGGGCGCCGCCGCCCCUGGCGCCGCCGCCCUGCCUCUACCUCGCUAACGCCGCCUCCCCACCGGACCAGGGCCACCAGACCGCCUCUCCGCCGGAACGAUCCGCCUCGACCUCGUCUCCUCCCCACCGCGUGAUGUCCCCAUCCUCCUCGCCGGACUCCAUCGUCGUCGUACUCUCCGUCGUCUCCUCGUCCCCGCCAUCGCCGACCGCCUCCCCGGCCCCUCCUCGAGCCGACUUAAGCACAACUACAGGGCCCCGAUGAGGCCUCGUCCGCCCUUGCUUCGUUCCCCUUUGCUCCGGUCGCCGUAGGCCGCCCCACCGCCCGUGCCGCGCUCACCCCUCCGUAGCCGCGUCCGUGCCCACGCACCGGCCACCCCGUGCGUGCCCCGGGGGUCCCCAGCUCGUGCUCCCCGCGCGACACACCCCCUGCUCCUGACUACGCCAACAUGCGCAGAAGGGCUCGCCCCGCGCGCCCCGCCGGCUCGCCCGGUGCCGCUUGGCCCCAGGCCGCUCCUCACCGGCGCCCCCGCGGUGCCCCACCGUCGGCGCCUGGGUCCGCCCCAUCGGGCGCCCGUAACCGCCCGCACACUCAUGGGGCUCCGCCCGAGCAACCACGCCCGAACCCGAUAGGCCUCUGGGCCACUGACAAGGGGGCCCUGCCCCAGAACGUUUUAAUAAAAAAAAGGAAAAUAAAAUAAAAAUAAAUUAUUAAUUAAUUUAUUAAUUAUUUAGUGGAUUAAUUAAGUUAAUUAAUCAUGUUUAAUUAAUCUAAUUAACUAGUUAGUUUACUUAAACAGUAAUUAGUUUAACCUAAACCCUAAUCAACCUAACAGUGUAUGACAGGUGGGUCCCACUGGGCCACACGUCAGUUUGAGCAGUCAACACCUCUGUUGACUGCUGAUGUCAUGCUGAUGUCAUGAUGACGUCAGCAAACACUGUUUUGGAUAAUGUUGAAUUAAAUUAAAUUAAUUAAAAUUCUAAAAGUGAUUUAAAUCUCUUAAAAUUAAUAGAAAAUAAACCGUAGCUCGGAUGGAAAAACUUUGUACAUGAAAGUUGCUCAGAACGACGAUACGAAUCCAGAUACGCAUCUCGUUUGUCCGCCACGCGUCCGUAGCAUAGUGAACCUGCAACAUUUCACCUCCGGUUCAUCUGACCGAAAACGUGAAACACCGAGGAUACUUUCCCGGAUGUUUCCCCCUUUCGCCGGUAUCACCUACUACGACGUUAGGGCACACCGGACACCGCAUAUUGCCUUGUUACACUUUGUGAUGCUUUGAUUGCUCUGUUAUUUAUUAUGUUCCCCCUCCAUUACUUCUUUCCGGUAGAACCCGAGACUGUCGGCGCCCCCAGUUCGACUACGGAGUUGACGACCCCUCCUUCUUGCCAGAGAAACCAGGCAAGCCCCCCCCCGAUCACCAGAUAUCGCCUAUUCUUCUCUAUACUACUUGCAUUAGAGUAGUGUAGCAUGUUACUGUUCGGUUACUCCUAUUCUGUUGCAUAGCCUGUCAUUGUUGCUACAGUCAUUGAUACCCUACCCGCAAUCCUAAAUGCUUAGUAUAGGAUGCUAGUUUAUCAUCAUUGGCCCUACAUUCUUGUCAGUCUGCCUUGCUAUACUAUUGGGUCGUGAUCACUCGGAGGUGAUCACGUGUAUAUACUAUACAUACAUACAUAUUAUACAGAUGGUGACUAAAGUCGGGUCAGCUCGUUGAGUACCCGCAAGUGAUCCCGAUGUGGGGGCUGAAAGGACAGGUGGCUCCAUCCCGGUAGAGGUGGGCCUGGGUUCCCGACGGCCCCCGACUGUUACUUUGUGGCGGAGCGACAGGGCAGGUUCAGACCACCUAGUAGACAGGUGGGCCUGGCCCUAGUCAGCGUUCGCGGUUGCUUCAUAAUAACACGCUUAACGAGAUCUUGGUAUUUGAUCUGAGUCUGGCUACUGUCCUAUACGCACUAACCAACUACGCGGGAACAGUUAUGGGCACUCAACAUCGUGGUAUCAGCCGAAGCCUUCUUGACGUCAGCGACGGAGCGGCGCGCGCCGGAUUGAACCGCGUAACAUGACUUCCUUUGUAAUGGAGGUUGCUAGGUCUGCUUCCGGCCGCCCUCGCAACGUGCAGGUGUGCAAUGGGCGAUGGGCCCAGACCCCUGCGUGCAUAGGAUUUAGACCAGCGGGCUGACCUCUCUGUUGUGCCUAGGUGGGGCUGCGACGUGUUGAUCUUCCGAGGCCGGGCAUGACCCAGGAAAGUGUGUCCGGCCAAAUGGGAUCGAGCGUGUUGGGUUAUGUGGUGCACCCCUGCAGGGAAGUUAAUCUAUUCGAAUAGCCGUGAUCUUCGGUAACAGGACGACUUGGAGUUGUACCUUGACCUUAUGACAACUAGAACCGGAUACUUAAUAAAACACACCCUUCCAAGUGCCAGAUACAACCCGGUGAUCGCUCUCUAACAGGGCGACGAGGAGAGGAUCGCCGGGUAGGAUUAUGCUAUGCGAUGCUACUUGGAGGACUUCAAUCUACUCUCUUCUACAUGCUGCAAGACGGAGGAUGCCAGAAGCGUAGUCUUCGACAGGAUUAGCUAUCCCCCUCUUAUUCUGGCAUUCUGCAGUUCAGUCCACUGAUAUGGCCCUUUACACAUAUACCCAUGCAUAUGUAGUGUAGCUCCUUGCUUGCGAGUACUUUGGAUGAGUACUCACAGUUGCUUUCUCCCCCCUUUUCCCCCUUUCCUUUCUUUCUGGUUGUCGCAACCAGAUGCUGGAGUCCAGGAGCCAGACGCCACCGUCGACGACGACUCCUACUACACCGGAGGUCCCUACUACUACGUGCAGUCCGCUGACGACAACCAGGAGUAGUUAGGAGGAUCCCAGGCAGGAGGCCUGCGCCUCUUUCGAUCUGUAUCCCAGUUUGUGCUAGCCUUCUUAAGGCAAACUUGUUUAACUUAUGUCUGUACUCAGAUAUUGUUGCUUCCGCUGACUCGUCUAUGAUCGAGCACUUGUAUUCGAGCCCUCGAGGCCCCUGGCUUGUAUUAUAAUACUUGUAUGACUUAUUUAUGUUUUUAGAGUUGUGUUGUGAUAUCUUCCCGUGAGUCCCUGAUCUUGACCGUACACGUUUGCGUGCAUGAUUAGUGUACGAUUGAAUCGGGGGCAUCACAAGUUGGUAUCAGAGCCGACUGCCUGUAGAAAUCCCCCUUUCACACUCCUUGGCCGAAGUUGAGUCUAGUCAUUGCAAUUUUUUUACUAACAUGGCUGUGUGCCUUACGGGCCCACGUCGCCAUUGGGUGGUAUUAGGAUCUUUUACUCCUCGAUCUUUACUCCAGGACUCUGAGUUCUCUUCUACUUGGGUUAAAUGAUUUUGCUAAAAACAAAACUAACUUUAGGUUCUCGCAAGUACUUUCUCCCGGAGAGCCCCUCACUUCAGAUGAUCGCCUGCUGCACUAGAAGAUUCCGAAGUUACUCUACGAUGUUCCCUUGAGUCUUUGUGCCAUCGCAUUUCGAUUUCCUUCCACCGUCAACCCCUGUGAAAACUGCAUACAUUUGCCAUUCUUACAAUCAUUCCCCGUUGAUCUUGUUAUUACAAGAUGUCCCGAAAUACUCUUUGUUGUCCCGAGAAUCCUUUGAGCUCACUACCUUGCAUUUCUUUACCACAUGAAUACCCAUACGGAUAAUUCCUUACACUUAUCGAGUAUCCGCUCCUUCUUAGUUGUUCAGGUGUUUCACAUAGGCCUUCAAAAUACUAUUUGAUCAUUCGAAAAUCCUCAACAACCUGUUGUUCUUGAAAUUCUUGCUUGCCUGCAUUAUGGUUAAUCCCAUAAGCAUAAUAAUCUUAUUGGCAUCCUUGGUCACCAUCAUUUUUGAGUCCAUUGAUUCAAUAAGUUGUGAAUGUUCACAAUCAUUAGUCGAAGCCUAGGAUUACCCUUUCGGCUCAGACGUCAAUUGGAUAUGAGCUGGUUCUUGACCAAUCAAUGGCUUGACCGAUUGUGCUUCUAAGUCUAUUAAACUUAUUCAUUUUCGAUCAGAACGAAUGCUUCUGAUCCCUUAAUUUGGAAAUCAUAAAAAUUCUUUGCAUUAAGCUUUGAAUUAGUCAGUUGUUUCUAUAAUCUGAUGCCUUGGCAUUCCUUCUUCCUCUGAUUGAGUACCGAUACUCACAUCAGCCCCGUUGUGGACCGCCAGACCAAUUGCUUGGUUAUUAUCUGACAAUGUCCUUCAUAUCCAAUAACCUUGUCAGUUCUUCCCCUGAUAUAUAAUGCCUUUGGUAAAUUGUAUCCUAUGUUUUUGUCAACCAUGCUCUGCUUUUGAGCUGGUGAUUUUUACUCCGAAGUUUGUGGUACAUAUUCCUAGAUGCCCCGAUGGGUUGAACCAAUGCCUUCCCUAACCUGUGUGAACCCGAAAGAUUUCACGGGUCAUACUUAUAUGGUAUUGCACCAGGUAAAACGUUCAACAACUAAUGUCAUUUUCGAAAUACGAGAGGUGAAUGGAAGGUUAUGCAUUGAGGAAGUGGGAGUCGACCUUGAACCUUUGCGUUCAUGCCCAUGGACACGAUGUAGAUCCUACCAUGGAAGCUUCUUGUAAUAAUAACUAUUUCCGUGAUAUAAUAUCCUUUGGUAUCGGUGAAUUGAUCCUUUGCAAUCGUGGUUCCGACCAUAUGUUCUUCUUUGAUCCCAUUUCUCGGGCAAGUUUAAGCACUUGUCUUCUCUGGAUCAAUACACAUGUCCAACCUUUACUUUGGUCUGUCGUCGAGUAUUACCCCCUAGUAUCUCGAGAUUGUCACGGAACUGCAUAACUUCUUAUGAGUUCUUUGUCAAGUACUACAUUCUCAUUGAUUCCAAUUUUUCCUGGGUUUUGAGUGGUUAGUCACUCGAGGACCCCGAUAAAUGAAUCAAGUCCGGACUAUGGUUCAACAACUCUUAGUAAUCUUCCUUAUGAGUUUCUACCCGAUCACGUCAUUCCUAGCCUAAUCGGCUACAUCAUUAUCAUGCUAAUUUUAACUAUGCUACCUGGUCCUUAUUCUUGGAGCACAACUUUUGACAAUGAGCUAGGCUUACGUCGAUCUUCCUUGUCCAGUUGCUUCACCUAGAAGAGCAAGCUUGGUUCCGAGUUGGUGCCGUAACCAUGGUUCCAUUGACCUUUCGCUGCAUCAGUCCUUUUGCUUGAUGUAGUCGUUGUUCGAUUGCUUCUUCGUGGAGCCUCUCGACAAAAUUUGUUAUGAUCAUCAUCAGCAUUCAGAGCUCUUCUAGGAUAUCAAUUGAAUUCAUGAUAAGAAAUACCAUCCUUGCGCUCGAUGAUUUGUGUUGUCAUUGACCAUUUUAUUGCCUUCCCUCCAACACAAACUUGUUCGUGUUCUAUGUUAUACGUUGAGAUCCUUGCUACCCAGCAGUUGUUCUUCUUUACCUUGGAAGUAUUACCAUCUCUUUUGUCAAGAAUGUGGUGAGAAUUUCACCACCUCUUAAGAAUUCUUGAUAUAAUAAUAUGUCUCUCCGUUCAUUCCUUGGUCCCCGUAUUGUUUUUAACCGGAAUACCGACAAUUGAGCUAUGACGUGUGGAUUCAAAAAUUAUAGCAACCCUAUUGCUUUGGAGUGAAUGGGCGAUAGUUUCAUUCUAAGUCUUCUGAUAUUUGCAUCACCAUUCUUUUCUUGGUCCCCGUGUUGAGUGAACUCUGUUGGGCGAAUUUAUUAUCUCUAGCAACCCUAUUGCUUUAGAGUUAAUGGACAAUUAUUCCAAUUUAGUGUGUUGCUUGCUAAAUUGCCAUUCCGACGUUGGUCGUGCAACCCAGCCGAUAGUUCGGGUGCACUUUUCAACCAAUGUUAUUCGUGGAUGUUCUCCUCGAGCAUACAUCAUUAUAUCAUUUGAUCCGACAAAUGUUAUCUCCUUGUUCACAUAACUGUGGAAAUCCAUCUUUUUGGAAAUCUCGAGGAAUUCUCGCUGAGUCCAUCAGCCCCCUCCUCAUCCUCUCCUUGGUUUACUGAUGAAAUCUUGUUUUGGAACUCGCUUUCAUAGUUCAUUUCCUGAGAAUCUCACGAUGCCUUCUGUCAAUCUGUGUCGCACCUCUUUCUUCUCAGGUAUCCUGACCCCAAUCAGAACUGAAUCUCGGUUAGAUAUGAUGGUUGGAACAUAUUGCGAAGAGUUAUAACAUUGUUCUUUUAUGACCCGGUAAGGUGAUGUCAUUCCUAGCACACUUGGCCGAAGGACCUAGUGUUAUAGUUUCCUUUUUAACAAAGUUAACCAUUUUUCCAUGAGGAAAUUGAAUGCCUUGUUUAAUAAGUUUAUCCUGAUGGAUACUUUGUGUCUCCAAAGUUCGACCUUUGCUUGAAGACCAUGUCAAUGUUAUCUCAAAGCAUGUCUGUGGUACUCCGAUCUUCAAUAAGAACAUUUGAAGCACCAUGCUAAUUUUUCCUUAUCAAUUAUCCAAACACCGUUGUAUGGGUAAUGUCAUGAAAUUUCUCUCCCUUACCUGAAGAGUUUUCUACAUUAUAUCCUGUCAGGGAUAUCAUGCUCUGCUUGUCCUUGGGAAGGAUAUACCCUUGAAAUAUGUGUUUAAACACAUUUUCCUUUCCACUGUUCUAUUUGAUCCGAUGAUCACAUUUUCCUUUCCAUUGAUUAUGUUUAACCUUCCUUGUGAUCCAUAUGAUCUAAGCAGUAAUAUUCUUCUGCUUAUGUACACACCUUGGUGUACAACCGUGUCAGUAAGACCCUGUUGCACUUGUCGAUAGCAUUCCGGUAACCACCGAUGGACGAGAACUUUGCCUAUUGGUCCGCCUCGUUCAACAAGCAGGAAAAUGGUUCUCUUCGUCCCUCGCCCUUGGUACCAAUGUUGUUGCCAACAUAACCGACAUGCUAUCCUCUGCCAUGCCUUGCUACCAUGAUCGUGCAAUAUGUCGGCGUCCUUCCUACUUUUGAACCACAUGGUGGGCCCAUAGCCCACAGUUCCCAGGAUUGAAACCUGACUCUCCUGCACCCCCUGAUCCCAAGGUUGCUCCUCGUGUGUGGCCUCGUAUGUAAUUCAAGAACCAUCUUCCGAGGGAUCAUCAAAUCUGUUGCCGGACACAAUACUUAUUCCCGAUUGCUUUGAGCCCCUUUCACGCCCUGUUUCAGGCAUCGAACGGUUGCUUGCUCGCUCGAAACUUCCCAUGAAACCUCAUUACUUUGCUCUCGAUAUUUUCUUAAGUUUCAAUUCGAGAGUUACUUUCUGCCACCUUCCCCGAUGAUAUUGACCAGAUAGUCAACCUUGUAGAGGUUCGUUCUCCCGAAAUACCCCUUAUUCUUUCGUAAGUACGAUGGAACUCCCGAAGAAAGGAUACCGACUUUAUCUUGAUGACUUGAAGCAGAAAAAUGAAGACAUCAAUACAAUGGAUCGACCACUUCGAGAAGAGCAACCAAGACCGAGAAGAUUCGUUAGAAUUUCGUAACCAGACCUUUUCCCCGUUUUCCACCUCUUAAAUCUCGGGACGAGAUUUCUUAUAGUGGAGGAAAAUUGUGACGCCCGGAUAAUCAUGCUAUAGUAAUCUCACGUUAAUGAUGGCACGUCACCUCUGUCAUUGUAAUUAAUCUCGGGUUAAUUCAAAACCGUUUCAAAUUUAAAUCCUAAAUAAGUCAAACGACAAAAGUUUUCAAAUAUUAAAAUAAAAAUGUUCGGGCUAUGUCAAUUAUUGCAUCGGUAAUUAUGGUGAAGUAAACACAAUUUUAUAAAAUGCCUAAAUACUUUUAAAUGAAUUAAAACAGAAAAGAAAUAAUGAAAGAAAAUACAAAGGUUAAAAGAAAACAGAAAACAAAACUAAAAAAAGACCAAAAGAAAAGAACUCCUCUCCCUGAGCUGAAUGGCCCAGCUAGCUACAGGCCGGCCCGGCCGGACCGGCCCACCCCACCUCACCUACUAACCCCCAGGGGACACCGAACCCUAACCCACUCCUCCCACUCCCCACGUCUCUUCUCUCCUCGUCCCGAUCUGGAUCAGGGACGAGCGCCCCCUCCCCCAAUUGACGAGCGCCCCCUUCCCACCCCUCUGCCGCACGCCCCCGAGGGCGCCGCCACCCUGCCUCUACCUCGCUAACGCCGCCUCCCCAUCGGACCAGGGCCACCGGACCUCCUCUCCGCCGGAGCGAUCCGCCUCGACCUCGUCUCCUCCCCAUCGCGUGAUGUCCCCAUCCUCCUCGCCGUACUCCAUCGUCGUCGUCCUCUCCGUCGUCGCCUCAUCCCCGCCAUCGCCGACCGCCUCCCUGGCCCCUCCCCAAGCCGACUUAAGCACAACUACAGGGCCCCGGUGAGGCCUCGUCCGCCCUUGCUCCAUUCCCCUUUACUCCGGUCGCCAUAGGCCACCCCAUCGCCCAUGCCGUGCUCACCCCUCCGUAGCCACGUCCGUGCCCAUGCACCGGCCACCCCGUGCGUGCCCCGGGGGUCCCCAGCCCGUGCUCCCCGCGCGACACACCCCCUGCUCCUGACUGCGCCAACACGCGCAGAAGGGCUCGCCCCCGCGCGCCCCGCCGGCUCGCCCGGUGCCGCUUGGCCCCAAGCCGCUCCCCGCCGGCGCCCCCGCAGUGCCCCACCGUCGGCGCCUCGGUCCGCCUCAUCGGGCGCCCGCAACUGCCCGCACACUCACGGGGCUCCGCCCCAGCAACCACGCCCGAACCAGAUAGGCCUCUAGGCCACUAACAAGGGGGCCCUCCCCCAGAACGUUUUAAUAAAAAAAGGAAAAUAAAAUAAAAAUAAAUUAUUAAUUAAUUAAUUAAUUAUUUAGUCGAUUAAUUAUGUUUAAUUAAUCUAGUUAACUAGUUAGUUUACUUAAACAGUAAUUAGUUUAACCUAAACCCUAAUCAACCUAACAAUGUAUGACAGGUGGGUCCCACUUGGCCCACACGUCAGUUUGAGCAGUCAACACCUCUGUUGACUGCUGAUGUCAUGCUGAUGUCAUGAUGACGUCAGCAAACACUGUUUUGGAUAAUGUUGAAUUAAAUUAAAUUAAUUAAAAUUCUAAAAAUGAUUUAAAUCUUUUAAAAUUAAUAUAAAAUAAACCGUAGCUUGGAUGGGAAAACUUUGUACAUGAAAGUUGCUUAGAACGACGAUACGAAUCUAGAUACACAGCCCAUUUGUCCGCCACGCGUCCCUAGCAUAGUGAACCUGCAACAUUUCACCUCCGGUUCAUCUGAUCGAAAACGUGAAACAUCAGGGAUACUUUCCCGGAUGUUUCCCCCUUUCGCCGAUGUCACCUACUACGGCGUUAGGGCACACCGGACACCGCGUAUUGCCUUGUUACACUUUGUGAUGCUUUGAUUGCUCUGUUAUUUAUUAUGUUCCCUCUCCAUUACUUCUUUCUGGUAGAACCCGAGAUUGUCGGCGCCCCCAGUUCGACUACGGAGUUGACGACCCCUCCUUCUUGCUAGAGCAACAAGGCAAGCCCCCCCCCCUUGAUCACCAGAUAUCGCCUAUUCUUCUCUAUACUGCUUGCAUUAGGGUAGUGUAGCAUGUUACUGUUCGGUUACUCCUAUUCUGUUGCAUAGCCUGUCAUUGUUGCUACAGUCAUUGAUACCCUACCCGCAAUCCUAAAUGCUUAGUAUAGGAUGCUAGUUUAUCAUCAUUGGCCCUACAUUCUUGUCAGUCUGCCUUGCUAUACUAUUGGGUCGUGAUCACUCGGGAGGUGAUCACGGGUAUAUACUAUACAUACAUACAUAUUAUACAGAUGGUGACUAAAGUCGGGUCAGCUCGUUGAGUACCCGCAAGUGAUCCCGAUGUGGGGGCUGAAAGGACAUGUGGCUCCAUCCCGGUAGAGGUGGGCCUGGGUUCCCGACGACCCCUGACUGUUACUUUGUGGCGGAGCGACAGGGCAGGUUGAGACCACCUAGGAGACAGGUGGGCCUGGCCCUGGUCGGCGUUCGCGGUUGCUUCAUAAUAACACGCUUAACAAGAUCUUGGUAUUUGAUCUGAGUCUGGCUACUGUCCUAUACGCACUAACCAACUACGCGGGAACAGUUAUGGGCACUCGACGUCGUGGUAUCAGCCGAAGCCUUCUUGACGUCAGCGACGGAGCGGCGCGUGCUGGAUUGGACCGCGUAACGUGACUUCCUUUGUAAUGGAGGUUGCUAGGUCUGCUUCCGGCCGCCCUCGCAACGUGUAGGUGUGCAAUGGGCGAUGGGCCCAGACCCCUGCGCGCAUAGGAUUUAGAUCAGCAGGCUGACCUCUCUGUUGUGCCUAGGUGGGGCUGCGACGUGUUGAUCUUCCGAGGCCGGGCAUGACCCAGGAAAGUGUGUCCGGCCAAAUGAGAUCGAGCGUGUUGGGUUAUGUGGUGCACCCCUGCAGGGAAGUUAAUCUAUUCGAAUAGCCGUGAUCUUCGGUAACAGGAUGACUUGGAGUUGUACCUUGACCUUAUGACAACUAGAACCAGAUACUUAAGAAAACACACCCUUCCAAGUGCCAGAUACAACCCGGUGAUCGCUCUCUAACAGGGCGACGAGGAGAGGAUCGCCGGGUAGGAUUAUGCUAUGCGAUGCUACUUGGAGGACUUCAAUCUACUCUCUUCUACAUGCUGCAAGACGGAGGCUGCCAGAAGCGUAGUCUUCGACAGGAUUAGCUAUCCCCCUCUUAUUCUAGCAUUCUGCAGUUCAGUCCACUGAUAUGGCCCUUUACACAUAUACCCAUGCAUAUGUAGUGUAGCUCCUUGCUUGCGAGUACUUUGGAUGAGUACUCACGGUUGCUUUCUCCCCCCUUUUCCCCCUUUCCUUUCUUUCUGGUUGUCGCAACCAGAUGCUGGAGUCCAGGAGCCAGACGCCACCGUCGACGACGACUCCUACUACACCGGAGGUGCCUACUACUACGUGCAGCCCGCUAACGACAACCAGGAGUAGUUAGGAGGAUCCCAGGCAGGAGGCCUACGCCUCUUUCGAUCUGUAUCCCAGUUUGUGCUAGCCUUCUUAAGGCAAACUUGUUUAACUUAUGUCUGUACUCAGAUAUUGUUGCUUCCGCUGACUCUUCUAUGAUCGAGCACUUGUAUUUGAGCCCUCAAGGCCCCUGGCUUGUAUUAUAAUACUUGUAUGACUUAUUUAUAUUUUUAGAGUUGUGUUGUGAUAUCUUCCCGUGAGUCCCUGAUCUUGAUCGUACACGUUUGCGUGCAUGAUUAGUGUAUGAUUGAAUCGGGGGUGUCACAGCUGGAUGAACAGCCCGUGGUGGGGUGGUUGAACAUGACACCAUGGAAAGGGCUGGUUGAACAGUAGCUGGUGGAGGAGCGGUGGAGGCUGGAUGAACAGGAUCCCGUGGAUGAACAGUUGUGGGUGGAGGCUGGAGGCUGGAGGAGGUCGAUGAUGGAUGAACAGUAGCCCGUGGAGGCAGUCAAUGGUGGAGAUGAACAGUAGCCCGUGGAGUCCUGUUUUGCGGUACGCCACACCCCUCCCGAUGAACAAGACCCCCGUUUCAACUGUAGCGCUCCAACACAAGUCCAUUUCUUCUGUUGCGGUACGCCACACCCCUCCCGAUCAACAGGACCCCGUUUCGACCGUACGCGGUCGAACACAAGUCUGUUUCCUCCGUUUUGCAGUAUGCCAGACCCUUCUCGAUGAAUAGGACCCCAUUUUGACCGUACACGGUCGAACAGAAGGCCCAUUUCCUCCGUUCUGCGGUGCGCAGACCUCGUUUCGGCUAUUCCGUCCAAGUCGGUUGGCUCCCAAUGAACAUGAUGUACUUCCUUGCCUCCAGAUGAACACGACGCAUUUUGUUUCCUCCCCAUGAACACGAUGCAGUUUCUCCAUUCCGACCUAGCCGGUUGGCUUCCGAUGAACAGAUUAGUCGCUGUACGCGUUAGAGACCCUGCCGGUAUGUACGUAGCCAUAUUUACUAUUUUGUAGCGUGGUCGUCUGUACGUGUACAGGAUAUAGGCAGGACUGCGUUACAUGCUUCAUCGGUGCCUCUACUUUAAUACAUGUCGCUCCUUACUCAACCAUGGUAUGUCGCUGCAGAGACACCGAUCGACCUCUAUGUGCGUACACGUUCGUGGCCGGACAGAUAACGCUACCUUCGCUUCAACCUAGUGGGUCCCAGCUGUCAGGGGGUAAGAAGGCAGUUCCUUCCGUGUGAAGAUAAAGCCAGUGGGUCCCAGCUAUGAGGAGGGAAACAUUUUUUUGCGAAAUACAGAGGCCCUUAUGGUAGGUCAAAGUGUCAGGUGGAGGAAUCAUUAUUUUGCGCGUAAUAAGGAGGCACUUCCAUGUGUGCGGCCAUCAACCCAGCUGUCAGCCUCUCCACUUAUAGUCCUCUUCUGAUGGCUAUUGUUCGUUGACCGCGUUGACGACGCUGCACCGCCUGAGAGCACCAAGGUGGUGGACGACAACGCGACCUAGGAAGGGAAUGACCCGGAGCAGGGGAAUACGCAGCAGCGGAUGCCCAUGCGAAGGGGAGUACGAGGGUUGACUGCUUCGGCUGCGGUUUGAGGCUGCAUUUUCGGAGAAUAACAGGGGGUGUGGGUGAGUAGAGGGAAUGCCUGGCCAAUAGUAGUGUGGUCGGGCAGUGAGGCCUGCGCGGCAGCACAGCCGGCCAUGGGAGGCUGGAGCACGCGGUACUGUGGGCGCAGGUUUGGGAGGCUGGAGCAACAAGACAAGAGGUUGAGGACGCAGCUUGGCCGUUGGAUUUAAUAUCGAACGGUCAGUGCAGCUACAAUUGUUUAUUGACUAAGUUGGCAAAGCCCUGCGUACGCGUUAACUUAGUAGGCCCACAAGUGAGCCUACAAAUCUGGUGGGUCCCAGAUAGCAGGGGGAAUAAUUUUUUUUCCGUAAUAAGGUGGCACUUCCUUGCGUGCAAAGAUAUUUUCUGUAUUUUUUAUUUCUUCUUUUUUGAGUUAGAAUAAAAAUAAAACAAUUUAGGAUCUUUGGUACAAUCUAUAUUUUCACGAAAAGGAUCAUAAUAAUGCUAGUGGGCCCCAGCUGUCAUAGAGAGGAAACUUUUUAUUUCCGCAUAAUAAAGGAAGCAUUUCCUUGCGUGCGAAGAUGUAGCUGGUGGGUCAAACCUGUCAGGGGGAGAAAUUAUUUGUUUUCGCAUAAUAUGGGGGCACUUGCUGCAUGCGGCCAUGGGCCAUGUGCGUCCCUACGGUCAGCUAAUCCACGUACAUGCCUCAUCUGAGCUCCCCCCUGAUCCAACGGCUGGCUGGCCGGCAGUUACGCCGUGCCUUGCUGUGGACAAGGCACUAGAACUCUGUCCCCGAUGGAUGUCGUUUGUUGACAAAGUUGACCACUCCGCGCCUAGAGAACCAACGCAGUGAACGAUGGCGAUUAUUAUGAAGGGAACGACCCAGAGCCGACGAAGACACAACAGUGGAUGCCCAUGCGGAGGGCAGUACGAGGGUUACUGGUUCGACUGCGAUGUGAGGCUGCCGUCGUCGGUGAAGAACAGGAGGUGUUGGUGAGUAGAGGAAUGGCCUGGACGGUAUUUGGGAGAGUGAGCCGGUGAAGCCUGCGCGACAACACAACCGGCCACGGGAGGCGGUAGCAGGUGGUACCUCCAGCGGUGGUUUGGGCGGCUGAAGAAACAAUAUCCAAGAUUGAAGAAGCACUACAGCCGUUGGAUGGACAUCCAACGGCCACUGCUGCUAGAAUCGUGUCUUGACUAUAAGGUUACAAAGCCUUUCGUACGCCUUAGUAGGCCCACAAGCCGGCGGUACGCGUCACUGACUAUAAUUCUCAAAAAAAUAGUAGGCCCACAAGUGAGCAUCACAUCUGUGGCAGGGAACAUAUAGCCCAUUUGUGAUUUGUAAUAGUGUACAUCCCAUUUUUGAAUUCUAAUGGAAUUUACUACAACCCAUUUACAGUUUGUUAAAAUUACAGCCCAUUUUCUAGCCAGGACAACGAUUAAUAAUUUAAACCAACCUCUCAAAACAGAAUUCAACCAAAAAUCCCACAUUUUGAUAGGAUCCGAAAAAAAAUUAUCCCGAAAUUUCGAGUCAGAUUAACUAUAAUUUCAUAAUGAAUUUGUAUUAGGUAAAAAUCUAAAAAAAAUACUGCGCGCGAAAUAAGUAAUGAAAUGAAAAUUUCCAAAUUCAGACAAUAAUAUUUUUGAAACUAAUUACCUGCUUGGUGCGUUUUUGUAUAUUUACAACCCAGUUUUUAUAAUCACAUCCCAUUUAUAAUUUCUUAAAGCCCAUUUUCUUGUUAGGCCUAAUAGGAAAGAUUUACAGCCCAGCAGGGUGGAGAAUAACAAGUUGACCUGGGUUGGGUAUUCCGCAAAAAAGUAUAGUUGGGCUAGCCAUUUUCACCUUGAAAAAAUAAUAUCUCGGCUGGAUAUUUGGUUGACAUAAAAUAAUAGCCUCAGCUAGAUGGGUCAUAGCCCGCCCAGUUGAUACCCUGCUCCUAUGAACAACAACAAAAACAUCGCUCAUGAAAAAAAUCCGCUUAGACCUAAAAAAACAAAUAUUGCUCGAGCUGCUGGGUCCCAACUGUCGGCCGCUCCUUGUGCAAUUCUCUCAUUAUUGACUAUAUAGGUUGAUGAUGGUGUGGGACCGUGAUGUCAGGAAACCAGGAGGAAGCAAAAAAAUUAUAGUUGUAUAUAAUAAGGAGGAACUUGCGUACGUACGGCUAUGGCCCUAGUGGGUCCCUACUGUCAUCCAGUAAAAAUAAAGUCAUCUCCUGAAUCCUCAUGUUCGUUGACCAUGUUGAGAAUGCUCAGCACCACGGCAAGCGCAACAACUCGAAGGACAAUGGAGAGGGCCUCGCGGGCCCUACAGAUGGUUUGAUACAGCGCCCGCUGCUCAUUCAGGAAGCCAGGAUCAUCGCAUACCUAUGAGCACCUUCGAGAGACUAAGACGACAUGAAACGGUAAGGCCGUGCUUGGGAGCUCUGGUUUAUUUCACACCUGUAUUGAGAUACAAGUGUAAUUUACUCAUCAUUGGAAAACAACGCAUAAAAAUACAGGCUUAAUUAAACCGAGUGCCCGAGGUCUGUAACGAAAACCGGUGAGUUACGCGUGUAAUUUGAGAGACCAGUGUAUAUUUUACUACUCGAAAUCGCCCAACCAAGCGCUUAGCCCAAGACCAUCUGCUUUAAUUUACAAGCGUCAGUUUUACAAGCGGUUUUGGUUGGAAAACAGCGAUUCAAUCAUAGCCUAAGAUGAUGAGUUGGUCCGAAGAUCAUAUGGUUUCACCUCUAACCUACCCGAGUUGUCGUAUAGGCUAUGAAUGAAACAUAAGACAAUGAACUUCUUAAGCACAGAAACAACAGAAGGAUGAUCUUCUUAACAUGCAAAUCAUAGACAUUAGAUCAACAUGCAAAACAAUAUGAAGCAUUAUUCUCAGGAGGCACAGUGAACAGCUCGUGAUGCCGCAUGCCAUAGCAUUCCAAGCUCAACUUUGCAAUCAAACUCACAAGGCCUUGCAUUACAUAGAAAACAUUCAGAACAAACUCUUAAAAUACCCUACAUAAGUCAACAUUCAUGUGACUAUGCAUCUCAUCAUAGUAAAUAUUUACUUCUGAACUGAACACAAGAAUAGGAACAAACGAUCGAUGUUGCUCACAGCAAAGGGCGUCCCACUCAAAAAUAUGAAAUGCAUGUCUCCUGGCCAACAUCAAUGAGCAAAAAUUGACAAGGUUUUCCAAUUCCAAUAUAUUAAACUAAUGUCUUCUUGCUAACAACAAUGAUUAAAGUUUGACAAGGUUUUCCCAUUCAAAAUAUUUAAUGCCUAUGAUUGUGGAAUGGCAGGGUUUGUCAUCAGUUUGUCAUCUGAUAGCCCGGUGGCUCAAGGUGAUGACGAAUGAUCAAAGAACCAUUCGAUGUAUUGUGCAUGAUGAAGUAUUAUGGAUGACACGAACCAUCUGAACAUUUUGUGCAGUUCACUAAAAUCAAGCUAAGAAUCCCCGUGGAUUUCGUAUUUAUAUGCUUUCAAGAAAACAAAGACACGUCAGCACACACAUGAAUAUUGGCCCCAGUGUCAACCCACCAAUCGGUGGACUAACAAACUGAAAGUAUGGUAAACAGAUUACCAUACCCAGAUGCCCCAUUAUUGUUUCUUAGAGUGACAUUGACAUACUUGGGAGUCCUUUCCUGGCUUCUUGUACUUGUUUGGGCACUUGUUUGCCCAGUGUUCGUCAAAACCACAAGUAAAGCAGCCAUCUCUCUUUUUGUCUUUCUUCUUACCCUUCUUAAUGGCCGACGUUGGUAGCUCCAUUCAAACAGAUAGUCCUGUCGCUCAUGGUGAAGACGGAUGAUUAGAGAACCAUUCGAUGUAUUGUGCAUGAUGAAGUAUUAUGGAGGACAUGAACCAUCUGAACAUUUUGUGCAGUUCCACUAAAAUCAAGCUCAACAUCCCUGUCUGCAUAAAUACAGAAAAAGUGUGAUGAAUAUAAUAGUGGUACUAGUUUAUUAAGCAUACGCUUACAACUAUAAUCAUCUUCAUUAUCUUUAAUGGGAAUGGAUAGAAAUACAAUAGCUUGAGUUAAAUAUUUAUUGAAAACAAUACAAUGAUAUUAGUAGCACAGCAUAACAAAGCAUAAUCAUGUGGAUGAAGGCCGAUACUGACCUUGUUUGUUACAGAUGCGUCGGCAACUGACUUGGUCAUACCUUUCCUUGUGGAGUGAAUUUUGCGCUCCACGUGUUGUUUAGUUGCCCAUGCUCUCUGCAGACUAGUCAUGUCACCAACGUCUACUAAUACUCUGUAAAGCUUCUUGAUCAUUCCUUCUGUAAUGUAGCGCAAACAAUGACUGCUUCUUUCUGCAAAGUGGUAAGACCAACCUGACCCACUAAUGCAGCAGUUUGCCUUAGACACAUUGUCUCCUUUUGUGCAGUUCAACUAAAAUCAUCGUCAAAAUAAAACUGAGCUUUAAUUUUGAUAUCCCUCUAAGCAACAAUAGGUAUAAGGGAAACAAUUACUAAGAAAUAACUGUUGAUGACUUGUACUCCCGGAAGAAAAACAUCUACUGAUCUAUCUUAUCUUAAUGGGAAACAAAGUAGGAGAGUAGCAAUUCUCAAUCAGUGUGAUUCAUUCAUAUUAACUGAGACAUUAUCUUAACAAUGCCUUGUUUCGAAAUGUAUAAAGAACGAUAAAGCAGAAAAGUACCAUUCCUAAAACAAUGUGACUGAUUCAUUUAGUGGAGACAUUAUCUUAACAAUACCUUGGUUAAACAUGUAGAAAGAACUACAAAGCAUGAUAGUACCAUUUGUAAAACACUGUAACUGAUAUAUAAUAACAAAGACAUUAUCCGAAUAAUACAUUUCUUAAACAUGUACUCCGGCUGAUCCCUAAUAGAAAUGGUACUCCCACUUAUCCCUAACAAGUGUUUUAGUUUUAACUAAGAUUCAGUUGUUAAUUUUGAGAGUGGCAUUGCUUAAUUUUACCAGCGGCAUUAGAUUAACAAAAAGCAUAAACAAUUCCAGGGGAGAGUGGGCGCAACAACAGCAUGUGCUUCCAUCUACUUAUAAAGGGGGUGAUGCAGAGUUUUGUUGUAACAAUGAAACAAGCAUCAUGUCUAGGUUGGAACAAUUUUUGCUCACUUAAUGGUAAAAGACAGCAGUUCAAUAGCUUCAAUUCAACAUUUAUCCAAAAUAGUACCAAUACAAGUAGCACAACAUCUCAAAGCACACUGCAUCAUCAUGUCGAUGAAAGUCGGCACUAACCUUUCUUGACUAAGAUUUGAAACAACUCACGAGGAGGAUUUGAAACAAAUCCCAACACAUAUAUGGAAAUCCGAUCUCCUUUUGUGCAGUUCCACCAAAAUUAAGCAAAGUCGCCGGUGUGACAUUCAAGUUGAACUGCACAAAACACUCUUAAAACAGAAGUGUUUCGCGUAGUGAAGCAAAAUAUCGCAAUAGCAACAAGUUGAAUAGAUAUCCCUGUUUUAACAGAGGCAAAAAAGGAAUGAAUUACUGGCCAAUAAAGGAGGAUGAAACAUGCGGCCACAAAAAUGGUAAUCCCGCCUAUCCCUAACAAGUGCUGCAGUUUUGAACUAAGAUUCACUAGUUAAUUCUGAGAGUGGCAUUGCUUAAUUUUACCAGCGGCAUUAGAUUAACAAAAAACAUAAACAGUUCCAGGGGAGAGUGGGCCCAACAAUACCAUGUGCUUCCAUCUACUUAUAAAGGGGGUGAUGCAGAGCUUGUUGUAACAAAGCAACAAGCAUGAUGUCUGGGUUGGUCCCAGUUUAGUUCACUACUUAAUGGGAAAAGACGGCAAUACAAUAUCUUCAAUUCAACAUUUAUUUAAAAUAGUACCAAUACAAGUAGCACAACAUCUCAAAGCACACUGCACAAUCAUGUGGAUGAAGGCCUGUACUGACCUUUCAUGAGACGAACAAGAUAAAAUACGAAUCUACCAACACGAAUAGGAAAUCCAAUCCUGUUUUGUGCAGUUGCACUAAAAUCAAGCAAAGUUGCCGGUGUGACAUAUAAGUUCGCUAUAGCAACAAGUUGAAUAGAUAUCCCUUUUUUAACAAAGGCAAAAAAGGAAACAAUUACUGGCCAAUAAAGGAGGAUGAAACAGACGGUGACAAAAAGAAGCAUCUAACUUAUCUUGAUGGAAAACAAAGUAGGACAGUAGCAUUUCUAAAUCGGUUGCAUUGAUUCAUAUUAACAUCGACAUUCUCUUAAAACAACAUUCGUUAAAAAUGUAAUUUACUUUUAAUAGUGGCAUUGCUUCAAUUUUCCAGCAGCAUUCUUAGAUUAACAAUAGAAAAAUAGUUGUAUGGGACAUGGGACAUGGGACAUGCCAACACCAUGUGCGUCCACAUGUAUAAAUUGGUGAUGCAGAGUAUGUUGCCAAGUAGCAUAUCUGCAUUGGUCCGAUAUUUGUUCUCUUUAAACCUUUUUCCUAUGUGAAGGCAGCAAAUCUAGUCCUGCAAAAGCUACCCAACCCCCCAGUUUCUUUCCCUUUUCAACAAAGAUAUUGGUUCCUUACAGAUAUGUGUACUAGGUUACCCCCUUUUCCCUUUUCGACCAACAAAGCAGCUGGAUAGCCAGUCUAUAAUACUUUCCCUUACUCCUUUCCUCAUUGAACCACGUCCUAGAUUCAUGCUCCACCCCACUGCACCCUUCUUUCCUCUUUGAAACAAGACCUAGAUUCGACUACAGAAUCUAAAAAAAUCCGCAUGCAGCUAGAGCAAUGACGGUUUCAAAGAAACUUGUACCUUAGGGUCGUCGGGAUGUGGCUAGGCAUGUGGUGGGAGGCCGGAUCUGCCCGCACUACAUACGACAACAAGGAUGAAGGGGUCAGUGGCCUUCUCGCACAGGCGCUGGGUGAAAGAGAAUAGCGCAGCCGACAGUGCAUUGCCUCCCUCGCCUAAGGCGAUAGAGUGAAUGUUGCACCUCCUCCCCUUCCUGGUGCGACGGGAUCGGACAGCUCCUUCACCAGCUGUGAGGGGAGGGGGGAGAGACAAAGGCCAACACAGUCUUGUUUAGAUAUGGUGAAGAGGGUGAGAGACUAUGAAUAUAGCAAACCCUAGCAAAGAAACGCUGGGCCUCCAGCACGUGUGUGUGUGUGUGUGUGUGUAUAUAUAUAUAUAUAUAUAUAUAUAUAUAGGACUCAUAUUUUAUACUCCCAAGUGUAUGUACUCUCAUAGGCUAAACGGGCUAGUGGUUGUUAGAUCGGCUGUUAGACGGACUGAAUAAAUGAUUUUCUAUAGCGUGCAUGCAUUAACAAAUGGAGAUAUUUGAGGGAUCCUCCUAAAUGGAUAAGGUUGCGCUCGUUCAAGUCUACCACGAGUCUGGUAGUUCACUUUUUUUUAUAGAAAAGACUGAUAUGCAUGGCCGAUAUAUACUUCUUCUUUUUUUGCGAUCAGGUAUACUACUAUUUUGCACGUAGUAUAUACCACUUCUUACGGAAGAUCAUCUUUUUGUGGAGUAUAUAUACUGCUAUUUGCAUUGUAGUAUAUAUAGAACUUUUUCUACAUACAAGUAUAUGUACAAUAUUUUUUUACAUAUAGUUUUUUUUGUACUAUUUGUGCACGGAAAAUAUAUACUAAUUUUUAUUGGCAAGGAGUACAUACAACUUUUUUAUGUAAGUAUAUACUUCUUUUUUUCAUAUUGCAGCAUAUACUCCUUUCUUUGGUCUGGAAGCAUAUACUUUUAGUAUGUGAGUAUAUAUAUACAACUUCUUAUGGAAGAACAUAAUCUUUUUUUACAGAGUAUAUAUACUGCUAUCUGCAUUGUGGUUUAUAGAGUUUUUUCUAAUACAAAUAUGUAUUAUUUGUGCACGGCAAAUAUAUACUACUUUUUUGGUAAGGAGUAUAUACUACCUUUUGUAUAUGAGUAUCUACAUGUUUUAUAUUGUACUCCCUCCGUCCCAAAAUAAGUGACUCGACUUUGUACUAGCUUUAGUACAUAGUUAUUACAAAGUUGAGUCACUUAUUUUGGGACGGAGGGAGUAGUAUAUAUUACUACUAUGUUGGUCUGGAAGCAUAUACUUUUUCUAUGAGUAUACCCUGUUUUUUUAAUGGGGUAUAUACCACAUAUUGCAACUCUUUUUUGGGGUGUUUGUUAAUGGGGUAUAUACCACAAAUUGCGACUCUUUUUUUGGGUAAAGGAACAUAUGCUAUUUAUAUCAAUAUACUUCACAGUAUUGUUUACUUAGAAAUGAAGUAUAAUCCACUUGGAAAUAUAAAUAACUACAAACUAAGGAGUAUUCAGAAUGAAGAUUGAGCAAAUACAGGUAUAAUUUGUAUGGCACUGAGCAAACAAGAGCAUAAAUAAGAGAGUAAGAAACCAUAUAAAAAAUGGGGGUACUAACUUUUUUUAUAUGACACGAAGCACACAAGGCUUGUGCGAAGCAAAAUGAAACACCGGUUGAAGCAGGGAAAUGCAUGUACCCUUUUACAAAUGGAAAAUUAAAGCAGCAAUUUCAGAAAAAUAGUGCACUCUUCGACAACUAAACAGGUAGGAUCCUCUAGCUUGAAUCAAAUUAGUAGUUUUCUACACAGUAGUUUAGCAAUCGGAGCUACUGCUCCUUUUGUUGGGUAUACCACGAGACAACAGUUGUACACAAAACUAUACAUUUUAUCAUUUAUACACUAACAGGAGUAAUUAGGAAGUAUGCUAAUCAGGUUUACGGCUAGCUGGGCGCCGCUGGCCAUAUGACCGUGAGAAUUCGUUGGAGAUUAACAAGCACACCGCGAGUGAUGUUGCCUCCAUCGACCACCAGAAGCCACUGAACUGAUUCUUCCAUUCUAGAGGCCGUCGGCCACAAGUCUAUAGAAACAACCACAGAGCACACAAAUAUUCUUCCGUUCACAGAAUUAACGUCGGCAAACGAUAUUGAGACCCGUCUCCUGAAAGGGAUCAUAUAUUCAUAUGCCACUCUUCAGAUCUGGAAGCAAAGUAAGAGGAUUAUGAUCAAUGGAUAGGAAGAUGUUACAGAUCUAGCCACGGAAUCAGCAUGCAUAGAAAGUUCAAGAACAAAUCGCGUUGACCUCUGAUUCCAAUCAACAUCGUGUUGUGCUCUCUGAUCCAUCGGCCAGCGGCAGAUAGAAUUUGGAUCGCUUGUAGAAAACUAGGAAUAUCAAGGAUUAAACUAGUGGCAUGAGGUGGUAGAUGCAUGUGAAGGAAACAAUCAGCUCAUUGCUGCCAGAUAGAUCAGUAAAUUAACAAUCAGCUCACCUCCCAAUAGGGUGUGCUUCGAUGGCCACAAGAUGAGCUGCACGCUCCUCUAUCUUGCGGAUUAAAUCCAGCGAAGAUCAUAAGUGAUUGAAUCCGCCGGUGAUCGCCGAUGUCCGCCGAGUCGGCCUGGCUAGAUAUUAGUGGGUAACGAAAAUCCCUACCGCCACCGAAGUUGUUUGAGUCAGGGAGAUAGUCAGUAUCUAAUUAUUUAAUCUAAACAGGCACAAGUUUGUUGCCCGCUAGGAUGUGUGUGCGUGCAAUUGAAGGUGAGAGUAUAUAUUUAGUGCGG